Molecule: long non-coding RNA, 154346 nt
Filed under: Coffea arabica (coffee)
Lineage: Eukaryota; Viridiplantae; Streptophyta; Magnoliopsida; Gentianales; Rubiaceae
Description: long non-coding RNA (CARA_LNC003660)
Source: RNAcentral
CUGUGAUUCCUGAUGAUAGUGCACGCGACAAAGCUACUUGCCAAACAGAUCUUAUAGUGGUGACUCAAUAUAAAGGAGGAAUUGAGAGAUAUGAAACAGAGUUUCUUGCCCUGGCUACUGCUGCUGGAUUUAAAGGCAUAAGUGUGAAAUGUUUCGUAUGUAACUUGUGGGUCAUGGAGUUCUAUAAGUAGAUGACUAGUUCAUGGGGCAUUGUACUUUAAAACCUUAAAUGUUGUAUGUUGAGUGAUUGUUAAUGUCAUGGUGAUCAUCUGCAAUCUACAGCGAGGAAAAAAAACUGCAAUAGUGACCUCGUAAGAAUAAAUUUAAAUAUUGUUUUGUUUCCGAAUAUGAUAAUUAUGAUGGAGCUAAGGCAAGUAUGAUUUAGGUGUGGUUGGGUAUUGUUAUUUUACUUCAUCCAUGCCUUAGCAUACUCCAAAAGACAUGAAAAAAAGUUUUCUAAUACAACACAUUUACGUAAAAGUGCACUAUCUUAAGUUCCUAACUAUUAAAAGCGCCAAACGCUGAGGAACAGUAAAAGUGGCGUCCUCAUGUGAUCUGCCGGUUCUUUGGUGAUUUUGUGCAGCCUUAGGGGCAAUUUCGGCGGGAGGUUUCCCUUGCUGCCUGCUUCUUUCUUUUGUUUUUUCCCAUCUCCCAUUUGGUGUUUCAACCUGGUGCUGCAUGUAGGUUUUUAAUGCCCCCAAGCCACAAUUUAUUUUGGUUUUGCCAUGAUGAACCACAAUUUGUUCCUGUUUUGCCAUGGCUUGAGCCUAACAUAUAAAAAAAAAAAAAAAUGGUGCCUGGUUUUGGACUGAUACUACCUUUUCUAGCCAUUAGGAAAAUAUAAAUUUAGAUUAACAUUUUAGUAUGAGUUUCGCUCCAAAUUUCCUCUAAAUUAGUCACCAAAAAGCCUGCUCCAAAUUUUGUCUACACUCCUAACCAAAAAAAAAAAUUACAAAAGGUCCUUGUGUGGCCACUUCUACAACACUUUUUGCACAAAUUCCAAAACAAAUUUCAGUAUAAUUUUGUUUGAAAUUCAAUUGAAUAUUUUAAUACCAAUUUUGUUCGAAAUUCUUCUACAUUACUUGAAAAGGAAAAGAUGUAUGGUGAGCUUUGUCUACAUUCCUGACCAACAAUAAAUACAUAAAUAAAUAAAGGGUCCCUUUAGUGCCCACUUAUACAACACAUUUUGCAUGAAUUCAUUGCUACUACUUUUAUGCAUCAUUUAAUUACUUGCAUGAAAAAACAAAAUUUUAGUAUAAUUUUGUUCUAAGUAAAAAAUAAUAAUAAUACCAAUUUUGUUCAAAAUUUUUCUAUAUUACGAUAAAAGAAAAUGAAGUAUGGUCAGCUUUGAUUACUUGCAUACAUUUUAAAUAGUCAAAAAGUAAUAAUAGUAAUAGAUGAUUAAACAAACAACAUAUAAAGUCUUGGUAAAAAAUAAUGGUGAGCUUUAAUUACUUAUAUACAUUUUAAAUAGUGAAAAAAUAAUAAUAGCAAUAGAUGAUUAAACAAACAACAUAUAAAGCAAAAUUUAUUAUUUCCUACUUGUUUCUCCAAGUUUUUCCCUUCCUUAAAUGGCUUUUUUUUCCUAACUAUUACUUUGUAUUAAUAAACAUAACGUAAAGAAAAAUUCUAGGAUAAAUUUUGUUCCAAAAUUUUCUAUAUUAGUGAAAGAUGCUUGCAAUUAAUGAACGUAAUCUAAUAAUCUAACAAAAAGAAUAAGGAUACUUUUGCUCCAAAUUCCUCUAUAUUAGUGAAAAAUUAGAAGCUUCCUUGAUUGGUUACUUAUUUAAUGCUCUUUGGAUAUAUUAACUAUUACUAUUUUUAUGCACCAUUUAUUUAUUUCUUCGUUGCUAAAAAAAUAAUAAUAAAGGGUCCCUUGAGUGGCCACUUAUAAAGCACUUUUUGCACAAAUUAAAAAAAUUAGUAUAAUGUUGUUCCAAAUUCAAUUGAAUAUUUUAAUACUAAUUUUGAAAUUCUUCUACAUUAUGGAAAAGAAGAAGAUGUAUGUUGAGCUUUGUCUACAUUCCCGACCAAAAACAAAAUAAAUAAAUAAAGGGUCCUUUUAGUGUCCACUUAUAUAACAUUUUUUGUAGGAAUUCAUUGCUACUAUUUUUAUGCAUCAUUUAAUUACUUGCAUGGAAAAAAUAAAAGUUUAGUAUAAUUUUGUUUCAGAUUCAAUUGAACAUUUUAAUACCAAUUUAUUCAAAAUUUUUCUAUAUUGCUAAAAAGCAAAACGAAGUAUGGUGAGUUUCAAUUACUUGCGUACAUUUUAAAUAGUCAAAAAGUAAUAAUAACAAUAGAUGAUUAAACAAACAACAUAUAAAGUUUUGGUAAAAAAUAAUGGUGAGCUUUAAUUACUUAUGUUUGUUUUAAAUAGCCAAAAAUAAUAAUAGCAAUAGAUGGUUAAACAAACAAUAUAUAAAGCAAAAUUUAUUAGUUCCUAUCUGUUUCUUUUAGUUUUUCCCAUCCUUAAAUGGCUUUUUUCCAAACUAUUACUUUGUAUUAAUAAACAUAGCGUAACAAAAAAUUCCAAAAUAAAUUUUGUUCCAAAUUUCUUAAUAUUAGUGAAAGAUGCUUGCCAUUAAUGAACAUAAUCUAAUAAUCCUGUUUUGCCAUGGCUCGAGCCUAAUAUAUAUAUUAAAAAAAAAACAUGGUGCCUGGCUUUGGAUUGAUUUGACUUUUUUUAGCCAUUAGGAAAAUAUAAAUUUAGAUUAACAUUUUAGUAUGAGUUCCGUUCCAAAUUUCUUCUACAUUCCUCACCAAAAAAUCUGCUCCAAAAUUUGUCUACACUCCUUACCAAAAACAAAAUUAUAAAGGGUCAUUGUGUGGCCACAUAUAUAACACUUUUUGCACAAAUUCAAAAAAAAAAAUUAGUACAAUUUUGUUCCAAAUUCAAUUAAAUAUUUUAAUACCAAUUUUGUUCGAAAUUCUUGUACAUUACUGGAAAGGGAAAAGACGUAUGGUGAGCUUUGUCUACAUUCCUGACCAACAAUAAAUAAAUAAAUAAAGGGUCCCUUUAGUGUCCACUUAUAUAACAUUUUUUGCACGAAUUCAUUGCUACUAGUAUUAUGCAUCAUUUAAUUACUUGCGUGAAAAACAAAAUUUUAGUAUACUUUUGUUCUAAGUUCAGUUGAAUAUUUUAAUACCAAUUUUGUUUAGAAUUUUUCUAUAGUACUGAAAAAGAAAAUGAAGUAUGGUGAGCUUUAAUUACUUGCAUACGUUGUAUAUACUCAAAAAGCAAUAAUAGUAAUAGAUGAUUAAACAAACAACAUAUAAAGUCUUGGUAAAAAAAUAAUGGUGAGCUUUAAUUAUUUAUGUACAUUUUAAAUAGCAAAAAAAAUAAUAAUAGCAAUAGAUGAUUAAACAAACAAUGUAUAGGAGAGUGAAAACACACAGGCGCGAACAUACUUUGUCAAAUGUUUAGGCGAGCAUACAUAGUCAACUGUUUAGAAAACUUCCUUUGUAUUUGGUUUCUGUAUUAUGAAUUAAAAUUUGUUUUUAAAAAAAAAAAGAAAACAAACAAUGUAUAAAGAAUAAUUUAUUGUUUCCCGCCUGUUUUUCUGAGUUUUUCCCCUCCAUAAAUAGCUUUUUUUCCUAACUAUUACUUUGUAUUAAUAAACAUAGCGUAAAGAAAAAUUCUAGGAUAAAUUUUGUUCCGAAUUUUUCUAUUUUAGUGAAAGAUGCUAGCUAUUAAUGAACAUAAUCUAAUAAUCUAACAGAAAGAAUCGGCAUACAUUUUGCUCUUAAUUCCUCUAUAUUAGCGAAAAAUUAGAAGCUUCCUUAAUUGGACACUUAUUUAAUGCUUUUUUGAUAUAUUAACUAUUACUAUUUUUAUGCACCAUUUAUUUAUUUCUUCAUUGCUAAAAAAAUAAUAAUAAAGGGUUCUUGAAUGGCCACUUAUAUAGCACUUUUUGCACAAAUUCAAAAAAAUUUAGUAUAAUGUUGCUCCAAAUUCAAUUGAAUAUUUUAAUACCAAUUUUGUUUGAAAUUCUUCUACAUUACUGGAAAAGAAGAAGAGGUAUGGUGAGCUUUGUCUACAUUCCUGACCAAAAAUAAAUAAAUGAAUAAAGGGUUCCUUUAGUGUCCACUUAUAUAACACUUUUUGUAGAAAUUCAUUGCUACAGUUUUUAUGCAUCAUUUAAUUACUUGUGUGAAAAAGCAAAAUUUUAGUAUAAUUUUGUUCCAAAUUAAUUGAAUAUUUUAAUACCGAUUUUGUUCAAAACUUUUCUAUAUUGCUGAAAAGAAAAUGAAGUAUGGUGAGCUUUAAUUACUUGUGUACAUUUUAUAUAGUCAAAAAGUAAUAAUAGCAAUAGAUGAUUAAGCAUACAACAUAUAAAGUCUUGGUAAACAAUAAUGGAGAGCUUUAAUUACUUAUGUACGUUUUAAAUAGCCAAAAAAAAUAAUAGCAAUAGAUGGUUAAACAAACAACAUAUAAAGCAAAAUUUCCUCCCAUUUCCUACCUAUUUCUUUGAGUUUUUUCCCCUCCUUAAAUGUUUUUUUUCUUAACUAUUACUUUGUAUUAAUAAACAUAGCAUAACAAAAAAUUUCAGGAUAAAUGUUGUUCCAAAUUUCUCUAUUUUAGUGAAAGAUGCUUGCAUUAAUGAACAUAAUCUAAUAAUCUAACAAAAAAAUCAGGUUACAUUUUGCCUGAAAUUCCUCUAUAUUAGCGAAAAAAAUAGAAGCUUCCUUGAUUGGACACUUAUUUAGUGCUUUUGAUACAUUAGCUAGUUCUGUUUUAUGCACCAUUUAUUUAUUUCUUUGUUGCCAAAAAAUAAUUAUUCUAACUUUUUUUGUGUUAAAUGCGUUGAGCACCAAUUGUUUCAAUGAGUUUUAGAUAAUAGAAAAAGAAUGUUUAACAGUUGGAAAUGGCUACACAUAGAGAAUACAAGGCUGAAUUUAUUUUUACUUGCGUGCUUCUUUAAAAAGCUUUUUGCUUGAUAAAUUGUGUCCUAAUUACUCCCUCUGUUCCAUUUUGGUAGUAUUUUUUUGUACAUAGUUUAAGUAAAGCUGCUUAACUUUUAAAAGAAUAAAUCUAGUCUACUAUUUUCUUAAAAUACCAUUAAACCAAUAUCAGAAGUUUGACUAAUCACCAUACCUUUCUCCCUUUCUCUCUCAACAUCUCUCCCUCUCUUGCUUAUUUUGAAUUCUAGGGUUAGCCAUGGCUGCCCUUCAUCCUUCGGGUGAAGGGCAACCUAUGCAUCCAUUACCAUCAAAAUGUUCCUUCACAGAUAUAGGGCAUGUUUGACAAAUAAAUUUUCGGCUAAGUUUAUUUGCUACAAAUUUUUUAAUAACUUUAGUUACAGUAAUCUCCAAAACUUUUCAAAGUUUUUAAAAUAUAUAUUUCAAACUAUCCAAAAUUUACACACUUCAAAAAAAAUUUUCACAAUUUUUACAGUAAAUUAUAGCAAAAUUUUAAACAAACACUCGAAAAAACUCAUUUGCCAAAUAGGGCCAUAAUCUCCUUUUCUUCUCCUACCUUAACGCCAACUUCUUGUCUCAAACCUAGUGAACUUUAUAGGGAGGAACCAACAUUAUCCUUUUCAGGGGAAGAUGUUUGGCUCCUCGCUGCUCCUUUCAAGUUUGUGCUCUUUAGAAAAUUUCCAAAGGUCGGCCGUCCAUGGAAGGGCUCAGAAAAGAAUUCUUGGCUCUCGGCUUUAAGGGUCCUAUAUCCUUAGGACUUCUUGACCCUCAACACAUCUUAAUCAGAUUCGAGUUGGAAGAUAAUUUCGGUAGGUGUUGGCUUCAUGGAUUCUAGUCUUUUCAAGGAUUUGGCAUGAGGGUAUUUAAGUGGUCUCCAACCUUUCGCUGGACAUGGAAUCGUCGAUUGUCCCAAUCUAGAUCCGGUUGCUGUGCCUUCUAGUACAUCUUUUUAACAAGGGACCCUUGUUUUCCAUAUCUAAAUUGGUAUGUGAACCCUUAAGGCUGGGCGCAUCGACAACAAUGCUUGCUAGGCCGGCAGUGGCAAGGAUUUUUGUUGACAUGGAUCUACCACGGCCCCUUCCUGAAUGUGUUUGGAUCUGGAAUUGGUCCAAUGGUUUUUGGCAGCGAGUUGAGUACCAGAAUUUACAUGAUUAUUGUGUGAACUAUAAGAAACUUGGACACCAUAGUAGUGCUUGUAGACAAUUUAGUAGUUCAAGGAAGCAACCUGAUAAUAAGGACGGGAAUAUUGGGGGGGCGAUGGGACAACAGAAAUUUGGAUCCCAAAGGAUGGUCACAAUCACUCAGAGGAACGAAAUCACACUUUGUCAGAUAGCAACUAGCAUCUUCAAAUUCGGACAAUCAAUUGUGGAGGAGCAAAUGAUGCUGAAGGACUUAGUCCCGGACAAUCACUUGACACUAACGGUACAACAUAAUAGUCACAACCCUAGCUCGCAACAACCAACGAGUGACCAGCAAUCAAUGGAUUUGAAUCAUAGCCGGAGCGCUUCCAAAAAAUUAACCUCAGUGGUGCAAUGGCAGCACCAGACCAAAACCUUGGAAACUCCAAUGGAGCAACCACAGAAUAAAGUUGUGCACUAGCAGGUAAUUCCAUUGGAGCUGGGGCAGAGUGAAGUUUUGCAUCAGUAGGCAUCAACAGUGUUGUAGUGUGAGACAUUGCAGUAGCCAUUAGAACCACAAACAAAAUCGCUACCACAACUCCCCUUGACAGAUUACAACACCUUCGCUAGCUCUAUUAUAGAUUACCGGAAGCUUUAUUCUAAAUGAAGAGGAAACCUAGACUCAGUCUUGGAUAUUGAGGGACAGCAACAUCAAAGUAAACCUCGUGAAAUGCUGGUGGAGGACUUUAUUCAAUUCAAGAAAAAAGUAGACCACCUCUUUCCAAUACCCCAAAAGGAGACGCAAUUAGCCAAACGUUGGCAAUGAAGGCGAUUUCUAAACUUACCAAAGACUGUUGUAACUAGGCAGUUUUCAAAGUAAUCCACAGAAUCUUUCUCCCAAUUUUAAUUAUGACGAGUAUUUUGGUGCGGAAUAUAAGGGGCAUAGUUGGUCGUGCCUUUUUGCAUCGUUUAAAGAAGUUAAUAAGGUUUCAUUCAGUGUCGUUUUUAGUAAUCUUAGAGCCUAUGGUUGAGCGGGAACAAUUAGAUGGUUUUACAGCCAAGUUUGGCUUCCAUCUUGGUGUUAGUAACUUUUCCAAUAAAAUAUGGGUCAUGUGGAAGGCAGGUUUUGCAGUAGAUGUAGUAAUUAAUGCAGAUCAAUUUAUUCAUUUGGCUGUUGCUUAGGAGUCGUGGAUUUUGUUUCUUAUUGUUUCUUUAUAUAUGCUAAAUGUUCACAAAUUGAAAGAAGAUCUUUAUCGUCGGACUUAGUUUCUUUGUCGGGUGGCUUGGUUUCUAAGCCGUGGCUGAUAGGUGGUGACUUUAAUGUUGCUGCGUCCAUUGAUGAAGACUUGGGCCGAGCACUACAGAACUUGAAUGCAAUGGUGAAAUUUGCUGAUUGUAUUUCAAUCUAUGUGUUGAGAUGCCUUGAAUUAAAUCUUCGACCUUCGCUGAGCUAUACGGGGGUCUCGCUUAUGGUAUAUAUUAGUUACCGUAUCUGUUUUAUUUCGGGUCUUGUUUUGGGCCUAUUUUUGGGUCCAGUCUGUUUUGUUGUAUAUAUAUACACCUUAUUUUAGUUUGUAAACUAUUCCGAUUACAACUCUAAUAAAAUCUGAUUUCCCCCAAGUUGUUCUUGUCUACUCCUGUUCGUUCUUCUGUUCCGCUGCAUCUGUUAUAACAAACCGGUAUCAGAGCUCUAGGUUUGUCCUAGGGCUCGGAUCACGCAAUAACAUGUUUGCUUUGAACAUCAAGAUCGACAAGUUCAUCGGGAGAAAUAGUUUCAGUCUAUGGCAGAUCAAGAUACGGGCUCUGUUAAAGCAACAGGGUCUGUGGAGUCCGCUGAUGAAGAAGAAAUCGGAUUCCGUUGAUGAAGAGUCGAUGAGUCUGGAGGAAAAGGCUCACUUGGCAAUCAUGCUGUGCCUGGCAGAUGAUGUCAUCACUGAAGUCGCCGGUGAAGAAACUGCUGCGGGUUUGUAGGUUAAACUUGAAAGUCUCUAUAUGACGAAGUCUUUAACCAACAAGUUGCUCCUAAAGCAACGUCUGUUCGGUCUGCAUAUGCAGGAAGGUACUUCUCUUCGAGAACAUUUAGAUCAAUUAAAUACAAUUCUUCUUGAAUUUGCGUAAUAUUGAUGUUAAAAUUGAGGAUGAGGAUGCCGCGUUGAUUCUGCUAGUGUCUCUACCGUUAUCGUAUGAGAAUUUUGUUCAGUUUUUCAUUGGCGGUAAAGAUACAGUGACUUUAGAAGAAGUAAGAUCAGCACUGCAUAGUAGAGAGUUGUGCCAUAAGGCGGCUGGUAAUGUUACAGAUAAUCAGGCUGUUGGGCUAGUUGUCAGCAAUGGUAAAGGAAAAUUGGGGAAAAAGAAGUCCGGAAACAAGAAGCAGUUCUCUAUAGGUCCCAAGCCGGAUGAUGUCUGUAACUAUUGCAAGGAAAAUAGUCAUUGAAAAUCUGAUUGUCCUAAGAAGAAGAAAUAGCAGGAAAAACAACACGCUUCAGCUUCAGUUGCAGAAAAGGAAGCGGAAAAUUCAGAAGAAGACUUGGCCCUAAUUGCAAACGAACCAACACAUCACUCUGAUGUGUGGGUUCUUGAUUCUGGGGCGCCCUAUCACAAAUGUCCAAAUAGGGAAUGGUUUACAACACAUGAGCAGAUAGAUGGCAGAAAUGUCGUGAUGGCUAAUAGCGCUAUCUGCAAGGCUGUUGGAAUCGGUUCGAUUAAGACCAGGACACAUACUGGAAAAAUUGUCACACUGAACGAAGUCAGGCACGUCCCAAAAAUGACGAAGAAUCUGAUAUCACUUAGUACUAUUGACAGUAAGGGUUUCAGGUUCAGCGGAGGAAGUGGAGAGUUGUGCAUCAGUAAAGGUUCAUUAGUGGUUCUCAAAGGAGUUAAACAUGGCACCCUGUACAUCUUACAAGGUUCUACGCUAACAGGUUCUGCUGCUACUACUGUUGCGUCUUCUGAAGAUCGCAGGUCUGAUAUGACCAAGCUGUGGCACAUUAGGCUUGGUCAUAUGAGUGAAAGGGGGAUGCAGAUUCUGUCUAAACGUGAUUUUCUAGAAAGCCACAAGGUCACCGAUCUUAGAUUCUGUGAACAUUGCACUUUCGGUAAACUACAUCGCAGAAAGUUUGGGAAGGCAAUUCAUAGGACAAAAGGCACACUGGAUUACAUCCAUUCUGACUGUUGGGGUCCUUCGCGAGUUGAGUCUUUGGGAGGCUGUCGGUAUUUUUUAUCCAUGAUUGAUGAUUAUGCAAGGAUGACUUGGGUAAUCAUUAUAAAGGAAAAAAGUGAAGCUUUCAAGAACUUCAAGCAGUGGAAGGCCUUAGUGGAGAAUUAAACUGGAAAGAAGAUUAAAAGGCUGAGAACUGAUAAUGGUCUGGAAUUCUGUUCAAAGGAGUUCGAUGAGUUCUGCAAAGAUGAAGGAAUUGCUCGGCAUCACACAGUUUGACACACACCACAACAAAAUGGUGUAACAGAACUCAUGAAUCAGACACUUCUAGAGAGAGCAUGGUGUAUGCUUUUCAAUGCUGAGUUGCCAAUGAGGUUCUGGGCGGAAGCAGUGAGCACGGCCUGCUUCUUGAUCAAUCGUGCACCUCAUACAGGUAUAGACUGCAAGAUACCUUAUGAAGUGUGGUCUGGUAUGUCCUCUACUUACUCAAAUUUGAAGGCUUUUGGUUGUACUGCGUAUUAUCAUGUCAGUGAGGGCAAACUAGAACCAAGGGCUAAAAAGGGAGUGUUUCUGGGAUAUGGAGAUGGGGUUAAAGGGUAUAGAAUCUACUCACCCUCAGAAAAGAAAGUUAUACUUAGUAGAAGUGUAAUUUUUGAUGAAAACUCUAUACUUAACUCCCCUGUGAAGACUGUUGUUGAAGAAAGUACAGGUGUUGAUAAACAGGUGGAGUUACAAAUCAUUCAAAAUGGUUUUGAAUCAUAGCAGCAAUUUAGUGAUCAUCAACAGCUAUCCUGUGAAACUGAACCUCCUGCAGAAGUAGAGUCUCCAGAACCUACAUCAGCAGAAAGGUUGGCACCUAUAUUCCAUACUGCGUCAGAAACUCAGCAGCAUGGUAUUGCUUAUGAUCGUACGAGGAGAGUGGGAGUACAAACUCCUAGUAGGUAUCGAGAUUUUGUAGGUUAUGCACUUUAGGUUGCUGAGGAGGUGGAUUCUCCCGAGCCCUCUACCUAUAGAGAAGCUAUUUCAGGCAGUGAGUCAGCUCAAUGACUUACUGCAAUGGGUGAUGAAAUGGAGUCGUUACACAAGAACGGCACUUGGGAAUUGGUCAAACAGCCAGCAGAGAGAAAGGUUGUGACUUGGAAAUGAAUCUUUAAAAGGAAGGAAGGAAUUUCUCCAGCUGAGGGCAUCAAGUAUAAAGCACGUGUUGUUGCAAGAGGGUUCACUCAAAGAGAAGGAGUAGACUACAAUGAGAUUUUCUCACCAGUGGUCAGACGCACUUCUAUCAGGGUGCUACUAGCAAUGGUUGCACAUCAGGACUUAAAACUUGAGCAGCUAGACAUGAAGACAGCUUUCCUACAUGGAGAGUUUGAUGAAGAGAUUUAUAUGAUUCAGCCAGAUGGAUUCCAUGUUCCGGGAAAAGAAAAUUAUGUAUGCAAGUUGAAGAAAUCUUUGUGUGGAUUAAAACAGUCCCCAAGGCAGUGGUACAAAAGAUUUGACGGCUACAUGAUUGAGUUAGGCUACAAUAGAAGUCAGUAUGAUUGUUGUGUAUAUCACAACAAACUUGAAGAUGGUUCGAUGAUCUAUUUGAUUAUAUAUGUAGAUGAUAUGCUCAUAGCUGCGAGAAACAAACCUGAUAUGCAUAAGUUGAAAAGUCUUCUCAGUGCAGAGUUUGAGAUGAAAGACUUGGUUGCAGCACAGAAAAUUCUGGGAAUGGAGAUUUUCAGGGAUAGAAGUCAGAAGAAGCUUUUCUUAUCACAGAAGAGCUAUAUUGAAAAGAUACUAUCCAAAUUUGGCAUGUCUACAGCAAAACCCUUGAAUACUCCAAGUGCAGCGAAUGCUCAACUAUCAAUUACACUCGCACCACAGUCAGAAGCCGAGAUAGAGUAUAUGGCUAAGGUUUCCUAUUCUAGUACAGUGGGUAGUUUGAUGUAUGCCAUGGUCUGCACUAGAUCUGAUCUAGCACAUACAGUCAGUGUUAUUAACAGAUUUAUGGCUAAUCCUGGGAAGGAGCACUGGCUAGCCGUGAAGCGAAUUUUUCGGUACUUGAGGGGUACAUCUGAUGUUGGUCUCAUCUAUAGAGGUGAUAUAGAGUGUUUGGUUACAGGCUAUUUAGAUUCUGAUUAUACUGGAGAUGUUGAUAGUAGAAGGUCGAUGACUGGUUAUGUUUUCACUCUUGGACAUUCUAUAGUUAGUUGGAAAGCAACUCUACAACCUACAGUGACUCUGUCCACUACUGAGGCAGAGUAUAUGGCACUGAUGGAGGUUGCUAAAGAGGGAAUUUGGUUAAAGGGACUGGUUGGAGAUCUUGGCCUACAUCAGGAUCAGGCUAAUAUAUAUUGUGAUAGUCUCAGUGCAAUAUAUCUAGCCAAGGAUCAAGUUCAUCAUGAGAGGACUAAAUACAUUGAUGUCCGAUAUCACUUCUUGAGAUCUGAGACAAGGAUCAAGGUGAAGAAAAUUGGCACUGCUGACAAUCCUGCUGAUAUGUUCACCAAGCCGGUCCCUCAUAGCAGGUUCAAACAUUGUUUGAAUUUGCUAAAUGUCCUAAGUUCCUGAUGGCCCUUAUGGGCAUUCUGAUGGUACUUAGAGAUAAUUCUCUGAGUACAUCUGGCACUUCAUUAGUGCGUCUGUCACAUCUUUUUCGGGGAAGAUUCAAGUCAAGCUGGAGAUUUGUUGAGAUGUCUUGAAUUAGAUCUUCGACCUUCGCGAAGCUGUAUGGGGGCCUCGCUUACGGUAUAUAUUAGUUACCGUGUCUGUUUUAUUUCGGAUCUUAUUUUGGGCCUAUUUUUGGGUCUAAUCUGUUUGGUUGUAUAUAUAUACACCUUAUUUUAGUCUGUAAAUUAUUCUGAUUACAAUCCUAAUAAAAUCUGAUUUCCCCCAAGUUGUUCUUGUAUGCUCCUGUUUGUUCUUUUAUUCCACUGCAUCUGUUAUAACACUAUAGUCUGAAACAUAUUACUCUGUCUGAAAGUUGUUACACUUGGACUGGCGUUCAUCAUGGUAGGUAAGUGUGCAAGAGAUUGGAUAAGUUCCUAAUGAAUCUUGAAUGGCAGCGCCUCUUUCCUAACUCAGAAGUACAACACCUUAAUCGUGCAACUUCAGAUCAAGUCCAUUAUUGUUGUAACUCCAGCCAUGCUUGAGCUUGGGAACACGAUCAUUUAGGUUUCAAUAUAUGUGGGUUAAUAACCCUAGCUUUCUCACUGUGGUUCGAAGCAGUUGGGAUCAGCCGGCUUUAGGCUACGGUAUGGCGAGGUUUGUCAUAAAAUUGAAGAGACUUAAAUAGGUUUUGCGUGAAUGGAAUAAGGUGUCCUUUGGGAACAUUUUUGAUAACAUAGCUAAAGCUCAAGAAGAAGUUAAACAAAAGGAAUUACAACUAGAAGAAAGGAAAUAGAAGCAAUGCAUCUGCAAUGGAGUCAGGCAAAUGCUGCUCUGCUAAAGCAUUUGGCGGCCGAAGAAGUUUCUUGGAAAUAGAAAGCUAGAGUAAGGUGGUUAAAAGAAGGUGAUUCGAACACAAGAUAUUUUCACUCUGCACUUUUAGAUAAGUGAGUUUGGCUUUCUAUGUAGAAAAUUAAAAGCUUGGAGGCGGUCUACAUUGAGGGAGAUGACAACAUUGGUGCAUCGGCUGUGGAUUUCUUCAAGUCCUUGUUAGUAGAUUCUUCAUUGUUAAAUAGACAAGCAACUUUGGAGCUAUGAAACAAUGUUCCUACCCUUGUAACGCCUCUACAGAAUGACCAACUGAUAGAGGAAGUCACUCUAGAGGAAGUUGAAAGGGCAGUGUUUGAAUUGGAUGGGCAAAGUGUAGCUGAUAGCGAUGGAUUUGCGGGUUGCUUUUAUACUCAUUGUUGGGAGAUCAUUGCAGAAGAUGUCUUCCGAGCUGCUCGAGAAUUCAUAUGUGGAGUUCCACUACCUAAGGGUAUUGCAAGUACUCUGGUGGUAUUAAUUCCAAAGAAGGAGGUGCCUACGACAUUUGCAGACUUCAGGCCAAUUAGUCUUUGUACCUUUAUCAAUAAGGUCUUCACUAAAAUUCUUAGUAAUUGAAUUAAAAUUGUUCUUCCCACUCUCAUCUCACCAGAACAAUUCAAUUUUGUCAGUGGAAGAGAGAUCUCAGAUAGUAUCUUACUUGCACAGGAGAUGGUUAACUCAAUUGAUAAAAAGGUCAGGGGGCACAAUGUAAUACUCAAGGUUGAUAUGAUAAAGGCAUUUGAUCGUGUCUCAUGGCGUUUUUUGUCCCUAUUGUUGGGCUAUUUUGGGUUCCAUCCUUAUUUUUUCUCCCUGGUUAUGAAUAGCCUCUCUUCCACCUGGUUUUCAAUCCUUGUCAACAGGAAGCCAUAUGGAUUUUUGCAAACAAGUCAUUGAAACAAAGGGAUCACCUUUCUCCUUUUCUUUUUAUAUGGUGUUAGAGGCGCUUAGUAGAGGCUUGAAGAGCUUAAUCUUGAUGGGAACGGUGCAACCAUAUGUUCUUGGCUGUGGCUGCAUGCCAGUGUCACACCUAGCAUUUACGGAUGAUGUUGUAAUUUUUUCAAGAGGAGACCGUCGUUUGGUUUGCUAGGAAACGACUAAUGGCUCGGUGGACGGGGUUUCAGUAGAUGGAUCUCCCCUUUGUUGAUUAGGAGCAAGCUUUUCAAAGGUAAAGGUAAGAAAGAACACUUUUAACAGUUAGUUGAGAAGAUGAGACAAAAGUUGGUGGGCUGGAAGAACAAGUUGCUGUCAACUGGUGGCCAGAUAAUUUUAAUCAAACAUGUUCUGGCUGCUAUACCAUUAUAUGCUUUUAUAGUUUUACAGCCACCUAAGAGUGUGUUGGGCUAGUUGGAGAGGAUUAUGUCCUCUUUUUUCUAGGGGGAAGCAGAUGGACUGGAUAAAAGACAUUGGAUUAAAUGGAGAAAUGUGUGCAAGCCAGCACAGGAAAAUGAUUUGGGGUUGUGCCAACUGGAAGACAGUGUGAACGCUUUUGGGUGCAAACUAUGGUGGAAGUUGCGGUCUACUGAAACUUUAUUGGCUCGGUUCAUUCACUCUAAGUAUGCUAUUGCUGAGAAGGUUUGUCACAGGUCCGAAGUUUGGUGGAAGAAAACUUGCAAGUAUUAAUAAGGGAUGGUAGCUCCUCAUUCUAGUACGAUAAUUGGUUUGGCUCCGGUCCUCUUGCUAGCCAAAAGGUUCAAGUGCCAUUGCCAAAUGUUCGUGUUCGAGAUUUGUUGCAAGAUAACGACUGGAACUUGGGCCAAGUAGAGUUGGUUCUCACACAUCAAGAAAAAAAUGCAGAUUUUACGGUCUCAUACGUAGCUCUCCCAGGGUAAGAAUCUGAUGGUCUAGUGUCCAUCUGCAAAUGGUACGUUUUAGGUAUCCUUAGCAAUGGAAAUGCUUCAGCAACCUUCAAGCUCAAUGAUAUGCAGGAGGAUGAGCAGGCGAAUGCCAUCAAAGGUAUCGGUCUUUAUGUAGAGACUGAUUAAUUUCAUCCUGCCAUUUCCAGAUAUCCUACAACAAUUUGGUUUUAAUCUCCCCUCGAAGUUUGCAUUCUGUGAUAAUUAGGACAAUUUCGCCCACUGCUUACUUGGAUGUCAACUGGCAGUGCAGGUGUGGAAGAGAAUAGAGUAGAAAUUGGGUAUGAAAGUACCACCAUCAAAGGAUAUUAUGCUUCAUUUGCAGAAUUGGUGGAUGCACUCUUCGGGGAGGUCAACAAUGGCUGAGCUGACGCAGAUAGUCCCCUUAUUAAUCUACUGGGAGCUGUGGAAAGCAAGGAACAAAGCCAUUUUUUAUGAUUAUAAAAUGAUAGUUGGUCAAGUCUUUCAUCAUGUGCUUGAGUUGUUACAUUUUAUUUCCUUGGCUCACCUCUUUGUCUUGGAAAAUUGCAGUGGAAAGGGUCUUCAGCAGCUGGGGUUGUAGCUUUCCUUCACAGUUUCUAAACCCAAAAAUGCUUAACUCUAGUUUGGUCCUUGCCAUCACACCCUCAUGCAAAACUAAAUAUAGACGGCUCGUUGCUAGGGAGUCUGGGAGACUUGAGGGAGAUAAUAUCACUCGUUGGCGUCCCUCCCCGUGUGCAAGGAAUAACAGUACUAUAAAAAUUAUACUAUUCAAACUAUGAAUCUAAGCAAUUAAUGAAUAAAGUAGAUUAUACUCAUUGAUAAUAAGUACAUUAAAUAAAAUAUUCUUAGAGAAAUUAAAAUUUAAUUAAUUUUUAAUUGAAAAGUGGGUCCUAGGUUGGGCUCAGGAAUGAGCUAAUAAACGAGCUCCUUAGUAGCAAACAUCAUUGGUUCGAUGUUUCGGGUGAAACCAAUUCACUAAUAAAAAGCAUUUUCUAAGUGAAGAUCUGCACGAAUUGAAGUGAGACUAUAUUUUAAAAUGAAUGAAAAACAGACUAUUAAAAUGGGACGAAUAGAUUACUUUGUAUUGAUAUUAAUAAAUGAAUGGUGUAAUAAAAGAUUCCAUGAAUUUUGUUCCAAAUUUAUAAAUUUUGUUCCACAUAUUUCUAUUUAUAUUAAAAGAAAAAUAAAAUGGCCUCUUGAUUAGACCUUGACAUAAUUGAUAUGUACUAACUGACGUAAACAAUUGCUAUAAUAACAAAACUCUGUUAGAAUAUUAAACAGAGUUAGUUAUAGUGAGUUAUAAUUUGUUUAAAAGGUUGUACACUAUUCAAGCUCUCCCUUAUCAAUAGCCAUUCCGCAUUUGUUCUUGGCCAUUCUUAAUACCUUUUUUUUCAAAAAAAAAAAAUUUAUGGAGGAGGAGAGCGGGAUAGUAAAACGUCUCUGCAACUGUGUUUUAAAACUUGUACUAAAUAGUCCAGUCUGACUAGUUGAACCAAAAACUAGCUAGGCUUCCUAUUCGUGUCUCUUUUAAAAAUUGCACCUCAAAAACUCUGUAAAUCCCAAUUUUACUAAUCUUGUCAUUUUUUCUAUAUUUUUUUCAUUACUAAUUUCUUUUUUUUUCUUGUAUUUUCUUCAUCUCUAAAGCCUAAUUUCAUCUCUCCAACAAUCAGGUGAUAACAUAUGCAAAAUCACGAGGGAAAAGUUUCAAGAAAAUAGCAAGAAAGAAAAUGGGAAAAUAGAUUUAUAAAUCUAUGCAUUGCUAUCUUUUUUUUUUUUUUGGCAAGAGAAAGUUGCUUUUAUUGAUAUGUACAAUAUAACCUUACAAAGGGAUAAACCUCCUACAUCAACAAAACUUCUAGUGCAAUAUCAGCACUGUACAGAAUAGGUAAAAAAGCUAACAACAUUAAAAGCUAAACCUAUUAAUCAAUCUUAGUCCAAACCCCACUCAAGCAUCAAUUGCCAAUUAGUCUUAGUCCUUGGGGCUUUGGAUCAAGAAAGCGCAGACAGCCAAAUCACUCUAGUAAUAUUCUCCAUAAAUUUCAAUGUUCCUACAGAUGAAUGCUGAAAUAUCCUCUUGUUUCUUUCUUGCCAUAUAUGCCAAACAGUGGUUGCAAAAACAUGAGGCCUGAUUUUAGACACAAAGGAGCUUGAGCUAGCAUGUUGAGACCAUCACGUUACUUCUUCAUCCCAUGGUAAAGAGCAUCUAUAUACCAAACAAAGUCUCUGUAGUUUUUCCAAUAUGCAACCAGAAAAAGUCCAUUGGAAGAAUAGAUGCUCAAUCGUCUCAUUUUCUUGAUUGCACAGAACACAAAUUGGAGAGACAUUUGCUACUCCCCAUCUAGCAAGUCUACCCUUAGAAGUUUAUGUUGUACUGCUAACCACAGUACAAACACAAAUUUUGGUAUAUGGACACUCCCCCAGAUAAGCUUGAAUCAAGAUACCUUACUUCCUGUGUGAAAAAAUUUUUCCAUAGUAGACUUAACAUAAAGUAGUCCAUUUGCUGUUGCUGUCCACCUUACACAAUCCUGCAUUUGGUAUUGCACUAAGAUUGGAGCACAGUCUUUAAGCUCUCGCACCUUAGCAUUAAAACGUCUUCCAAUAGCCCAGAUCUAUUCACUAUUCAUAAUCAAAUCAGCCACUUUUAGAUAGCUUAGAUAGCUUUAGGUCUCUAAGCAAAGAUUCAGAAAAUUUCAGGUAGAGGGGUCCCAAAGAGAGCCAAUUAUCAAACCAGAAAGAAGUGCCCUUUCCAGCGCUAAUAUCAACACUGAUCAGAAGCUUAGUAGUGUUUCUGAUUUUAAGAAUCUUCCUCCAAAUCGAGGAACAUUCAGUAGGUAUUUUGAUUUCCCGGAGGCUGCAUUUAUUCAGCUUAACCGAGUGGAUCCACCUCACCCAUAAAGUGUCUUUUUUUUUUGUACAUAUAUUCGAAAUCAAUUUGAGCAUCAAACAGGUAUUACACUGAACAAUAUUUCUAAUCCCCAAACCUGCUUCUUCCUUUGGUCUACAAACAUCUAACCACUGAUCGACAAAUUCUUGCAAGCAUAUAGGGUCAAUCGUAGUAAUAAUUUACCUGAAAUAUUUCAAGGUCGAACCCACAGAAACGAGUUAAUUUUCUACUUUAAUUAUUCUAACAAAAUAACAAAAUUCAAAUUUAAGGAGUGUAUUUUCUACUUAAGCCAUAAAAGAAACAAUCAAUUUAAAUAAAGUAGUGGUGAGAAAACAAUAGACGUGAGUGUAGGGUUUCAUAUUUUAAUUCAAAAUUUGAAUCAAUUAUCUAGUUAAUUUCUUACCAAGUUAUGAAUGCAUCACAUAUCUAUAUUUUAGACCACCUCUCGAUGCAGCUAAAGUAUGUUUAAUUAAAUCCUAUCCUAUGCCUCUCUUGAUGGUCAUAGGAUUUCAAUUAAACCCAUUAAAAUUCUCAGUGAUAUAGGUGCGUCACACAUACUCUAACCUACUCUUGUGAUUAGUCUAUGUGUAUUUAUCUAUCUAGCGCACGGUUGUAUCUCCUUUCUCAAGUUGACACAAACCCAACAUUCAUGUUCAUGGUGAUCAAGCAUAAACAUGCAUUAAGAGCAAGAUAAAUAAAUCAUAGUAAAAAACAAGAAAUUAAACUAGAAAAAUUAAUCAAAUUCCUUUAUUAAAACCCUAACCCUAGAAACAAUUUAUCUCAACAUGAUUUAGAAGUUAAAACCACGAAUUUAAAAAGUUGCUACAAAGAUGAGAGAAAGAGUAAGAAAACUUUUCAGUUGUUUGCUCCAAUCUUCUCCUUGCAUGCUCCUUGAUUCGCCUCCGUUUGAUCUUGAUCUCUCAAGAAUAAAUUAUGAAAAGAUGUUAAAACUAGACUAGACUAAUGUUUUCCACCUAAAAAUGACCUAAAAACCCCUAUUUAUAGUUUCUUGAAGAUAUAUCCUAAAUAGGGUAGGAAUAGGCUCAAUUGGAUUCAAAAAAUCGUGUUUUCGCACAUUUAUCCUGUGACGCCUGAAGGAAAAAAAAAGGGAAAUUUUCCUUGUUUAUUUUAUUUUCCGUGUGCAUUUCUCUUACUUUAUUUUAUUAUCCAAAUUUUCCAGAAACUUUUAUAAUGAAUAUAGUUUUCUAAUCAUUUUCUAGUAUAAAUUAGUUCAUGAGAAACAAAGAGUGUAUAUUGGACGUGGGACCCACUAGUGGCGUUAAGUGCGAUAAAUUCGACCAAUUAGGUUAUGUUUUGUAUACCGGGAUUAAUAUACUAGGUGUUAAGAGAUAAUUAGAGGUUACCCAAAUGGAUGGGUGUUGGAGAGACAAAAGGAUAGCUAUGCAUUAAAGAGGUGACAAGUGUCACUUUGUGAUUCAAGUUGGACUUUUGACCAUCUUACCUCAACUUUACUAAAACCAAAAUUUGACCAAAAAUUAAGCCAUUUUCUCCUUCUUAUGGCUGAAACUUUGAGAGCAAGAGAGAGAGAGAGAAACCUUCAUCUUUCAUUCCAAUUUCUUACUCCAAUCUUAAGUUCUAACCGAUAGAAUUGCAAAUUACUCCAUAAAAGUUGUUUACUAAGGAGAUUCCAAGGUGUUUGUGGAGCUAAUUUGGGAAGAAGAACUCUAAGCCAUCACCUUUCUUGAGAUUUCAAGGUAUCAUGUCUAGCAAUCCAUUCUUUGUUCUUAAUAAUGGUUUAUUAGUGACUUGUGUUGGCUUAAGAGGUGAUUUUAUGGAAGAUUUCUUGGAUUAAAGUGAAGUUAGUUAAAUUUCUGAUUUUUUUGGGAAUUUUCUAUUUUCCUAUGAUGGAUAUGGUUAGCCUUGAAUUGAUGGUUCUAAAUGGUGUUAAAUAGCUCUCUUGUACGUUAAUUGUGGUUAUUUGCGGAAAAUUUCAGCUUUGUGCGGAAAUUUCAGGUUUGGGUUUCAAAUCUGCCCUGUUCUGACCGGAUUUAUUUGAGCAUGUUAGAGGCCAAAUCAGUCUUAGGUUAAAACAUGGAAGUUGUAGAAAAUGGUGUUAACUAGCUGCCUGUAAAAUUUCAGCUCGAUCUGAGUACUGUAGCCUAUGAAAUGACCAAAAUAUCCUUGACUGCCCAUGAACCCGGUUUCCCGCCCAGAUUUCUGUUUUCGUGGAGUUUUCCAUUUUUGACCAUGAAAUUGCAUGAUUUGGCUUUUGAGAUAUUCAUAAGAAAUGUAGGUUUAUGUCUUGGCUUCGAAACGCCAUAAGAUUCGUUUCAAUCUGAUAAGUGUAGUUUCAAUUAUGGAUAUUGUGCCGAAAGAUGUAUUUGAUAGUCUAUGAUGUGUAUGUGGUUGAUUUAAGAUGAAUUGUUGUUGCUUGUAGGAUGGAAAAGUAAGGAAAUGUAGGGGAAAUGCUGUCCGAUCUUUGAAAGCAUUUGAUUGCUUUGAGUUUGAGUUGAAGGGCUUGAACUUGAGCAAGGCAAUGACGUAUGAUUGAUGGUUCCUGAGCCGUGGUUGGUGAGUGGCCCUAAACUGUUUCUAAAGUACUUUUGAAAUGUUUCUUGCAUUAUUUACUCGACUGCAUAUCAUGUGUGCGCGCAUGCGAGUUCAUGACAUGAUUUGGCUUAACUGAGUUCUUGGGAAGUCUGUGCUGAACACCAACGGCUCCACCUCUGUUCAUUUGGAGCAAAUGACUCCCUCUUACUGUUUCACUGCUACUGGAUCUAUUUGAGCGUUGGAUGUUUAAGUACAAUGAUUUCACUGGCUCAUGAGAGCAAUAAACGUACAUUUGAUUACUGAUUCAUGACAUCAUUGAAAUGAACUAUUGUGAAACUGAUUUGAUUACUGAUUUGACUGGUUACUCGCUGAGUUUCUAGCUCAUCCCAAAAAAAUAUUUUAUUCUCCUCCACAGGGCUCGAGGCGAAGGAAGGGCUUGUAGUACUUAUUCACGUGACUAGAUGGCAUAUAUCUCGUACCAUUUGGAUUUGGAAUCAUUUUAUGUAUAGUUGGGAAUUAGUUUCCGCUUCGCUUAUGAUAUGUAAUUCUUGGGGAAUUUGAUGUAAUAUUUGAGAUUUAUAUUGUAAUUUGUUUGAGGACUGUAGUAAGUGAGUGAGUCCCGACGAGAGCUGGGCAGGCGGUCCGCCGAACCCUUUGGUUCGCCUUAGGGGGAGGUGGGGCUGUCACAUAUCCAAUGAAGACCAGCCCAAUAUCCGGUGCCUGUCAUUGGACUGAGCACAAAGCAUAAAAGGAUCUAGAGAUGUUCGGCGUGAAGCCAUUUACGAAGUCUAGCACCGAUCAUGGAUUCAACCACGGAUCAGUGCGGAUCCACACACGGAUCACUUUGAAACCUCAAAACACCAUCAAAUAGGCCAAAUCAGUUCUUGCUCAAAAGAUAAAUUGUAAACCUUUAAUAAGCUUUCUAACGCCACAAGAAUCAUGUCAUUUGGAGAUCUGGACGCUGAGAUAUGCCUAAAAAAGUAAUACCUGGUCAUAAGAGCAUUGCAGCACAAUUGUACUUCAGUAAUUUGGACUUUUGACUAUGAAAAUGUGAGAACCAAACUUUGAGGUCUUCAUAAAAGUUGUAGAGAAUUCUCUUAACUUAAAAUUAAAUCAAGAAUCAUCUUAAUCUGAUUUCUGUAACUCAAGUUAUCACAAAAAUACUGAAAUAUGUCAUUCUUGCGAAACCUCUUUCCCUUGACUUUUUCCUCUUUCAUUGCUACUUCACACCAUGUUUUUAGUCCAUUUUCUCUCUAAUUGAGAAUUUCACCUAUUAGAAUAAUAUAAGAGCAAAAUUAAGUAGUUUCUACUCAAAAUAAAGCUCAAAUAACAUGGUUAUCUAGCAACUUAUGCAUUUAAAUGUACUACAAUUUAUACCCUAUCAAAUUCUCCCUUACUUAGUCUGUGCUUGUUCUCAAGUACUAGAAUAAAGCGAAUUAAAUAUAACUAAUGGCUAUAUUCAAGGUUAUCAUUAUUAAAGCAACCAUUCUAUGCAAGUGUCAAGUACUAAUAGUAAAAACUAAAGAGAUGCUUCUUCGGUUAGCUUUUAACACCAUCGACCCUUUCAACUCCGGCUAACUAAAUUAGGAAUAAAAAUAUUUAACAAGCAUUUCCUUGCAAAUGGCCCAAGUAUUAAGCUAAAUAUUAAACUUAUAGCCACAUGGAUCCACAUGCUAAUCUUAUUAUCCACAUAUUUUUUAUUCUUUCUUUUCAUAUUUUUCUCUUUAUUUUUCUUCAAAUUCCCCCACACUUAAGCUUUUUCACAUUUUAACAAGAGGAAUACACUUAAUUAUUAGCCGUUUAAGCCUUUUGACGCGAAUUCUAACAUCUCCCAAAUAGAAGAGCCUGGUUACUUAGCUUACACUGCUAAAGAAUUACAUACUCAUAACAAUCAUCACUUUUUGAUGUAAAAGCCAACACUUUUAGGCGAAGAUUCCCGGUUAUUGGGCAACGACAACCAGCGGAGUGCAGGCAAAUUAAUAAAAUAAGCAUUUAAAUACAAAUAAGAAUACAAAAAUCUGCUUCAUAUCCCAAUAAUAUGGAGAACAAAGAUUAAUAAUUAGGCCAAAUUCACAAGAAAAAUGCUAGAAAAACAUUUACAAUACCUAGAAAAAUUAGCCAAAAAAUGAAAAGGUCUCAAACUAUCAAAUAUUCAUCAAAGAAGUAUUCUAAAGCAACACCAUGUAACACUUAAUACAUUCAUACACAUAUCACUUUAACAAUAAUAAUACUCAAAAUAUAAGCCAUUGCCUAUCAGGGAAUCAACAAUAAAAAUUCGAAAAUUUUAGCCCAAAAUUUUAAAAAUUUCACUUCACCCAUUUAUUCCUUUCCCCACAUUUAAGACAACAUUAUCCUCAAUGUUGGGGAUAAAAUAAAGAAAUAAUAACAAGAAAAGAUAUGAAAGUGAAACUUCCCUGAUAACGAAUGGAGUGCCAAAGACCAAAUGGGGUGAGAGAAAUUACUAAUUACCAUCCAAUAGUCAAGCUCAGGAAGCCAUCCUACCAACCUAUAAAAAGACAAGAAAACACUACAAAUAAGAGUUAAAUACACCACCAAAUAACUCAAACUAGAAAGCAAUAAAAUUUUAAGGAAAUAAACACCACCAUUAAUGUUAAACAAAAGAAAAAUAUUAAAUAAAAUUAAAAAGAAAAUCAAGUUGCCUCCCGAGAAGCGGUAAGUUUAACGUCUUCUGCCAGAUAGGGUCACAUAUGACUGUGGUGGAUAAAAUGAUUCGGAUGAUUUCACAGUUUCCUUAGCAUGUGCUUGCAAUUUUGCAUAAUUUUUUUGCAUCUCCAUUGCGCUUUCAAACGAUUGAAGAAGAAUAUGCACGAUGAUUUUGCAAGGGGAUGACCUCUACAUCCUGCUCUAAUACAUAUUUUUCACUAUACAAAUCGUUAGAAAUAGUAAUAUAGGAACAAAACUCCUCGUACGAAGGCUAUUUUAAGAGUUCAAAGACAUUAAAUUCUUCUUUCUCUUUACCAAUACUUAAAAUCAAUUUUCCUUCAAGUAAGUCUAUAUUAGCCUCGUCUAUAGCUAAAACCCCUCUACCAAGGAUAAUUGGCAUACAAAUAUCCUCCUCCAUGUCAAGAACAAGAAGAUCAGUAGGAAAAUAAAAUUUACCGACUUUAACUAAUAGAUCGUCAACAAUACCAAUAGGAUAACACACUGAACGAUCAGCCAGUUGUGGAAUCACUUGAAUAGGCCCCAAAUUAGCAAACUUUAAUUUCCUGAAAAUGAUAGAGAUAUCAAAUUAACACUAUAUCCAUGGUCACACAAACAUUUAUCAACAAUAAUAUGUUCAAAUUCACAAGGUACAUUAAAACUCUCUGGAUCUUUCAUCUUGAUAGGAAAACCAUUUUGUAGCACUGCACUGCAUUCCUCAGUAAGAGACACCUCUGCAAAGUCUUCUAACUUCUUUUUAUUAGACACUAUCUUUUUCAAGAACUUUGCACAAGCAGGUAUAUCAGCAAGAAUUUCAAAAAAAAAAAAACAUGUUCACUUGAAGUUUCUUGAGCAACUCCACAAACUUUUGAUAUUGCUCGUCCAUUUCCUUUUUCUUAAGCCUUUGGAGAAAAGGGAUGGGUGGCACAUAAGCUUUCACCUCAAGCACCUUCAUACAUUGAUUAUCUUACCCUUGAUUUUUUCACAUGAACCAUUCCCCGAAUCCCCAGUUUCUUCACUUUUAAUAGCAAUUCUGCUCCUCCUUUACUUUGCAUUUGGUUUAGUCUUGGAUUUAAUGACAAGAUCAUCCAAUACUUUGCCUGAACGAAGAGUCACAGCCAUACUAGUUUCUUUUGUGCUACUAGGCAAUUUCCCUGGUGCCGUUUCAAUUACUACAUUUACUAGUUGACCAACUUGCCUUUUAAGAUUUUGAAUGGAGGCUUGUUGAGAUUGAGCAAGUUUGUCAUACUGGUCCAUCUUUUGGUCCACCUUUUGCAUGUAUUGCAGCAUCAUUUCUUCAAGGUUGGACUUUUUCUCCUAAGCAGGUUGAGAAGAAUAUUGAAAAAGUUGCUGCAAAUUUUGAAACCCAGGUGGUCCCAUAGGUCUAAUCCAUUGAUCCUUUCAUAAAAAGUUAGGAUGGUUUUUCCAUCCUUCAUAUAUGUGGUGGAAAAAGGAUCAUUCCUUGGCUGCAACUUCUGCCCCCCAUGAAAUUAACAUCUUCUACCAUGGUGGGAGGAUCUCUAUUAUAGUAACUAGCACCAGAAUAACCAUACAUGUGAGAAUAAGCACAUGAUUCUUGAGAUUGAGCUACCCGAUUUAAGAGUUAUUGCAUUUGAUGACUCAAUUCAGCUACCUGCCCAAAUCCCAUGGCACAUUCACUUCAUGCACUCCUACUCUCUUACCCCGAAUUGGUUUUUGUUGAGAAUUGCUAGUUAACAAUUCAUAGAGACUAACAAAUUCCUCCAAGGUUUUGUCACCAAUAUACCUUCCUGCUGCAAUAUCCACCAUAUUCAGGGUCAUUAAGGUCAACCCAUCAUAGAAAAAUUACACUUGCAACGCCAAUAAAUAGUGGUGGUGAGGACAUUGAGAAAGUAGUAGCUUAAAGCGAUCCCAUGCUUCAUGUAUUAGCUCUCCUUCCAUCUGAGAACAUAUGCAAAUCUUGUUCCUUAAAUCGAUGGUCUUCUGAGAAGAGCAGUAUUUGGUCAUAAAGAUGUUAUAAACAUCUUCCCAUGUCCUCAAAGAUCCUUCAAGGAGAUGAAGUAACCAAGACUUUGCACGAUCCUUGAAACAAUAAGAGAUGCACCUUAUUCGUAAGUCAUCUUCUGAAACUCCACUCAAAGGGAAAGUUUGGACAACCAAAUAAAAUUCCUUUAUGAAGGACAAUGAGUCUUCAUUGGCUAAACCAUGGAAAGUAGGCAACAUGCUGCAGUGUACAGUUUUGAGCUCAUAGUUCUUUCCUCCGUCACUUAGCCAGAUGCAGUGGGAAGAGGUUACGAUCACAGGACGUUGGAUGUCCCAAAGGCGAAGUCCUGCAAGUGGUUGCACUACCUGCUAUUGAUUAUUGCCAUUAUUUCUAUUCUCCUCAGCCAUCUCUUCGUCGCCAGAAUUGCCCGACUCAGCUAUCUCUAAGGUGAUAUGAAAUCCUGGUGAAGAUGGUUGCAAAGUUUGUUUUUGCAAGCGAGUUUGCUUCCUCAAAUACUUUGCAGUUUUUUCAAUUUUUGAAUCAAAAUCCAAAUCACCUUUUUGAGAUUGGGUCAUACACCAAUCACCUAAGUAAGAAAAAUCAAACUAAAAGUGAAGAACUAGAAGUAAAAUAAGAUAAAAAAUUAAAUUAAAUUCAAUAAAAUAGAAAAAUUAAGUGUCGUCCCCGGCAAUGGCACCAAAAACUUGAUCGACAAAUUCAUGCAAGCGCACAAGGUUAAUCAUAGUAAUAAUUUACCUCAAAUGUUCCAAGGUCGAACCCACAGGGACGAGUUAAUUUUCUAUUUUAAUUAUUCUAACAAAAUUCAAAUUUAAGGAGUGUAUUUUCUAACUAAACAAUAAAAAAACAAUCAAUUUAAAUAAAGUAGUGGUGAGAAAACUUUAGACAUGAGUCUAUGAUUUCAAGCUUUAAUCCAAAAUUUGAGUCAAUUAUCUAGUUAAUUUCUAACCAAGUUAUGAACGUAUCACACAACUAUAUUUUAGACCACCUCUUGAUGCAUCUAAAGUGUAUUCCAUUAAAUCCUACACCUCUCUAGAUGGUCAUAAGAGUUCAAUUAAAGCCAUUAAAAUUCUCAGUGAUAUAGGUGCAUCACACAUACCCUAACCUACUCCUAUGAUUAGUCUAUGUGUGUUUAUCUAUCUAGUGCACGGUUGUAUCUCCUUUCUCAAGUUGACACAAACCCAACAUUCAUGUUCAUGGUGAUCAGGCAUAAACACGCAUUAAGAACAAGAUAAAUAAAUCAUAGUAAAAGGCAAGAAAUUAAACUACAAAAAUUAAUCAAUUUGUUUCAUAAAACCCCUAACCCGAGAAAUAAUUUAGUUCAACAUGAUUUAGAAGUUAAAAUCACAAAUUCAAAAAGUUGCUACAAAGAUAAGAGAAAGAGUAAGAAAACUUCUCAGUUGCUUGCUCCAAUCUUCUCCUAGCGUGCUCCUUGAUUCACCACCAUUUGAACUUGAUCUCUCAAGAAUAAACUGUGAAAAGAUGUUAAAACUAGAUUAGACUAAUGUUUUCCACCUAAAAAUGACCUAAAGAACCCCUAUUUAUAGUUUCUUGAAGAUAUAUCCUAAAUAGGGUAGGAAUAGGCUCUAUUGGACUCAAAAUAUCAUGUUUUCGCACAUUGAUCCAAUAAAGACCAGCCCAAUUCUAGCAUCAGUCAUUGGACGGAGCACAAAGCAUAAAAGGAUCUGGAGAUGUUAGGUGCAAAGUCAUUUGCGAAGUCUAGCGCCGGUCAUGGAUUCGCCCAUAAAUCGGUGUGGAUCACUUUUGAAACCUCAAAACUCCAUCAAAUAGGCCGAAUCAAUUCUUGCUCAAAACAUGAAAGUUGUAGCCCUUUGACUAAGCUUUGCAAUGCCUCAAGAAUUAAGUCAUUUGGAGGUCUAGACAUUGAGACAUGCCUAAAAUACUGAUACUUGGUUGUAAGAGCAUUGCAGCACAACUGUACUUCAAUAAUUUGGACUUUUGACUAUGAAAACGUCAGAACCAAACUUUGAGGUCUCAUAAAAGUUGUAGAGAAUUUUCUUGGCUUCAAAUUGAAUUAAGAAUCAUAUUAAUCUAAUUUGUGUAGUUCAAGUUAGCACCAAAAUACUGAAAUAUGUCAUUCCUACGAAACCUCUUUCCCUUGACUUUUUCCUCUUUCAUUGCUACUUCACACCACAUUUUUAGACCAUUUUCUCUCUAAUUGAGCUUUUCACCUAUUAGAACAAUAUAAGAGCAAAAUUAAGUAGUUUCUACUCAAAAUAAAGCUCAAAUAACAUGGGCUCCAUUUGGAUUAGCUAUUUUUGGGGUUGUUUUUCAAAAAUAGCACUGUAGUAUUCGUUUUUGAAAUACAAGUCCGUUUGGAUUAGUUGUUUUUGGGGUUGUUUUUCAAAAACUAUAUGAAAAACUUUUACUGUAAAUGUUUUUUGGAUUAUUUUUAGAGGCAUUUUUAAAACGUAUUUUUGAGUAUUUUUAUAAUUUAUAAUUUAUAAUUUAUAUAUUUAUAUACAUUUAUGCAUUUAUAAUACAUUUAUAAAUAAAUAUAUUUAUAUAUUUAUAUAAAAAUAUAUAAAUGUAUUAUAUUAUAUAUAAUACAUAAUAUAAAUAUAUUUAUAAAUGUAUAAAUGUAUAAAUUAUAAAUGAAUAUUAUAUAAAUGUAUAAAUUGUAAUUUAUAAUUUAUAUAUUUUUAUAUAAAUAUACAUUUAUGCAUUUAUAAUACAUUUAUAAAUAUAUAUAUAUAUUUAUAUAUUUAUAUAAAAAUACAUAAAUGUAUUAUAUUAUAUAUAAUACAUAAUAUAAAUAUAUUUAUAAAUGUACUACAAUUUACACCCUAUCAACCACUUUGUCUUGGCUGUAAAAUGAUCUUUUAUCUCUCCUGACCAUAGGAAAGAAGCUAGUAGAGCAUCAGUUUUCUCAAUACAGCCUUAGAGUGUAUGAAUGCACUUGCACAAUAAAGGUAGGUGCACUCAAAACUGAUUGAAUUAGCUGCAAUCUACCCUCGUAACUAAGUUUCUUAUUUGCCCAACUAUAAAUUCUUUGCUGAAUUUUAUUGAAGAUAGGUUAACAAUCUUGAUAUCUAAGCUUAAUAGAUAUCAAUGGCAAUCCCAAAUAUUUCAUAGAAAAGGCACUUCUAGUGAUGCUCACUCUAUCACUUAGCUUUUCAGCAACCUCAUCUGACACUCCUGAUAAAAAUACGUUACUCUUCUGUAGAUUUGGUUUAAGUCCAGAUAACCACUCAAAUUCAGUAAGAGAGUCCUUAAGAACCUGGAGAGACUGAGUAGUAGCAAUAGCAGACACAAGGAAAAGGUCAUAAGCAAAUGCAACAUGAGAAAAAUUAAGCUCAGUACAACCAGGGUGAAAAUCAAAGCCUCUUUUCUGAAUAUCUCUUUGCAAUAGUGUAGAAAAACUCUAUACCUAUGAGAAAGAGAUAGGGGUAAAUGGGGUCUCCUAGUCUAAGUCCUCUUUCACUAUGAAAAUACCCAAUUAAUGAUCCAUUUACGUUGAUAGAAAAAUGUGUUGUGGUGACAUGCUUCUCCACCCAGUGAACAUACUUUUCAGGAAAUCCCAUAAUUUUCUUAGUAGUAAAUAGGAAAUGCUAAUCCACAGUAUCAUAAGUUUUCAUGGGGUCAACCUUUAGCACAAAUUUUGGUUUUCCUCUAUACCUGUGGUAUCAACGGACCAGCUCAUGCAUGAUUAGCACACUGUCUGCAAUCUACCUCUCUUUAAUAAAAGCAUUUUGUGUUUUGGAAAUCAAGUCAGGCAAAACUUCUUUAGUCUAAUAUUGGCUAAUACAUCUGAGUGGCAUCUAUGUAGAAGAUUAUAGCAGGGGAUAGGUCUGAAAUCCAUCAUCUGCACUGCAUCUUUAAUCUUAGGAAUCAAGGACAAUGAGGUAUUGUUCUGAGGAAAAUACAUGUAUUCAUUCUCAAAAUAGAACUUUAAAGCAGCAAUGACGUUAUUUCCCACAAUUUCUCAAUUGCUUUUGAAAAAUAUAGCUGUGAAACGCUCGGGACGAGGGGCAUUGCGAUUCUUCAUAGCAAACAUUGUUAGCAUAUGUUAUUUUUAUUUUCUUUCUCUCUCCUAUUAUUUUGUUAUCCCUUGUAACUACUAUAAGAUUAGGAUAGAAUUAGUUUUUGUAUUUCUAUAUGAUAAAGAUAGGACUAAUUAGUUAUAUGACAAGGAUAAAAUUAGCACAGUAUUCUAGAACGUUAGGCUAGAAGUUUGCAUUUGAUCAAGGGCAUGAUACGAUUGAGGUGGCUGGGCCAAGAAAGUCACCCAUCUCUGGAACAUGCAAGUCGAAAAAUUGAUGUGUGUCCAAAUACCCCUUUGCUUAUCAGUGGUUUUUGUGGAAAAGUAGAUAUUUUUCUCUAGAUUAUUAAAAAGAAAAUAUUAAGCUUACUCACAGAAGUAUAAAGCUUUGCAAGUAGGGAUGGUAAUGGGGCGGGGGUUCCUUCCCCCAUCCCCCGCCCCGUUGUCAAAUAACUCCCCUCGUCCCACGCCCCUUGCCCCCCACCCUGCCCCGCCCCCGCCCCGUUUCCCCUGCGGUCUCCCGCGAGAAAAGAAAUUAACUUAUCAUAAAAUGUUCAUUUACAAUAAUUCACUGAAUUUUUUAUUACGUUGCACUUGAUUGCCCCUCCAUGUAUAUCUGACUUUUCAGUUACCAGCCCAUCUCCUGACCAAAAUAUAUCAUUUGGAAAUAUUUCAGCAUUAUACAUAUAUCCAUGGCUAUCUUUUUUUUUUAAAUUAAUAAAAUCUUAAACCAUUUAAUUGCCGUAAAACGAGUAUUAGUACAUAAGAUGCCAGAGAUUCAUAUCCAAAGCCACAGCAUAGCUUUACAACAACAUAGAGCUUUUCCCAUUAAGUAAUAGCAUUCACAGGUCUCCUGAACUAAUUAGCUAAAGAUGACCCCCACCAUAAUAAGUUAUAUCCAUGGCUAUCUAAAAGGAUUGAACAACUCAGAAAUUUAUGCACACAACAGCCUAGUACAUGAAGCAAAAAAUAUUAGAAGCAAGCCUAUACGAAAAGCAAAACUCUCCUCGUAUGUCCAAGCAUUUUUGAGAACUAACAGGAGAGAGGAAGAAUUCCCAAAUACUAACCAAAUAUACCUUGAACAGUUAGGGGUUUUGUUACUUUUGUGUAUAUAUAUAUAUAUAUAUAUAUUUUAUGUGGGGGACGGGGCGGGUGUAUGUUGCCCCAUCCCCCGCCCCGUUUUAAGGCGGGGGUAAAUAUUUUGCCCCCGUCCCCGCCCAGCCCCAUCCCCCGCCCCAUUUGUACCCCCGCGGGUGCCUGCCCCAUUGCCAUCCCUAUUUGCAAGUUCAAAAUGAGCAAUUUUGAUGGGCAAUCUACGUCAGUGUUCCAAAUUCAAGGGAGUUUUGAAAUUCCAAAAGUUAGGAAUAAGGUGAUGGACUAAUAAUUAAUUGAGAAAGUUAGUGAUUAAUAGGAGUUUGCAACUGUAAACAAUAAUUAAGUAAAAGGAUAAUAUGAAUAUCACAGUCCGUAACUUAAAUCUUAGUUACAGACACAUCCUAACAACAGAUUCCUAAUUCAUGUUUUCAGGUCAUCUUGAAAUGCAGAUGUAACAAAUUUCAUAGGUUGCAACAGCCAAUUUUUGUACAAGAGAGGUCAGUGUAUAUAAAUGUUGAUCAUUAGAAGAGACACCAACCUCAUUAACCCUUAUAGGAAUAGAAUCCAGUCUAUUACCAAAAUAUUGAAUACUAGCGGUCAUAAAUUAGUAAAAAAAAUAAGAGAAAAAAAUAAAAAUCCGAAGAAAAUAAAUCGAAAAGGCACUAGUCCCCGGCAACGGGGCCAAAAAUUGAUGGGUGUCAAACCACCAAAAUUAAAAUUCCUACUCUAAAACUUAAAUUCAACUAUAGUGGUGAGUAGGGUCGUCUCCUCAGGGACUGCAUGAUUUAUUUCCUUCUAACACAAGAAUUAAAUGGGGGUUUUGGAAAAUUAAAAUAAAAAAUUCAGUUUAACUAAAAGUAAUCAAAUGAAAGAAAUUUAAAUUAAGUUAAUAAUAAGUGAACUCUAGCCAAAGAAAUAACUACGGAAGUGGUUCAUACAACUAUUCAUCGAUGCAAUAAUUAUUUCAUCUAUUUGUUAAUAAAUAGGUUAUAGUUGCUAAACACGCAAUGAUAACCAGCUUUUCCUUACCGUCUCGAUGGUUAAGUUAUGCCUAUUAACUACUUUUCUAACCAAUAAACAACUCUAGGUAUGCCCAUAGAAUUUAAUUUCUUGAUUGCAUUAAAAACUAGAAAAACUCUAUUCUAAUCAAUAAACACACUACCAGGGUUUAUUUAAAUUAGAUUAUAUAUUUUCCUAAUACGAAACCAAUCACGCUAGUCGCCACUAAUUUAAGACAAUUAAACAAUUACGGAUUUAACUAUCUUAACUAAUACUAGAUUAUUAGGUUGAAUUGAUAUUCAAAUAACAAAACAAGUAUGAGAAAUUAAAUCAGAAAACAUGUGAAUACUAACGAAUAAAAGAAACAGAUAAAAAAUAAUUAGAUCUGAUAGUCGUAGAGAACAAAUUCUUGGUUAACCCUUGACUAGAAUAAGAAAUUAGCCACUCAUCGUUGGGAGGCAAUCCGCACAAUUUCAUUGAAGGAAAUCGCAUACGCGCCUGGCAAAAGAAAAAAACUAAAGAAAAGACGCAAAGCAAGGCGCUCCGUUGUUCUUGCUUGCUGCUAAGACUAGUAGUAUCUCCUCUCUUUGGACCACGGACGAACUUUUAAAGUCACGAAAAACAAAUUCCCUUCUCCUCACGUUACUACUUUUCCAAAUAAGUACUACUACUCUAAUUUCCUAUGAAAGAAAUAUUCCCUAUAUUGAUAAAAGAUAAAUCAAAUCGUUUUCCAAUAUAAUUUGGAAAUAUGCCUUUUUAGGUUUUCAACUUGAAUUGGGAAACUAUCAUGCGUAAAUCCCAACUUCUCCGGACUUGCAGGCUAGCUUUAGGCACGACUACAUGAAUAAAAGCUAAGAAUCUUCAUUAAUCCGUUUUUUGACUCUUGUCUUGCCAUAUUCCUGAAAUUAGCACUAAUUGCCAAAUAUAAGUAUAAUCCAUCAAUUAUUACAAUAAUUUGGCCAAAGUCAAGGAAAAAUACACAUAAAUUUAAUAGUAAUUACGUACCCAAUCAACGAGUAAGGGAUGAGAGGGAGGUCCCUGAGCAAGGGAUGGCAAGUUAAGCUUUGAUUGUUUAACUAGAGGGAGGUCUAGUUCACUGCAAAUUCGAAUAAAUCAAACUAAUGACUAGUUGUUCUUUUAGGUAAUUUAUGCCCAUGGUCCAAAAAAAAAUAUGCCGGUACCCAAAAACUUUGUCUCUAUUAUCCCCAGGCCCCCGGAACUAAGAAAAAAUCUUGCCUCUAUGCCUUUUAUUAUGUCUGAACUGAGGACUUCCAUUUUCUCAGUUCGUACUAGUGAACACUACCAGAAAAUAGUGUAAACGUGGCACCAAAAAAGUGCUGUAAAUAUGGGGGAAUAAUUUCUUUGGCUUGGAUGUUUUGAGUUAAAGAGUUCUAACCGUUCGAAUGUAUUUUGGAGUAGUGAAGUUGAUAAACAGAAGAUGAUGUGGUCUCAAUAUGAAUCAGCAGUGAAGUAUGGGUGCGUAUAAAAAUUUGUCAAUUUAUAAUGGCUUUUUUUAUUUUAAUUAACCACAUAAAAAUGAUUCAUCCAUGCAAAAGCGUCACAACAAUUACAGCAUAUAUUAAAAGCGCCGCCAAACCAAUGGCCGCCCUAAACGACUGUAGAUUAUUAAAAAAAUCUAUGGAGACAAGAUAAAAUUUUUUUUUUUGUCGAAAAUAAUUGAUCUGAUAAUUGAUAUGGAGACAAGAUAAUUGAGAGAGUGUCCCAUGCAUCGAAAUUGAUCUGAUAAUAAAGAUUAAUAUUAUCAUUUUUUAAUAUUAUUUGAGUGGAAUCUUAUAAGUCGGAGAGAUCAUUGGAAUAAAAAAGAAUUACGGAGCACUAAGACAAAUAAACUAUGAUACGUACAACCAAUGAAUGACGUGCAAGUAACAGAAAGCUUGAAUACUUAUCUUCACCCACUGCAAUGUUUAAUUGCUUGUUUAGAAUGUGCAUUUGGACGAAAUCUAAUCCAAUCCUUUCACACUCCCCAUUUUCUUAGUAUCAAUCACUAGUUGUCGUUUUUCUCCUUUGGUGCAAGUAAAUUGACAACACUGAAAAUUUAAAAACUUGCGUUGCAAGCUACCUUUCGUGGCUUUACAAUUGGCAUAUUUCUAGUAAUUUAGGUACUGUUUUUAGAAGUGAUUGGAAUGACAUUACGUUCCAGCUACCUUUCGUGGCUUCUGGUUCUUUUAAAGUGCCGUCUGCUGUAUAGAUGUUGUGUCCCCCGGAAUUGAGGAAAAGUGUCUUCAUAACCCUAAAAAGCAAUAACAAAGCAAAAAAUAAAUAAAGAAAAGAGACACCACUAUAUUUAUGUGAUUCAAGAAAGUACAAAAAACUCAAGAAACUGUUCUAGAACCAAAAGAACUUAAUACUAAAAUAUAGUGUCCUAAAAUAUCAGUAUAUUUAUAAUUACUAAAAAUUAUAAUCUUAGAGUUUCAAAUAUAUUGGUAAAAAUGGCAAUCAUUUUUUUGAAAAUACAGAAGAAAUUAAUAAUUUAGAUUGUCAAAGAAUUUGUGUAUCCCCUCUAUAAAACUGGCCUUUUUCUUUUUUCUUUUUUUUUUUAUUGUAAACGAAUAUAUCAGUUUAUCAAGAUAGAUAUAAUAAUGAAUCUGUCCUCUGUUAAAAACUUUACAACCCAAAUUUAUAAAUGCAAUUUGGAACCUAUGAGGGUCAUUAGAUUUGUAAAAUUAUAUUUAGAUCAUCAAAAUUUUGUGAAUCUAAUUCCACAUCAUAAAACUAAAAGAUACCUUGAUCAUUGAUUUUGAGUUCAAAUUCUUAUAUUUCACUGAUAAGUUUUGGGAUGACUUGAACUUUAUGCUAUUAGCAUAUAAUGCUAGAAAUAAGUAAGUAUCUUGAUCGUAGACCAUUGGUGUGUUUGGAUACAUAAUUUAUUUUAAAUAUUAAAUUUGUUGCAUCAUAAACACAUUCUCCAACCUUUUUUAUAUUUUCAACCAUCUUCUUUUUUCGCAUUAAUCACAACACAAAAAAAGUAGUAUGGUAAUUAUUAAAGUAUUUUUUAAAUAAUUUUUAUAAGUCAGGUUUUUUAAUGUUUUCAUUGCAUUUCCUUUUGUUUCUGCAGAAACUGGAACAUGGGCUGCUGGGGCUUUUAUACCUAUGGUAGGUAAGAUUAAACUAAAAUUGAACAGGAGAGGUCCUGUCUUUUACACCUAUGGUAGGUCAGUUUUUCACUUUUCUUCUAUCCCAUUUAAUAAUGCUAGAAAUUAUUAAGUAUUUUGGUUGUAGACCAUUGGUGUGUUUGGGUACAUAAUUUUUUUCGAAUAUUAUUUUUAUUGCAUCAUAAACAUGUUCAACACAAAAAAAAAUGUAGUACGGUAAUUAUUAAAAUAAUUUUUUCAACUGUGUUAGUAAAUGGAAAGAUGUACCAAACACCAAAGAAAAUUGGAAAAUUAGUGUCACCUGAAAUCUCCUUCAAAGCAUCCUUGAAGCUAGUGGGUGUUUUAUGGGAGAUUAGUGAUAUUACAAAGGGUGAGAUUAUUACAAACGUGUAUGAAAAUCCCCUGGUGGCCAAUUGUGGCGUCUAAAACACCAGACGCAUCGAUUUUUAAAAUUCCGACCAUGCAGCUGGAAAUCAAUCUGGAACAAGAUGAAUGAUGCAAAAUCUUGAACAAAUGGAUUGAUUACCUUGUUUAGUUAAUUGAAGUCAUGUGCACCUUUUGUCCAAUAACAUUUUCUUCUUUUUUUUCUUUUUCCCUAAGGCGCGGUGCAUCAAGGCAUUUGCUUUCAGCAAAACUCAGAUGAACAUCAUGCAUGUUCUAUUUAUCAAAAAAAAAAAAAAGAAUUGUAUUUGGAUAGUUGAUUAUUUGGAAUAAUUUUCUGAAAAAAAUAUUGUAGUACUUUUUUAAUGUGCUGUAUGUGAAAUAAAAGAUAAUUAAAAAAUAUGUUGAUGAUACAAGCAAAUAAAUUUUGCCAAAUAAUCUACUACGCAAACAAAAGUAUUUGGAGGUUGUGGCAACAGACGGGAUAUUUUUUUUUCCCCAUUACAAUCUCAGUUGGGAAUAGUUCAGCAUAAAUUAUCCAAACUGACCAACUACUUCCUGCAACAAGAAAAUGCGAUUUAAUCAUGUGAUACAGAGGUUAAUCACUAAGCAAGAUUAGCAUGCUUGAGGGCCUUGAAAAUGUCUACUUGUUCAGUGGUCUUCUAUAAAAAGCCAACCGUGAUGAGAUAAUUAUCAAACUGCUAGUGCUGAUUAAUGUACAUUUACCUUGUUGAAAAAGAAAGAAUUAGACCUUACUUGGCUUGAAUUUACAUCUGACAAAUGUGUUACGUAAUUGAACAAGAAAUUCACUAAUUUUCCUUUCAACUUCAAUUGUAUAAGUUGAAAUGUAUAGAACUUUAGUAAUAUUUUUAUAGUUUAUUUUUUCACCAAUAAAUUUUUUCCCUAAUCAUGUAAAAUAAGCGGGAUGUUUUUCUCUAUCUAAAAAUAUGUAAUUGUGGAGAUAAAAUUUAACAAGACUUGUAAAAUGAAAUUAAUUCUUCUAUUAAUAUUUACAUAUUUAUUAUAUAUUUUUCUAAGUAUAUAAUAAUUAGUAUCUAAAAGUACUUUAUUAAAUUAAUACACACAGGUUCAACUAGUGACCCAAUUCCUCUGCUGGACUCCUUAUCAUGUCAAGUUUAAUAAUUAUGCUUUCUCCAACUAGAAAAUACAACUUAAUCAUGAGAUACUCAUGUUCAUCACUGAAUAAGAUUUGUAUCCUUGUGAGCUCUCAAAAUAUCUACUUAUUUUGUGGCCUUAAGUAAAAAGCCCAUUGUGACGAGACAAUUGUCAAACUGCUCAUUAUUAUACUUUUUUUAUAUGAUAGAUUUUAUACUAUAAUUAUUUGUACUCUACAUUAAGAGGUACUGUAUAAGAUUAGUAUCCUUGUGAGCUCUCAAAAUAUCUACUUAUUUUGUGACCUUAAGUAAAAAGCCAAUUGUGACGAGACAAUUGUCAAACUGCUCAUUAUUGUACUUUUUUUUAUAUGAUAGAUUUUAUACUAUAAUUAUUUGUACUCUACGUUAAGAGGAGGGGAUCUAAAAAGAUCAAAGGAAACUCGUCGACCCUGAUGAGUGCAUAGGCACCCACUAGCAAAAUAUUUCUAAUAGAAUCUGGAUAUUAGAAUGUAAACCAAGAAUUUGAUCCUUAACCUACAAUCAAAUAAAACUUUCUUGACGGCCAACUACUCUGUUACUCUAGCAGCAGAGUAGUUGGUUUGUUGAUUAGUGUUAUUGACGUACUAUGAAUUGUAUUGACGUACUCUGUAAUUAGUACUAAUUAAUGUACACUUCCCUUGUUGAAAUUUGAAAAAGAAAGAAGAAAGAAUGAGACCUAGCUCACUUGAAUUUACACCUAUAAAUAUACUACGUAAUUGGAAAAGAACUUAGCUAGUUUGCCAUAUUAUUCUGAAUUGUUUAACCUCUUGGCUCUUCAAAUACCAGCAUUGGCUACCCCUCAUUGCUAAUUGAUCAGGCUAAAUUGAGCUACGGGAAGUGCGUAUAAGGAAAGAGGCUGCCUAAAACCAUGGAAUGCGCUUCAAAUAUCAGGCUUCCGGUCAUAAAUUUAACGGAGGAAAUCCUAAGAUCCGGAAAAGAUUCUUGGACUGAAGCGCGAAACAUUGUCACACGGGCAUUUGAAGAGUAUGGCUGUUUCAUAGCUGUUCAUGAUAAGUAUCCUUCAGAGGUUAGUGAUUCCUUAUUCUCUGAGCUGCAAGAUUUGUUUAACCUGCCGUUGGAGAUUAAAGUCCAAAACACUUCUCAAACUCCCCUCUCUGGUUAUGCUCGGCCAAGACCCAACGUGAACCUCUACGAAAGCAUGUGCAUUGAAGAUGCAACAAAUCUUGAAGCAGUCGAGAAGUUCGCAAAUCAGAUGUGGCCUUCCAAAAAUAACCAUUUCUGGUAAACUUGUUUCCAUUAAUAUGUAAUUCUUCUUAUAGUUUAUUGCUACUAUGCAUUAUUCACAUCCGAAAUGCUUACCUUUUUUUUUUUUUUUUGAAUAUGCCCUCCCAUGACUAGUGAACUGUUUCAUUGCUAUGCAAAUCAAGUAGCAGAAUUAGAUAAAAUGGUGAGCAAAUUGGUGUUUGAAAGCUAUGGUGUGGAGAAGUACCACGAAUCUCAUGUGGGAUCAGUGACUUAUAAUGUUAGAUUCAUAAGGUACAGGGUACCCGAACAGAAUGAGAUGAAUGUCGGAGUUGCUCCUCAUACUGACAAGAACUUCAUAACCAUACUUCAACAGAAUGAAACUGAUGGUUUAGAAGUUCAGUUGAAGAAUGGAAGCUGGAUUCCUAUUGAUUUUCCUCCUUCCUCCGUAGUAAUCAUGGCUGGAGAUGUAUUCUCGGUGAGAUAUUUUCUUUUUUUGUCAUUAAAUGUGCAAGCCUGGAUCAUAUUAAACUUGAUUAGUUACAACAUUGCAAUCCUCUAAAAAUCCAUGUUUUAAAAUUCCAUUUUCCUUUUCAAAUCAUUUCCCUUUGUCAUGAAUAUACCGGGACAAUUGUUAUGUGUUUUUCACCUGAAACUAAAAUGAAAACAAAUAUGCAAAAGAAAGAUUAGACAAUAACAAUAUAUUAAUACUCAAGUGUGGAGGGUUGAGACACGGAUAUUUCUGUUUCUCUUUAAAGUGAUUCAAGCCUCUAUAAAAGAAUCAACUCUAAUGCAACAAGUUUUCUAACUUGUCAUUUCCAAGAUACACCAUUUCAGCCAUACUUACUAACACUCUCUUUAGACUACACAACUAGGAGAGUAUACCUUUAUAAAUGCCUUAUUAAUUUCUUGUCUAACUAUGAUACAGAAAAUAAUGAAUUUAGACUCAAAAGACAUAAACAGUUGCAGUAGAACUUUUCUAUCUCAACUAUGCAUAUAUAUAUAUAUAUAUAUAUAUAUAUAGGUGAAGAAAAGUUAGAUAAACAUAACCUAUAUUCCUAAUAAAGUACUAAGUAAAUGCUGAAAUUAUUGGCCAUUCAAAACACAUUCAAUUUUAUAUUGUAGGUUACAAAAAACUUAUUGUAAUUGAAACAUCAUAAUUUCACAUUCUUUGGGCAAUACCCAUUCAAUCCAAAUUUGAAUUGUAAGUUACAAUACCUCGAAGUAAUUGAAAAGUCAUAAUUUCAUAUAAUAAAUCUUCAGGAAAAACCAUUCAAACACCUAUAAAUUCCAGAAAAUUUCAAUAAUUUAUUUCCCUUGUAACAUGCACAUUUAAUUAUUUUAUUAAAAUACUACAACAUUAUGUAAAAAGCAAAAAACAAAGUUAAAAAACUUUGGUUCAAUUAGAAAACUUGAUUCCAUAAUGGCUUCGCCAUACAUUAUCUAAGUUGGAUGUGUUAUGGUCAAAUUAGAACGAAAAGGAAAAAGGCCUCACAGAUGUUACUACCUUAAUCAUCUAGAAUAUUGGCAUGGCAUUUGUGCCAUAACUUUCAGUAUUUUUGCUGUAAAUGCUGACUUCUCUAGUGGAUAUUAAUACAUUGAUUGUAUACAUUUUUGAAAUGCAGGCGUGGAGCAACGGUAGAGUGCAUUCCCCAUUUCAUAGAGUAACUAUGAACGGAAAAGAAAGGCAUUCGAUUGCACAGUUUGCCUAUUGCAAGAAAUUGGUAGAGACACCAACAGAGCUGGUUGAUGAUGAACACCCCUUAUUAUAUAAGCCAUUGGACAAUUUUGGUUAUCUCCGAUUCUUGAGCACAGAUGAUAAUUUUAAUACUCCAAAUCCACUGAAGGCCUAUUGUGGCGUCUAAAACACCAGACGCAUCGAUUUUUAUGGAUGAAAAGCUUUUUCUUCUUUUAAGUCGAUGUUUAUUCUUCUCCCCUAUUGUGCCCACUUUUUCUUGAAAAUGUUAGGGGAGUAGCUUUCUCCAGGAUUAAUCUAUGCAAUAGUUUAUUUCAGUGUGCUGUCUGUUUUGUACCUAGAAGAAAUAAAUAAGGGAAAAGAAAGAAAUUGGAGGGAUACAAAUAAAUAAAAUUUGGCAAGUAAUCUACUGUUCAAUCAAAAGGAUUUGGAGGUUGACGCAUCUGAUGAGAUAUUUUUUUCUUCCCAUUUCAAUCUCAGUUGGACUAAUUACUAAACUGACUAAUUACUUCCUCCAACUGAAAUCUAAAUCCACAUUCCACGCCCUCGACGGGAGCAAACGAGAUCGUAUUCUCAAUACGCUAAGCAUCGAGCUACGCUGCAAAUUCCGUCUAGUUCAAUUUCUUCACGGGCCUACACAAGUUUUUGCCGUAUGCUAUAAAUCCACAUCCUACACCCUUGAUGGGAGCAGAUGAGAUCGUAGUCUUCUCAAUACACUAAAAAUGCAUCGAGCUAGCGCUGCAAAAUCCGUCCAGUUCAAUUUCAUGGAUAACCCAAAGUUGCAAAAACUUCCUGUCAUCAAUUUCAUGGUAAAGGUUUUCAUGUGAAUUUAUACUACUUGAAAGAUCGAUAGUGUUAGUAAUUGAACCAAAUUAGCCUGCAUGUAUUAUGUAUUAAACGUGCAAAGUGUUUAAAGUAAAAUUUCACCUCAUGGAAAGUGUCUUUGUAAAUUUAAGAGUCUACUUGUCAUACGGUGGGAGCAAUUCUAACAUCAUUGUUAAGUUGCAAAUUGACUUUAUUUGGCUCACAACAUUUUUUACCUAUCAUUUGAGUAACUUAUUUAGAAGUAUUUGCUUAGAGAGAUUUUUUGGGUUAAUUAUUGCCCCAACUGAAAAAUAUUUUUAGCUCAUUGUGUAAAACAAGGUGAAUAUUUUUGGGUUGGGAGCAAAAUUAAAUAAAUUGAAGAAACAUUAAAAAUGCAAGGUGAAAAACCGUUCUUAUUAUAAUAAACAAAACAGUUGCACACCACAAGAAAGAGGGAAAAUAAAACAAGAUUAAGUAUGCGAUCGCAUGUGACGUGAACAUGUAUAUCAAUGACCUCAUUGUAGUAACGGCAAUUGUUCUCUAGUUGAAGAACUUUUAUAUUUGUUUUCUAAAAUAAUUUUGAUAUAGUUAUUCUUUUUGUCCUCUAUAUGUUUUAAUUAAUCGAUAUAUUUUGUCCUCUAGAAAGCGUCCUUAUUUUUUAAAACAAAAAUCAAGAUAAUCAAGCUUUUUUUUUUUUGCAGGCAUGGAGCAACAGCAGAAUACAACCUUGUUUUCAUCGAGUUUUAACGAACGCGAAUGCAAAAUGAUUGUCAUUGGUGAUGUUCUCUUUCAAUAGUGGGGUCUUACACAUCCCUCAGGAGUUGAUUGAUGAUGAACAUCCACAGCGCUUUGAGUCAUUUGAUGGCCUGGGAUUGCUCGAUUUCUUUGUCGAAGAACUGCGAAUGGGCCUGCCAACCAUAGUUAUUAAACCCGGCCCGAGAAGAAAUCCGGUGAAAGAGGUGGAUCAACAGAUUACUGGUUUAAUCAGUGGGUGAGUGGUUCAACAGGUGAGUCACUAAAUAUACUUAAAUAUUAUGUCUUAUAAAUUUUUAUAUGAUUGAAAUUAUAAUAAACUGUGCCUUAGUAAAUGUUUAAUUAGUCUAAUUUAUUAUAGAAUCAUUAAUGCUUAUAAGAAUCAACAAAACUUAAUUUUGCCUUAUGGGAAUUUCAUUAUUUUUAACAAACUUUUGGUUUUAACUUAUGGAAAUAAACUAGAUAAUGUUAUUUUAUUAAAAUUUGCCUUAUGGAAUUUGGAAAAUAAAUAAAAUUUUAUUAAAAGAUUCCAAAUAAAUUUUAUUUUGAAGAAAUAAAAGAAGAAUAAAAGCGUAAUAUAUAAUAUAAGAAGGACCAAACUAAUAAGUGGAUUGUUGGUCUAGUGGUGAUUACACUAUAUUCUUAUACUUGAGGUCCCAAGUUCGAACCAUCAAUGCAACAUUUUCUAAAAAAAAUUUCGCAUAGUAACCCGGGUUCCUCAGAAAAAUCGGCUGGUUCACUGGGUUGAUCGGUUCAUCAAAAUGAUCUAAUUAACGGGUUCAUCAAAAUGGGUUCAGCGAUUUGUCAAAAAGUCAAUGGUUCUACUGUCGAGACGAUCUAAUUAGCAACCCGGCCCGGUUCUAUGACCAGUUCACCGGGUUGAUCGGUUGAACCGUCGGGCCGGGCUGAGUUUAAUAACUAUGCUGCCAACUGAUUCUACCACCAAGAAAUAUUGUAGUCUUUGACUUUUGAAAUCUUUCUCAAAAUCUCACACACACACAUAUACACACACUAGUGAGAUGGCCUGUGCAAUGCGCAGGGGAUUAAUAUUUCCCAUGUUAACUGUGUUUUAUUGUAUGGAUUUAUUAGUAUAAAUCUCUAUUAUUAUCUAAUUUAUGUAGAUCAUUAGGGAAUUGUUGUUUUUGUUAAAGGUUAACAAUUAUGAAAUAUAUAGAAUGUAUGAGAGCGCUUAUAUAGAAUGCAUAAGAGCAAUGUUAUUUUCCAUUUGGAUUAAGAUAAUUAGAAAUUUAUACAGUAAAUGAUUCCCAAAAGAGUAUUAAUCAUCGUUGACACAAAAAAGAAGGGACCUGCAAGUCAAUUAAGCACUUAAACCAUAGAACUUGACAUUACUAAAAAUUAAUCACCACUAAUUAAGCACGUAACCAAACAAACCCAAAUUAAACGACGUGUCAAUUUGAUCAAAGCAAUCAACUUUCUGAUCCCAAUCUUUGACAGUUUAUUUUCACAUUCAAAUGACAAAAAAAAAACUCCAUUAUAAAAUAAGUGAAAUUAAAUUACUCUAAACUGAAAAAAAGCCAUUAUUAAUUAGCUGAAAAUUAAGAAAGUGACCAACCCUACUCAGCUACUCAUAUGCAUAAUAGGAAAAGUAAACUUUAUUUUGUUUACAUACAAAUAUUCUAGAAAUUUAAAAUAGAAAAUGAGGCAGUAUUACUGUAAAGGGAAAAAAGUCCCAAUGGCCCUCCAACUUUUGGCCGCGUAAAAUUUUAGCCUUUUAACAGUUAUAAGAAAAUUUUUGGCCCUCGAUCUAGUAGAAGUACAAAUUCUUGACCCUUCUGUCAAUUUCAGUAGUUAUGAGUGACGGAGAACAUCGUCAUGUGUGACGCACGAGAAAAUAACAAGGGCAUUCUUGUCCAAGCGAGAGUAUUAAUCGAGUAAAAAUUUACUUGCUUCUUCUCCUAUCCACCUUCAAUCCCUAGGGAUUUGGGAAAUGCUAUCCUUGCAUAAUUCGAUUUGGGACUUUUCAAUUCAAGAAUAGUACAAAACAGACAAAUUCCUAUCGGCACGAGAAAGAGAUCAUAGUAAUGGUUUUCUAUCCCACUGAGGUACCUUGUUCUAACAUAAAAGAACAAAAAUUCUUUGCCUAAAGCAAAAAGAAACAGCACAUUGAGGAUAGCUGAAGGAAAUUGAAACAAACUCUUGACAUGCAUAAUAGGAUUGCUCUUGAUAACCUGGGAUUGCUCGAUUUCUUUCUCGAAGAAAUGCGAAUGGGCCUGCCAACUGAUUCUACCACCAAGAAAUAUUGUGGACUUUGACUUUUGAAAUCUUUCUCAAAAUCUCACACACACACACACAUAUACACACACUAGUGAGUUGGCCGCAUAUCGAUCAAGCUGGCAAGCAUCAGCACUAGCUAGUCAUAGAGUCUCUGAAAUUCUCUCAAAGUGCUUAACUACAAAUCCAUUUCAGAAGGUGUUUGACUUUUAAAAGACAACAAAGAAGUCUCUGACCAUACGCUUCUCACAUAGCACUGAAAUGAUUUGCUUAAACAUCAUCCAAAAUUUCUUUCUUUUAAAACCUAUUUUCUUUUGAAAGCUAUAUCUGUUUGGAUUGCUAUUUUUAGAAUUUUUUAUAAAAAAAUAUAUUAUAGUGAUUUGAUGUAUGUGAAAUAAAAAAGUGAUUGAAAAAUUUGUUUACGAAAAAAUAUAUAUAAAAAUUGUCUGAUAGAAAAUCUCAAUCCAAACAAGGCCACGAAAGAAAAGUACAAGUAGCAAAAUUUUUACCUAACAUCUAUUUAACUAUUCAGAUAAUCUGCAGCUUGUACGUCUGAAAAAUGCAGCACAUUUACACAUGAUAUGAGCAAGCUAAGAUAUCAUUUCUAGUUUGCCAUUAUUGUUACAAGCUAACCAGAAAAAAUCUUUUGAAAGGAGAGUAGCUCAACCAGGUGUAGAUGCAACAAACUUAACAAGAGUACAAGCGAUAGGAUUACUAUUCUUAAAAGAGUAAAUUAUCUAGAUGGCCACUAAACUUAUGCAAUUGUCGAGUUUUGGUCACUAAACUAUUAAAAGUCUAAUUUUUGCCACUGAAAUGUAUAAAGUUAAGAUUCAAAGCCAUUCCGUUAGAUUUAGUCGUUAAGUUCAAGAGGGAACGUUAUUCGAGGGACAAUUUAGGAAGUUCAUAAGCAAGAACAGCUUCGUAGACAAAUCCAUUGUUCCCCCUACCAAGCUCAUUGAACUCCUUGAAACCAUUGGUGGCAUCCUUCAGUUCUGAAAGCCGAAACACUUGGACAGUCCCAGGACAUUGGACCACACACGAAGGAGGAUUAGGAUACCAUUGGACCACACCCAAUGGCUACUUUGUCAACCGAACCCGAACUUCAAAAUGACACCGUUUUGCUGGCGAAUUCUCCCAUAGUACUAGAGUUAUCUCCCUAUGGCGUUUCAUACGUACACGGGUCAGCAUUGCAAUUUUGGUUUAUGCCCAGGGAAGUACUCCUGUGAUGCACCGGAUAAAGGACUAUAAGAUGAAGACCCGGAUGGGUCAAAGAUCGGGUCGGAUUGGUUAAAGCAUGCAUCGCAGGGCUGGCAUUGGAGCUAGUUGAUUUGGCUACCCGUAUCUGAUACCAGGUAGAAUUCUUUCACAGGUUGGCCCACUCUGAUCCAAGCUAAGUACUCUCCCUCAGAAUGAGUUAGUGGAGUUUCCAGGUCCUCAGAUUUGGAUCACCAUUGGACCACAAAUCUUAAGAUCUUUUCGAACACACAAGUUGGUCAGAUCUGGCUCAUUGAGAAUGCUGGUGUUGAAGGCCAAUUUUUCUUCACCACAAAUAGCAAGGGCGCAUAAUCCGAGACUGCAUAACUGCAAUGGAGGAUCAUAAUCUAAAGGUGAAGGACCAUUUACGAACCAACAAUCAAGUACUAGAUCAGCCUCCCUGAUGCCACAGGUAACAAAAUCCGUGGAAGCAAGGGCAAGAAAACCAGAACUCUUUGGAACCAAAGACGAAUUAAAGUUCCCCCAACUUUCAACUCUGUGAGCAUCUUCUCGAAUCCCACAAAAAUGUUUUUGUCCAGCUACCAUCGAAACGAAGCGAAUCUAGUAGAAUGCCAAAAGAAUCAUUAUUACCCAACAAAUGUCUCCCUGAUUUGCCCCUUUCUUUUGUCUUGGGAAUUGCAUGGACACUCAGAUCUGGCGUAUUUAAUGACUAAAUCUAAUGGAAUGACCUUGAAUCUUAACUUUACAUAUUUCAAUGGUCAAAACCAAACUUUUAAUAGUUUAGUGAUCAAAACUCGACGAUUGCAAAAGUUUAGUGACCAUUUGAAUAAUUUGCUCUUCUUAAAAUCCUUGCCUUGUAUGUUUAAAACUACUAAUCAUUAUGCAUUCUAUUACCUUCAAAGGAAUUAAAUCAUAGUGCGGUAAUUCUGUUAACCAACCUAGCAAAUAUCUCCAUCCACAAGUUCACCAGAGGCGAUUCUUCGCUAGUAUUCUACAAGGGGCCCUGCUCCAUCUAUUUCUACAGUUGAACCAAAAUAAUCCAAUAAACAACAAAAACUAAAACUUCAUGUCCAUUAAAAAUGCCACUAGUAGAAUUGUGAACCAUAAAUCACCAAUAAGGUAUCAACCUCCAUUAGCUACCCUUGCAGCAUCAGCAUGCAAACCUCUGGAGAACAGGUAAGAUGGAUGGUAACAUCUGCAAAUAUCUACAUAUCGGUGUAGACUUUUGUUGCCUUUCACUCGUAUUGACCCAAAAAUGUUGUCUUUUUGAAAAUCCGAUAGAGACAGUAUCUACUAUGUACCGAGAGGCUGAUUUGAAUUGCUUGAUGGACCUAAGAACUGCUCUCAUCUCCAAAUCAGAACUCAAGUAAAGCAAAAAGAGGAUAGCUGCCAAUCCAGUUUUGCCAAGGAAAGAGUAAAAAACCCCUGAAUUUCGCCUCAAAGCUGAAUCAAUUUGCUGUGAGAGAAAUGAUACAUUACAAUCAGAAUAUUCCCAUUUUAAAGGAUCAUAAAAAGACAGACUUUUAACUGUAGCAUCUACUUUACUCAAUCAAAAAACAGCAUUUCCCUACCAUGAAGUUCGAAAACAUUAAUCCAUCAAGUAACACUACCAUUGUGCAAAAACCAUCGACUUCAAUCAUUAAUCACUCAUAAUGGGCACAAAGAAAUCUCAUAUUCUUCAGACAAUAAAACAGAAAGAAUAUUGAAAGCAUCAACAAUCUCAUCGUCCCUAUUAACAUAUUACAUCCAAUAUCAAAUUAGAGGCUGAAAAAGACAAGAAUCACGUCUUUUUCAUACAAUCCUCCCUGGUCAAAAAGAUUGAAGAGAUUAAGAGAAAAGGUCAAGGAACACACCUGAUUAGAUAAAAUGAGCAAAACCCAGGUGUAAAAACCUAUGAAGUCAAAGACUGGAUUAUUGUUAGGCUUUUUAAAAAAAUAAUGCACCUUCUUGUAAAUUGGAUUUCAUCUAAAAAUUUUUCUAAGGCUUGUACAUAAAAUUAACAAAAUUGAUUAAGCAAACAGGCUGCAAGGCUUUGUCAAGUUUUUUUUUAAGUACCUUGUGAGGAUGGUCAUUCCGGCUUGAUUUAAUGAAGGUCAUACCCUCGCUUCGGAAUAAUAGACCCAUCUGUCACGACCACCUCGGCCUCACCUAGCAUCGCGAUGACCGAGGUAUUCCUACCAUCCCGCAGUCACCUCGGCACAGUGUUAUGGUCAACCACAGCCGGAGUUCUAGCCAGGAAAUCGAAGACUGAACAGUAGACAUGACCGCUGACACUGUGUCCUCUCCUGACUCUGUCUACUGCUCUGACACUGCCCAGAGUGGUCCCGUCAAGGUGAUAUGCUGUCUCAAUCAAAUGUCUAGGGAAAUGGAUCCCACUAUCCUUCCCUCUAAAUUGUCUCCUAUAAAUAGCAGAAUGUUCCACUGAGAAAGGGGAUGAAUCUCUGGUAACUAAAGCUUACUCUCUCCCACAUAAUUCUUUUAUACCUCAUUCCAAAUUAACUUAAUCUUCGGAGGAAAAUCGGGGGACUUAGCCCCACAUCUAACCAUCUAAGCAGGUGAUUCUGGUGUCCUACCUCUUCGAGCAAAGGUAUACUCCAGCUUAUCCGAAGCAAUCCAUCGGUCCAAAAUCAUCUCUUCAAUUGGCACUGUCUGUGGGAAAUCAAAGACAUCAAAGGAUGAAGCCUACGUGUUUUAGGAGUAGAAAGGUUCUCACUAUUGGAGCUGAGCCGAGUACUACAGCUCAACACGAAAAUGUUUCUGGAGGACAAGGGUCUCCAGAGAAUCAGCCUACAAACGAAGAAGCCAUAGCCCGAAUGACCGAGUUUGUAUCUGAUAACCCUAAUAUCUUUGAAGAAUUAGGGAGAUACUUCAAAAAGCAAGGCAAGUAAAAAGUGGAAUCCUCUAAAAGAAAGUCGAAUGAGUCUCCCGAACUCCCAUUUGAUGAGGAAUCUGAAGGGAGACCCUCCAUCAGGAAUACUCCGAAGCAAGUCUCCUCCAAAGCCACCUCGAGGAUUGCUUCCAUUUCUAAGGCAUUCUCGAGGGGCCUGCUAGGGAAACGAGCUGAGGAAAAACCUCGACAUUCCGGGAGGCCGAAAGUAGAUUACAUGAGGGCUCCGCCUUUCACGGACGACAUUAACGAGGAAAAGCUCCCCUCAAACUUUAAGUUGCCUGCCAUACCAUCUUAUGACGGCCGAGGUGAUCCGAAGGAUCAUAUUCACGCAUUCAUCUUGGCAUUCUGAUUGUAUUGUAUUCUCGACCCAGUUAUCUGUCGAAUUUUUCUAGUAUUUUUGCAGGAGAUAGCUCAAAAAUGGUUCUGGGUCUGCAACCUAGGAGCAUCUCUACUCUAGGAGAAUUAAUGGACAAAUUCCUCCACCAGUUUAUCUCUUCUAGGCCAACGACGAAGACCUCGGUUUAUCUACUAAAUAUACAACAGAAUUUGGGGGAGUUCCUCUACGCUUAUGUGUAAAGGUUUCAAGAUGAAAGCGUGUAGAUAUCUGAUCCCAACAAAUAGAUAACCAUAGCCGCCUUCACAAUGGGCUUGUUGUCGAGGUAUUCAACACCGCAAUACACAAGAAAUAUCCUCGUACACUUCGGGAGCUCUGGAAAAAGGUCAAAAAAAGCAUACAAGUUGAAAACCUAAACCGUAUGAAAAGAGAAGCUCAGGUGGCUCGUUCGGGAACUGAUUCCCGAAAAUUGAAGGAAUCAGGCCAAAAUGAAACUGGCAACAGCGGUGGGUUCCAAAACCCUAAUUGAGACCGCCGAAGCGUGUUUGAUAGAAUAGCCAAGGGAAAGUCCUCCGUCCCUGAUUCCAAGCUCACUCCCUUAAACACCAACCGAUCUCAUAUCCUUGCCAUCAUGGAGCAGAAUUAUCUGGGCCAUGCAUCCCCAAGGAUGGGUAGAAAGAGAGAGAAAAAAAACUCUAACCUUUACUGUGCCUACCACCGGGAUUUUGGACACAAGAUCGAAGAUUGCAAUGACCUGAAAAGAGACAUUGAAAGCUUAAUCAAGUGAGUAUACCUAAAGUAGUUUGUUCACCGAGAUGGAGACCGGAACCAGAGUGAUGCCCGUCGUGAUCGCCGAAGUGAAACACAUAGGGAUGAAAGACGGGGAUCAAGAAAUACCUGUCGACCCCCGCAGGAUUCUAGGGAGCCGAAGAGGCCUCCCAGAGAUAGGUCCCUUUGUGGUAGAUUCUGUUAUGGGCCAAACAUAGCUUGGGUCAUAAACACCAUAGCUGGAGGUCCGACGGGACGAGACAGCCAAAACUUCCAGAAGAGGACCUACAGGCAAGCUAAUCCUGAUUAGGCCGAGCCCAGCUCUCGUUUAUCCAAGGUAAUCACCUAUGGACCUAGUGAUCCCGUCCCUACUGCUUCAAACAGUCAUGAAACCCUAGUGAUAGAGGUGCUCACCAACAAUUAUAUUGUCAAGAAGGUGUACGUCGACCCAAGGAGUUCAGUUGACGUUAUGUACUUCCGAACCUUCGAGAGAUUGAAAUUGACUAAGGAACAGUUAACCCCAAUCAGAACCCCCCCUGUGGGGUUCGGAGGACACAUGAUGCAUCCUGAAGGGAUAGGCAUGUUGAUGGUGACUGUGGGACGUCACCCCUAUUGCCGUAUCAUCCCUGUCAACUUUGUCGUGGUUAAAGCUGACUCUCUUUACAACCUACUCAUGGGCCGACCUACACUCAAUGCCCUGCUUGCGGUAUAUUCCACGUACCAUUUGAGUUUCAAAUUCCCAACCCCGGCUAGCAUUACCGAAAUGAGCAGCAAUGUUUGUGCUGCGCGAGAACGUUACCUCACCACUUUACAGGCCGCAUCUCCCUCGAUCUCCGAGUCAAGGGCUGAGAAGUGGUCGAGUAUUUUUUUAAUUAAUUGCAUUGAUCCUCAACAGACCAAGAAACCAAAAAGGCCAGAGACCGGAGAUGCGGUGACGGAUAUUUCUCUGGACCCAGCAAAACCAGAACAAACAGUCCGUGUCGACAUCCACUUGCCUGAGCUUUUUAGAGUCCAGAUGGUUAGCCUCCUAAAAGAGUAUCAGGACAUCUUCGCGUGGACUGCCGAGAAGGUUACAGGAGUGUCGCACCAUCUCAUGUUGCACGAGUUGAACGUGAACCCUCAUGCACGCCCCGUUAAGCAAAAAAGAACGCACUUCGGCCCAAAACGUAGUUAAGCCGUUGGCGAAAAGAUGGAUAAACUCUUGCCGGCGAAGAUGAUUAAGGAGGUGUAAUAUCCAACCUGGUUAUCCAAUCUCAUCAUGGUUAAAAAAGACACGGGGGCAUGAAGGAUGUGCAUGGACUUUACCGACCUAAACAAAGUAUAUCCUAAAGAUUGCUAUCUACUGCCUAGAGUUGAUGCCUUGGUAGACUCGGCAAUGAGAUAUGAGGUCCUCUGCUUCCUUGAUGCCUUCAAAGAAUAUCACCAAAUCAGGAUGAACAAGGAAGAUCAGGAGAAGACGGCCUUCUUCACAAAUCAGGGUGUGUACUGUUAUACCACCAUACAUUUUGGACUAAAAAAUGCUGGGACCACAUAUCAGUGUCUGGUCAACCGCAUCUUCAAAUCUCAAAUAGGCCAAAAUGUAGAGGCAUACGUGGAUGACAAACUCGUGAAGAGCAAGAAGACCUCGGCCUUCUUAUCCGAUCUAAAAGAGGUCUUCGAAAUCCUCCGUGAUACUAGGAUGAUACUAAAUCCCAAGAAAUGCGUGUUCGGAGUUAUUUCGAGAAAGUUCUUGGGGUACCUCGUAUCACGACGGGGUAUAGAAGUCAAUCCUGACAAGAUGAAGGCAAUUCAAGAAAUGUCACCACCUCGAUGUACUCGAGAUGUGCAAAGAUUAACAGGGUGAUUGGCAGCCCUGAACCGAUUUUUGUCGCAGUCUGCUUCUAAAUCACUGCCCUUUUUCAAAAUAUUGGAGAAAGUUGAUUAGUUUCUCUGGACGGGAAAGUGCCAACAAGCUUUUGAACAAAUGAAAAAAUACCUGCACCAUCCCCCAACUCUUACCUCACUUCGACCAGGGGACAAGUUAUAUUUGUACUUGUUUGCCGCCGAUGAAGCGGUAAGUGUCGUGCUGAUACGGGAGAAAAGUGUCCAGAUGCCGAUCUAUUAUGUUAGUCGGGUCCUUCGAGGGCCCGAAAUCAGGUACACCCAGACAGAGAAGUUGGUGCUUGCCUUGAUUCAUGCAGCCCGAAAGUCGAAGCCUUAUCUUUUAGCUCACCACGUCUGCUUAAAGGACAGAUCAGCCCCUCAGACAGAUCUUAUCAUGCCCCGAAACUUCUAGAUGACUUAUCAAAUGGGCCAUCGAAUUGGGAGAAUAUGAUCUAUCUUUCGAGUCUCGAACAGCCAUCAAAAUUGAGAUUCUAGCUGACUUCUUAGCAGAGCUCACUUUCAACGAAGUGAAAAUGUCCACCUUAGGUAAUGUCGAGCCUCAGCAGUAGAUCUUGCAUGUAGACGACUCGUCUAAUAGUGAGGGUAGUGGAGUAGGCUUGCUCCUCGAAGACCCGUAAAGGGAUUUGUGUUUGUACGCUCUUCGAUUUGACUUCACCGCUUAUAAUAAUAAAGUUGAGUAUGAAGCGAUCAUAGCCGGCCUGCAGUUAGCUCACAAACUCGGUGCCCGACGUAUCCUGGUCAACAGUGACUCCCAACUCGUCGUGUGUCAGAUACUUGGUGAGUACGAAACCAGAGAGGAUGUCAUGCAACAUUAUCUCUCCCAGGUCCACCAAUUAACUACACACUUCGAGUCAUUUGAAAUCCAAAGGAUACCUCGGUCGCAGAACAAACCGAUCGACGCAUUGUCCCACAUCGCCUCUACUUCUUUCUCUGCCUUAAACAAGACGGCCCUUGUCGAAAUUCUCGCCGAGCCGGAUUAUUUAGAAGAGAUCGUGUGUCCCGUUCAUCCUGGGGACACUUGGAUGAGUCCACUAGUUCGACUCCUCAGUCAAAGAGAGCUACCAGAGGACCGAGCUGAGACCAGAAAGUUUCAGCAUAAGUCAGCUCGGUACGCUCUCAAAGACAAUCUCUUGUACAAGAGAUCCUACCUCGACCCAUGGCUACGGUGUAUCACACCGGAAGAUAGGGAAAGAAUUCUUCAGGACAUACAUGAGGGGUUCUGUGGUGCUCACGUUAGCUAUCGGAUGUUGGUCAAAAAGGCCCUACUGUUUGAGUACUUCUGGCCCACUAUUCGAUGAGAUGCUCAACUCCUAGUUUUCGGUUGUCCUUCUUGCCAACAUCAUGUCCCAGAACACCAUCAACCGACCAACCUGAUGAUCCCCAUCACUUCGCCAUGGCCUUUCGAGCAAUGGGGGACAGAUAUAAUCGGCCCAUUUCCUAGAGCCACUGGCAGUUAUGCCUAUUUGGUGGUGGCAGUGGAUUAUUUCACAAAAUGGGUCGAAGCCGAACCCCUAAGGAGCAUAACUGGUUUAGUUGUCCAGAAGUUCUUUUGAAAGAGUAUAGUUUGCCACUUUAAACUACCCCGAGUUGUUAUCUUGGAUAAUGGAAAGCAAUUUGCCGACAACCCCUUCAAGGGGUGGUGCGAGAAUCUGGGGAUCAAACAAUAUUUGACCUCGGUGGGACAUCCCCAGGCCAAUGAACAAGCUCAAAAUUUCAUUCAUAAGCUCCUCCAUGGCCUGAAAACUAGGUUGCAUCAAGCCGAAUCAUCGUGGGUGGAUAAGCUUCCUAGUGUGCUGUGGUCCUAUCGAACCAUCCCAAGGUCCGCUACACAAGAAAUCCUAUUUUUCCUGACUUAUGGGUCCGAAGCGGUGGUUCCCGCUGAAUUCAUCACUCCUAACCGUCGCAUAGCAGCCUUUGCCGCCGAGGUCAAUAAAGACGAGAGAAAAGUCGACCUCGACUUUGCCGAGGAGAAAAAAGAUAUCGCAGCAGCUAAAGUGGCAUUGUAUAAGAGUAUCCUGGCUAGCUACUAUAACGCGCGAGUUAGGCAUCUUCGGUUCAAUCCCAGAGAGUUAGUUUUGCGGAAGAAUUUGGUUAGCCGAACUGAACCUCAAGAAAACUUAGCUCCCAGGUAAGAAGGACCAUAUCACAUCAUUGAAUCUACCCGAAAUGGUUACUAUAAACUAACUUACCGAAAUGGUUCUUUAGUGCCCUGAACUUGGCAUGCGGAGAAUCUCAAGUUGUACCACCCAUGAAAAAUAUGUCUAUUCAAGAACUAUUCCAUUAUUUGUUCUCAAAUUAUUUAUUUUUUCCUUAAUACUGUUCUUUCCUAAACAAAAAAUAAAGGGACAAGGCAAGUACGAAAGAAGAAAACAGAGACAAGUGUAAAAAGAAGAAGUCAUUGGCAUUAAAAAUAAGGGAUUACAAAAUGCCGAGGUCAUUGCCUCGCCGCUUUAUUAGAAAAUGUCAAGUGCAGGAAUCUUCUAAGCAUUUUCUGCCUCGGUACCCCCGACAUCCUCAGUUUCACCAACGCCGGUCCCUUCUCAUCCGACCUCAUCUCCCCGACUCAUAUCCAUCUACAUCGUACUCAGAAAGUCACUGAUUAAAUUCUUCUCUAACCUCGGCCAGGUCUCUGCCGGCCUGGAUACCUUCAGCUACGCAGUCGCAUAAUUCCUUGGCAUCUUCAUUAAAUUUGAGCUUGUUCUUGAGGGACUCCAACUGCUCGGCAGAAAGGAAGGGCGCCGCGUCGUUGGCUACCGAAGUGUAUCCAAACAUGAAACUCGGCAGUGUUAACUCGCCGAGAUCACGAGUGAAGGCCUCGGACCUACGGAAGGCCUCCAGAGCCAAAGUGCCAGCCUUCUCUAUUGCCUCCUUGGCUGACUGCUCUUCUUGAGCUCUUCUGUCUUUUUCUUCAUCGAGGGCCAUCCUCAAAGUGUUGUUUGUGGUUUCGGCUUGCUCUCGUUCGGCCACUGCUUUAUCACGUUCCUGUUUGGUGGCUUUCAGCUUUUCUUUCAGCUCGAAGAUCUUCUUCUAGAGUUCGGAGGAUGGCUGGUAGUGCUCGAGCAUAUUAGUAUAAAGCUAAGUCAUCUUGGAAAAGAAGCCUGAGGCGGAGGCCAUGCGACUGUGGCACUCUGCAUCAGUUUGGCAAGCGUGAGAUUCCUAACAUAGGUAUGGUCCCUAGGCAAGACGGAGUGCACCAAGAGCUCGUGUGCAACCCAAGGAUCUUUGCAACAAUCGUUCACGUUAAAAUCCCACUCCGGGCACUACUGCCUGUCGGAGUGUCUCUUGUCCUCUCCGACUUCUUAAGGUGGCACAUGGUGGACGUUCCAUAAAGACGAUCCCGAGGCUGCAACUUCAAGAAGUAUUAUUACCCCUUGACCCGGGGGUGGAGAGGCUAUCAUGACGCCUCGGAUAGCCAUCCCCAUAGGAAUGACCGAGGUGUAUGAAGUUUCGAUCGGAACCAUUGGAGUAGCUCAACUUGUGGUGGUGGUGGUGGUCCUCUUCUUCGGCUAAGCAGACGUUUGGGCAGCAGCUUUCCGUUUUGUUGGCCUUUUGUUUACUACGGCGGAUUCUGAAGUAAUUAGGUCGGAUACCCUUGUCACUGUAUAAGAAAAAUGUAAGGUUACUUAGAAUUAAACAAAAGUAAAAACAAAGCAAUGAAUGGAAAAAUACAAGAUUUUUGAAGCCUAGUAGAGAAGAAAAGUGUGCGAUCCAGGCUGAUUAAAACUCGGCUGAUUCCGCCAUUAACGAGGACCGCCUUGAGAAACGCCCAACUGUUUAUUCUGAGGCCCGACCCUAUCAAUUUCUGAAAGUUCUCUUCUUCUAGGUCCCCAGGAGAGGUGUCUUUUUCCGGGGUAGGGGGCCUCUACAAGAAUCUCCUCGGAAAGUCCUCGGCCGGGACAAAUACGAAGUUAUGUUUUCACUCCUUUAUUGAAGUAGAGGCAUCUACUACAACUUCGAGACCUUGUUCCCGAAGUAGAACCACCUCUUUUCACUUCCGCUGUUCUUGAUAGUAUAACAACAGCGGAAGAGAUUGACCGUCGGGACUAUCUUUUGAUGUCGGCGCAGCAUCUCAAAACUGACCAGGACCCGGACUGCAUUGGGGAUGAGUUGAAUGAUCCUCUCCCCCUAAUAUCUGAGGUAGUCUCGGAAGAACUUGGAGGUCGGCAUUUUGAGCCCGGCCUCCAGUUGAUCCGUGUAUAUCGCCACCCUAUCUUUCGAGGGCCGCUUUGCUGUUUAAUUCAGUCCUGGUGGACGGAUGCUGUAUUCACCCCGGAAAGGGUAUCUGAAGACCAUCUCGGCUGUCAGGGAUUCACCCAUGAUACUGUUAAACAUGGGGACUUGGCCAUAAUCGACAACCGACAGAUCUAGAGGGGUGGCUAGUUCAAGCAUCCCUCGUCAUGUGGUACCUCUGUCCCAAACUCGUAGUUGUAGAGCACUUCUGAUUCCUCUUGGCUCAGUGCUUGUGAAGUCCCGGCCCCAUAGCACACUUCGGCAGCUUUUUCCCCGGGUUAGACGAGGUCCCUUCCCCAAGAUUGGACAAAGCUCCUUCCUCCUGAGUGGGAUCGUGAACCUCUACCUCGGCGAAAUUUGGCCUCACUGUCUCGUUGUGUGGGUGAGCUGUUCUAGUCAAAAUCAAAGUGAAGGGAAGAAAAGUGGUGAACUUACUCUUGAAGGAGAUCAGGAUUUCGGGGUUUGUCGAUGUGAGAAUACUACAAAGGUUUGCUCUGAGGUGAUUUGAGAUUUUUGCAGUAAAAAGUGAAAGAUGAAAUGGAUCCCAUAUUUAUAGACCAAUAAGGUGAAGUUGAACAGGCGACAUGUUUGGGAUUCCCUAGGGAAACAUCCUCUCUUCUCAUUAAUGAGUUACUAUCAGUCUGACCGAUGGUCUCAUGUCCUUUCGGGAACCUAUCAUGAAAGCUGCCAACCGUCUCAUCAUUUCCUUCUUAUCUACACGCAUAUGACGUGUCAUUAGUGCAAAUUUGCAUUUUGGAACCAUUCGGUAGCCUCGGGAAGGAACGAGUUGUUUCCUUCUCCCGGAGACUUGGGGGGCUUAGUGAGGAUGGUCAUUCCUGCUCGAUUUAACCGAGGUCAUACCCUCGCUUCGAAAUAAUAGACCCAUCUGUCACGACCACCUCGGCCUCACCUAGCAUUGCGACGACCGAGGUAUUCCUACCAUCCCGCAGUCACCUCAGCACAGUGUUAUGGUCAACCACAGCUGGGGUUCUAGCAAAGAAACCGAAGACCGAACAGUAGACAUGACCCCUGACAGUGUACCCUGUCCUGACUCUGUCCACUGCUCUGACACUGCCCAGAGUGGUCCUGUCAAGGUGAUACACUGUCUCAAUCAAAUGUCUAGGGAAAUGGAUCCCACUGUCCUUCCCUCCAAAUUGUCUGUUAUAAAUAGCAGAAUGUCCCACUGAGAAAGGGGAUGAAUCUCUGGUAACUAAAGCUUACUCUCUUCCACAUAAUUCUUUUAUACCUCACUCCGAACUAACUUAAUCUUCGGAGAAAAAUAGGGGGAUUUAGCACCACUUCUAACCAUCUAAGCAGGUGAUUUUAGUGUCCUACCUCUUCGAGCAAAGGUAUACUCCAGCUUAUCCGAGGCAAUCCAUCGGUCCAAAAAUCACCUCUUCACCUUCCAAACAGCCCGGCAGCCUUUGAGAAAAGUUUCCAGCCUAAGCCCGGCAGCUUAACAUUUUAAAAAAAUAUAUAUAUUCAAGCAGGUUGUCAGGCUAACAAUCUUAGCAACCUUUUAGAAAAAUUCCUAGCUGGCUGCUGAAAAAAAAAAUUUGCCUUGCCUGUCGAGCUAAUUAGCACGGUAGGCAUAGUUCUCUAUCAUUUUCCUGUGAAAUCAAUAUUCAUGAUUUUUUUUAAACAAUAAACAAAGGAAUUAGUGGAUAUAACGCACUUAUAAAUAGUAGAAAUGCAUAUUAUUCUAUCCUCUUUUUCAACACUUGAUACAAAGGGAAAAAAAUCGUGGCACAACAAUUAUUAUUAUUUUUUGUUUUCAAUGCAAUUCUUGAUUUUUUGAUCUCUCUCUCUCUCUCUUAGUGUUUUGAAAAUCAAAUUGGACAGACCGGUUCGAUCAGUUGAACCGCGAACCAGCCAUAGCACCGGUCCGGUUCUAUACUAGAGUUGACUUUAUCAGAAAAUCGGUCAACCCCGUUAAAACCGGUGAACUGGCAGUUUCCAGUUUUCAACAUUCCCCUCUUUUUUUAAAAAAAUUUUGCAAAAUACAGCUACCAAGGUUCGAACUACCUUUGUGAUAGAAGACAAUGUAGUAACCAUUGUAUCACCACAUUCUAUUAGCCUUUUUUGAUAACUUAUUUAUAUAGAACAAACAUCCAUCUUUCUUUUCUCCAUUUUUCUUACAAAAUCUCAUUCUCUCAUGACUCUUUCUUUUUAAUCUUCAACUCUAAUAUCGUUUUUCUUUGAAUUUGUCUGUUUGUCUCUAAAUCAUUCAAGACAUGUAAUAUUUAAACAUAUCAAUGUCCCUAACAUAAUAAUACAAAUUGCAUAUUCCUGGAAAGUAUCCACCUGGCGGCAUAACGGACCUUGUCCUAACCAAUCAUCAUGCCAAAAGCUUCGAACCGUUGGACAAGAUCCAGCGAAUAUGUUUCUCAGCAACCCCCUGAAUAGAUACCAAUCUCUUCCAAGUCCAAGAACUCCCCGGCAAGACUUCAGCAAAACAAGGGUGAGAGUUCGGGCAAUAUUUACAAUGCAAAAACUCAGCCCAUAAGGACUUGCAACCUAAACUGCCACCACAGUUUCAUUGAGAAAGCCUCGAAAACAUGCCUCAACGACCUCAACCCAGCACCUCCCCUGUCAUAUGGCUGACACAACUGUUCCCAUUUGAUCCAGUGGAAACGCAGCCCCCCUCAGAGGAGCCCCAAGGAAAUUAGCAAACGUCUUCUCCAGCAUCCCAAAAAUAGCUUUGGGAGGAGUCGAUGCCGCAAGAAUAUGAAGAGGCAUAGAAGAUAGCACACUCUUGAUCAGUACCAGCCUACCACCAUGCGACAAUAACCUCCCCUUCCACGAUAGCACCGUGCCCAGUAUGGAAUCACAAAUUGCCGAAAAAUAAACUUUCUUCCUCCGCCCGACAUAUAAGGGACAACCCAAGUAUUUAACUGGAAACUCCCUCGAGGAAAACCCCGUGAGUUCUCCAAGCAUACGUUUCCUCGCCCUGGGAAAGUUGCUAUGGGUCAAAAAACAACUCUUUUGAUGGUUCACCUGCUGACCUGAUACCAAAGAGUAAUCUUCCAGAGCUUUCAACACCAAACGAACUGACCUCUUCAGCCCGCUAGAAAAGAUAACGACAUCAUCGGCAUAAGCCAGAUGCGUAACCUUCGGGCAUCCUUGGGAUACACUAAACGGUGAGAAGAGCGGGGAGGAAAGCAACGAAUUUAACAGGCGAGAAAGAACCUCGGCAUCGAUCACAAAAAGAGCUGGAGAAAUAGGGUCCCCCUGCCGUAGCCCACGACUAGAUUUAAAGAAACCUUGUGGGACACCAUUAAUCAAAACCGAAAACCAGACAUUCGAAAUCAGCCUCCAAAUCAUAUCAAUCCAUCUCUCUCCAAACCCAAACUUACGCAAAACCUGUAACAAAAAGGCCAAGAGACUCUGUCGUAGGCCUUGGCCAUAUCCAACUUCAACACUACAUUGCCCCCUCGAUUAGAUUUCCGAAUAUCAGAUAUCAACUCCUGGGCCAACAAAAAUUCUCAAAAAUCUGCCUUCCCUGAACAAACCCACUUUGUUGCGGAGAGAUAAUACUCGGCAGCACCUUUGACAAACGGUUGGCCAACAGUUUCGAAAUGACUUUAUUGACAAAGUUACAAAGGCUUAUCGGCCGAAAUUGACUAAAAUCUUGCGGGGAAGUUACCUUGGGAAGCAGCAUUAUCCACGUCGAAGAAACGCUUCUCGGCAACUCAUGACCACAAAAGAAACUAAUCACUGCUUCACACAAAUCAUUGCCCACCACCUCCCACGCAAAUGUAAAAAAGGUGCCUGUAAAUCCAUCUGGCCCACCCGCACUCUCCCCAUCCAUUUUAAACACCACCUCCCUUACCUCCUCGUGAGAUGGAAACCGCCAAAUCAGCAUUUUGAACAUCGGAAACAACCUUAGGAAUUACGUCCAAAAUACUCCAUGACCCGCCGGCAGUCUCCUCCGAAAGUAAGGAUUUGAAGAACUCAACCCCAAUAGCAGACACCUGACCUUCAUCUGAUAUCCACUCCCCUGGUCAUUCUUAAUUCGGUGUAUGAUAGACUUUGCUCUUCUCUCCGCCACUAUCGAGUGGAAGUACUUAGAAUUUUUGUCCCCGUCCUUAAGCCAUUUGACCUGUGCCUUUUGCCUCCAAAACCCUUCCUCCCUUGCCAGAGAAUUCCUCAUUAUAGCACGAGCCUCCUGGAGAGCCAACCAAUGCGACUGAGAAGGCUCAUUUCCAAACGCAUCCUCUGCAGCUGCUACCUCGCCCUCCGCCUCUUCACCGCGUCAAAAAUGUUACCAAACUCCACACGAGACCAAACUUGAAGGUCCCGUUUAACAUUUCGCAAUUUAGCAGAUAAACGUUGCAAAGGAUGCCCAGAACAAGGGGCUGCCCAACUCCUCCUAAUGACAUCCAAAAACCCAGGCUUCGUCGUCCAAACAUUCAAGAACCGAAAAGGUUUAGGCUUGUUAUCCAGCCUCGUCGACGAUGACAUUAAAAGGGGGGCGUGAUCCGAAGGCUCCCUCCCUAGAUGUUGAGCCUGAAACUGCGCCCCUGAAAGAACGGCCGUUUGAUUGACAAGCAUUCUGUCCAGGCGUUUCCAAAUGCGAGCCAUACCCCCCCUAUUAUUACACCAAGUGAAAGGGGACCCCGAAAAACCAACAUCCGAAACACCCGCCAUCGACAUGAAAGUUCUAAGCUCCACUCCUUCAUCUACUCGAAAAGGCAAGCCGCCCCUCUUUUCCUCCGCGCUAACAGUGACAUUGAAAUCACCCGCCAACAUCCAAGGGUGCUCCGCCAGAUUUUCCGCUAACAAAGCUGACCAAAGCAAAGAUCGCUCCUGCUCAUUACACUUUGCGUGGAUAAAAGAAAAAUAAAUUGGACCUGAUAGAAGCUGAGAAGUGAUUUUAAGCGACAAAUGCUGAGAGGAUUCUCCCACAAAGGCACAAUCAAAAGAGUUUUUAAAGAACACCCAAAUAGACCUCUGGCUAUUCACCAUCCAACUAUCCAUCCUGAGCCGUGCUCCAAACACAUGAAUGUCGCAUGGUAACGCCUUAGGCUCACAAAUAGCCACUAAAGGAAUUGAGAACUCAUCAAUUAACCGUUUUAACCUACGAAAAUUACAAAUUUAUUUAAUAAUAAAAUUAGGUGUUUUCAACCGUAUGAUUAUCAAAUCUUUUAAUCUAUAAGAAAUAUAACUUUUUGGUUAUUUAUAUACAAAUAAUUACUAGUACAUAAAAUUUUGUACUGAGACCUCACAUUUGUUAACUUCUAACUCGUGUGAGUUUUAAAAUAAAAAGGAUUUAUUCCUCUAUGAUAAAUGUCAAUGCAAAAACAAAAAUGAUUGUGUGCUCCUAAUUAAAAAAAAUUUUGAAUAUAAUUUUUUAGGAAUUCGCUUUUAUCGGAUGUGAGAUACAAUAAAGCCGAAAGCAUACUAGUUCGGUUAAGAUUUAUUGCCCCAAAUUAUUAUCAAGUAUGAUGGCAAUAUUAUGGGAUCUUUUUUUUUCAAUUUUGAUGAAUUUACAGCCUUAGGUAGUAAAAUUUGUAGAGAUUUUCAUUGCAAAUUGUAAAUCAUUUUAUAAUUUGCAGUGAAAUCAUAAAGCAAGGGAAGGCCUGCAUUGGAACUGAAGCAAAAAGAAAAAUCAUGGCAAAAUCUAGAUUCAUGUUCUUGAAAAUAAUUUGAAGAUGGUAAAUAGUAAUUUUGGCUCCAGUUUCAACAAAAAAGAAGGGACCUGCAAGUCAAUUAAGCACUUAAACCAUAGAACUUGACAUUACUAAAAAUUAAUCACCACUAAUUAAGCACGUAACCAAACAAACCCAAAUUAAACGACAUGUCAAUUUGAUCAAAGCAAUCAACUUUCUGAUCCCAAUCUUUGACAGUUUAUUUUCACAUUCAAAUGACAACAACAAAAAACUCCAUUAUAAAAUAAGCGAAAUUAAAUUACUCUAAACUGAAAAAAAGCCAUUAUUAAUUAGCUGAAAAUUAAGAAAGUGACCAGCCCUACUCAGCUACUCAUAUGCAUAAUAGGAAAAGUAAACUUUAUUUUGUAUACAUACAAAUAUUCUAGAAAUUUAAAAUAGAAAAUGAGGCAGUAUUACUGUAAAGGGAAAAAAGUCCCAAUGGCCCUCCAACUUUUGGCCGCGUAAAAUUUUAGCCUUUUAACAGUUAUAAAAAAAUUUUUGGCCCUCGAUCUAGUAGAAGUACAAAUUCUUGACCCUUCUGUCAAUUUCAGUAGUUAUGAGUGACAGAGAACAUCAUCAUGUGUGACGCACGAGAAAAUAACAAGGGCAUUCUUGUCCAAGCGAGAGUAUUAAUCGAGUAAAAAUUUACUUGCUUCUUCUCCUAUCCACCUUCAAUCCCUAGGGAUUUGGGAAAUGCUAUCCUUGCAUAAUUCGAUUUGGGACUUUUCAAUUCAAGAAUAGUACAAAACAGACAAAUUCCUAUCGGCACGAGAAAGAGAUCAUAGUAAUGGUUUUCUAUCCCACUGAGGUACCUUGUUCUAACAUAAAAGAACAAAAAUUCUUUGCCUAAAGCAAAAAGAAACAGCACAUUGAGGAUAGCUGAAGGAAAUUGAAACAAACUCUUGACAUGCAUAAUAGGAUUGCUCUUGAUAACCUGGGAUUGCUCGAUUUCUUUCUCGAAGAAAUGCGAAUGGGCCUGCCAACUGAUUCUACCACCAAGAAAUAUUGUGGUCUUUGACUUUUGAAAUCUUUCUCAAAAUCUCUCUCUCUCACACACACACACACACACAUAUACACACACUAGUGAGUUGGCCGCUUAUCGAUCAAGCUGGCAAGCAUCAGCAUUUUCAACUAGCUAGUCAUAGAGUCUCUGAAAUUCUCUCAAAGUGCUUAACUACAAAUCCAUUUCAGAAGGUGUUUGACUUUUAAAAGACAACAUAGAAGUCUCUGACCAUACGUUUCUCACAUAGCACUGAAAUGAUUUGCUUAAACAUCAUCCAAAAUUUCUUUCUUUUAAAACCUAUUUUCUUUUGAAAGCUAUAUCUGUUUGGAUUGCUAUUUUUAGAAUUUUUUUAUAAAAAAAUUAUAUUAUAGUGAUUUAAUGUAUGUGAAAUAAAAAAGUGAUUGAAAAAUUUGUUUACGAAAAAUAAAAAAUAUAAAAAUUGUCUGAUAGAAAAUCCCAAUCCAAACAAGGCCACGAAAGAAAAGUACAAGUAGCAAAAUUUUUACCCAACAUCUAUUUAACUGUUCAGAUAAUCUGUAGCUAGUACGUCUGAAAAAUGUAGCACAUUUACACAUGAUAUGAGCAAGCUAAGAUAUCAUUUCUAGUUUGCCAUUAUUGUUACAAGCUAACCAGAAAAAAUCUUUUGAAAGGAGAGUAGCUCAACCAGGUGUAGAUGCAACAAACUUAACAAGAGUACAAGCGAUAGGAUUACUAUUCUUAAAAGAGCAAAUUAUCUAGAUGGCCACUAAACUUAUGCAAUUGUCGAGUUUUGGUCACUAAACUAUUAAAAGUCUGGUUUUUGCCACUGAAAUGUAUAAAAUUAAGAUUCAAAACCAUUCCGUUAGAUUUAGUCGUUAAGUUCAAGAGGGAACGUUAUUCAAGGGACAAUUUAGGAAGUUCAUCAACAAGAACAGCUUCGUAGACAAAUCCAUUGUUCCCCCUACCAAGCUCAUUGAACUCCUUGAAACCAUUGGUGGCAUCCUUCAGUUCUGAAAGCCGAAACACUUGGGCAGUCCCAGGACAUUGGACCACACACGAAGGAGGAUUUGGAUACCAUUGGACCACACCCAAUGGCUACUUUGUCAACCGAACCCGAACUUCAAAAUGACACCGUUUCGCUGGCAAAUUCUCCCAUAGUACUAGAGUUAUCUCCCUAUGGCGUUUCAUACGUACACGGGUCAGCAUUGCAAUUUUGGUUUAUGCCCAGGGAAGUACUCCUGUGAUGCACCGGAUAAAGGACUAUAAGAUGAAGACCCGGAUGGGUCAAAGAUCGGGUUGGAUUGGUUAAAGCAUGCAUCGCAGGGCUGGCAUUGGAGCUAGUUGAUUUGGCUACCCGUAUCUGAUACCAGGUAGAAUUCUUUCACAGGUUGGCCCACUCUGAUCCGAGCUAAGUACUCUCCCUCAGAAUGAGUUAGUGGAGUUUCCAGGUCCUCAGAUUUGGAUCACCAUUGGACCACAAAUCUUAAGAUCUUUUCAAACACACAAGUUGGUCAGAUCUGGCUCAUUGAGAAUGCUCGUGUUGAAGGCCAAUAUUUCUUCACCACAAGUAGCAAGGGUGCAUAAUCCGAGACUGCAUAACUGCAAUGAAGGAUCAUAAUCUAAAGGCGAAGGACCAUUUACGAACCAACAAUCCAGUACUAGAUCAGCCUCCCUGAUGCCACAGGUAACAAAAUCCGUGGAAGCAAGGGCAAGAAAACCAGAACUCUUUGGAACCAAAGACUAAUUAAAGUUCCCCCAACUUUCAACUCUGUGAGCAUCUUCUCGAAUCCCACAAAAAUGUUUUUGUCCAGCUACCACCGAAACGAAGCGAAUCUAGUAGAAUGCCAAAAGAAUCAUUAUUACCCAACAAAUGUCUCCCUGAUUUGCCCCUUUCUUUUGUCUUGGAAAUUGCAUGGGCACUCAGAUCUGGCGUAUUUAAUGACUAAAUCUAAUGGAAUGACCUUGAGGCUUAACUUUACAUAUUUCAAUGGUCAAAACCAAACUUUUAAUAGUUCAGUGAUCAAAACUCGACGAUUGCAAAAGUUUAUUGACCAUUUGAAUAAUUUGCUCUUCUUAAAAUCCUUGCCUUGUGUGUUUAAAACUACUAAUCAUUAUGCAUUCUAUUACCUUCAAAGGAAUUAAAUCAUAGUGCGGUAAUUCUGUUAACCAACCUAGCAAAUAUCUCCAUCCACAAGUUCACCAGAGGCGAUUCUUCGCUAGUAUUCCACAAGGGGCCCUGCUCCAUCUAUUUCUACAGUUGAACCAAAAUAAUCCAAUAAACAACAAAAACUAAAACUUCAUGUCCAUUAAAAAUGCCACUAGAAGAAUUGCGAACCAUAAAUCACCAAUAAGGUAUCAACCUCCAUUAGCUACCCUUGCAGCAUCAGCAUGCAAACCUCUGGAGAACAGGUAAGAUGGAUGGUAACAUCUGCAAAUAUCUACAUAUCGGUGUAGACUUUUGUUGCCUUUCACUCGUAUUGACCCAAAAAUGUUGUCUUUUUGAAAAUUCGAUAGAGACAGUAUCUACUAUGUACCGAGAGGCUGAUUUGAAUUGCUUGAUGGACCUAAGAACUGCUCUCAUCUCCAAAUCAGAACUCAAGUAAAGCAAAAAGAGGAUAGCUGCCAAUCCAGUUUUGCCAAGGAAAGAGUAAAAAACCCCUGAAUUUCGCCUCAAAGCUGAAUCAAGUUGCUGUGAGAGAAAUGAUACAUUACAAUCAGAAUAUUCCCAUUUUAAAGGAUCAUAAAAAGACAGACUUUUGACUGUAGCAUCUCCUUUACUCAAUCAAAAAACAGCAUUUCCCUACCAUGAAGUUCGAAAACAUUAAUCCAUCAAGUAACACUACCAUUGUGCAAAAACCAUCGACUUCAAUCAUUAACCACUCAUAGUGGGCACAAAGAAAUCUCAUAUUCUUCAGACAAUAAAACAGAAAGAAUAUUGAAAGCAUCAACAAUCUCAUCGUCCCUAUUAACAUAUUACAUCCAAUAUCAAAUUAGAGGCUGAAAAAGACAAGAAUCACGUCUUUUUCAUACAAUCCUCCCUGGUCAAAAAGAUUGAAGAGAUUAAGAGAAAAGGUCAAGGAACACACCUGAUUAGAUAAAAUGAGCAAAACGCAGGUGUAAAAACCUAUGAAGUCAAAGACUGGAUUAUUGUUAGGCUUUUUAAAAAAAUAAUGCACCUUCUUGUAAAUUGGAUUUCAUCUAAAAAUUUUUCUAAGGCUUGUACAUAAAAUUAACAAAAUUGAUUAAGCAAACAAGCUGCAAGGCUUUGUCAAGUUUUUUUUUAAGUACCUUGUGAGGAUGGUCAUUCCGGCUCGAUUUAACGAAGGUCAUACCCUCACUUCGGAAUAAUAGACCCAUCUGUCACGACCACCUCGGCCUCACCUAGCAUCGCGAUGACCGAGGUAUUCCUACCAUCCCGCAGUCACCUCGGCACAGUGUUAUGGUCAACCACAGCCGGGGUUCUAGCCAGGAAACCGAAGACUGAACAGUAGACAUGACCCCUGACACUGUGUCCUCUCCUGACUCUGUCUACUGCUCUGACACUGCCCAGAGUGGUCCCGUCAAGGUGAUAUGUUGUCUCAAUCAAAUGUCUAGGGAAAUGGAUCCCACUAUCCUUCCCUCCAAAUUGUCUCCUAUAAAUAGCAGAAUGUUCCACUGAGAAAGGGGAUGAAUCUCUGGUAACUAAAGCUUACUCUCUCUCACAUAAUUCUUUUAUACCUCAUUCCGAAUUAACUUAAUCUUCAGAGAAAAAUUGGGGGACUUAGCCCCACAUCUAACCAUCUAAGCAGGUGAUUCUGGUGUCCUACCUCUUCGAGCAAGGGUAUACUCCAGCUUAUCCGAAGCAAUCCAUCGGUCCAAAAUCACCUCUUCAAUUGGCACCGUCUGUGGGAAAUCAAAGACAUCAAAGGAUGAAGCCUACGUGUUUUAGGAGUAGGAAGGUUCUCACUAUUGGAGCUGAACCAAGUACUACAGCUCAACACGAAAAUGUUUCUGGAGGACAAGGGUCUCCAGAGAAUCAGCCUACAAACGAAGAAGCCAUAGCCCGAAUGACCAAGUUUGUAUCUGAUAACCCUAAUAUCUUUGAAGAAUUAGUAAGAUACUUCAAAAAGCAAGGCAAGUAAAAAGUUGAAUCCUCUAAAAGAAAGUCGGAUGAGUCUCCCGAACUCCCAUCUGACGAGGAAUCUGAAGGGAGACCCUCCAUCAGGAGUACUCCGAAGCAAGUCUCCUCCAAAGCCACCUCGAGGAUUGCUUCCAUUUCUAAGGCAUUCUCGAGGGGCCUGCUAGGGAAACGAGCUGAGGAAAAACCUCGGCAUUCCGGGAGGCCGAAAGUAGAUUACAUGAGGGCUCCGCCUUUCACGUACGACAUUAACGAGGAAAAGCCCCCCUCAAACUUUAAGUUGUCUGCCAUACCAUCUUAUGACGGCCGAGGUGAUUCGAAGGAUCAUAUUCACGCAUUCAUCUCGGUAUUCUGAUUGUAUUGUAUUCUCUACCCAGUUAUCUGUCGGAUUUUUCUAGUAUUUUUGCAUGAGACAGCUCAAAAAUGGUUCUGGGUCUGCAACCUAGGAGCAUCUCCACUCUAGGAGAAUUAGUGGACAAAUUCCUCCACCAGUUUACUCUUCUAGGCCAACGAUGAAGACCUCGGUUUAUCUACUAAAUAUACAACAGAAUUUGGGGGAGUUCCUCUACGCUUAUGUGUAAAGGUUUCAAGAUGAAAGCGUGUAGAUAUCUGAUCCCAACAAAUAGAUAACCAUAGCCGCCUUCACAAUGGGCUUGUUGUCGAGGUAUUCAACACCGCAAUACACAAGAAAUAUCCUCGUACACUUCGGGAGCUCUGGAAAAAGGUCAAAAAAAGCAUACAAGUCGAAAACCUAAACCGUAUGAAAAGAGAAGCUCAGGUGGCUCGUUCGGGAACUAAUUCCCAAAAAAUGAAGGAAUCAGGUUAAAAUGAAACUGGCAACAGCGGUGGGUUCCAAAGCCCUAACUGAGACCGCCGAAGCGUGUUUGAUAGAAUAGCCAAGGGAAAGCCCUCCGUCCCUGAUUCCGAGCUCACUCCCUUAAACACCAACCGAUCUCAUAUCCUUGCCAUCAUGGAGCAGAAUUAUCUAGGCCAUGCACCCCCAAGGAUGGGUAGAAAGAGAGAGAAAAGAAACUCUAACCUUUACUGUGCCUACCACCGGGAUUUUGGACACAAGAUCGAAGAUUGCAAUGACCUGAAAAGAGACAUUGAAAGCUUAAUCAAGUGAGUAUACCUAAAGUAGUUUGUUCACCGAGAUGGAGACCGGAACCAGAGUGAUGCCCGUCGUGAUCGCCGAAGUGAACCACGCAGGGAUGAAAGACGGGGAUCAAGAAGUACCUGUCGACCCCCGCAAGAUUCUAGGGAGCCGAAGAGGCCUCCCAGAGAUGGGUCCCCUUGUGGUAGAUUCUGUUAUGGGCCAAACAUAGCUUGGGUCAUAAACACCAUAGCUGGAGGUCCGACGGGAGGAGACAGCCAAAACUUCCGGAAGAGGACUUACAGGCAAGCUAAUCCUGAUUAGGUCGAGCCCAGCUCUCGUUUAUCCGAGGUAAUCACCUAUGGACCUAGUGAUCCCGUCCCUGCUGCUUCAAGCAGUCAUGAAACCCUAGUGACAGAGGUGCUCACCAACAAUUAUAUUGUCAAGAAGGUGUACGUCGACCCAGGGAGUUCAGUUGACGUCAUGUACUUCCGAACCUUCGAGAGAUUGAAAUUGACUAAGGAACAGUUAACCCCAAUCAGAACCCCCUCCUGUGGGGUUCGGAGGACACAUGAUGCAUCCUGAAGGGAUAGGCAUGCUGAUGGUGACUGUGGGACGUCACCACUAUUGCCGUAUCAUCCCCGUCAACUUUGUCGUGGUUAAAGCUAACUCUCUUUACAACCUACUCAUGGGCCGACCUACAUUCAAUGCCCUACUUGCGGUAUAUUCCACGUACCAUUUGAGUUUCAAAUUCCCAACCCCAGCGAGCAUUACCGAAAUGAGCAGCGAUGUUUGUGCUGCGCGAGAAUGUUACCUCGCCACUUUACAGGCCGCAUCUCCCUCGAUCUCCGAGUCAAGGGCUGAGAGGAGGUCGAGUAUUCUUUUAAUUAAUUGCAUUGAUCCUCAACAGACCGAGAAACCAAAAAGGCCAGAGACCGGAGAUCCGGUGACGGAUAUUUCUCUGGACCCAGCAAAACCAGAACAAACAGUCCGUGUCGACAUCCACUUGCCUGAGCUUUUUAGAGUCCAGAUGGUUAGCCUCCUAAAAGAGUAUUGGGACAUCUUCGCGUGGACUGCCGAGGAGGUUACAGGAGUGUCGCACCAUCUCAUGUUGCACGAGUUGAACGUGGACCCUCAUGCACGCCCCGUUAAGCAAAAAAGAAUGCACUUCGGCCCAAAAUGUAGUUAAGCCAUUGGCGAAGAGAUGGAUAAACUCUUGCCGGCAAAGAUGAUUAAGGAGGUGUAAUAUCCAACCUGGUUAUCCAAUCCCAUCAUGGUUAAAAAAGACACGGGGGCAUGAAGGAUGUGCAUGGACAUUACCGACCUAAACAAAGUAUAUCCUAAAGAUUGCUAUCUACUGCCUAGAGUUGAUGCCUUGGUAGACUCAGCAAUGAGAUAUGAGGUCCUCUGCUUCCUUGAUGCCUUCAAAGAAUAUCACCAAAUCAGGAUGAAUGAGGAAGAUCAGGAGAAGACGGUCUUCUUCACAAAUCAGGGUGUGUACUGUUAUACCACCAUGGCCUUUGGACUAAAAAAUGCUGGGACCACAUAUCAGUGUCUGGUCAACCGCAUCUUCAAAUCUCAAAUAGGCCAAAAUGUAGAGGCAUACGUGGAUGACAAACUCGUGAAGAGCAAGAAGACCUCGGCCUUCUUAUUCGAUCUAAAAGAGGUCUUCGAAAUCCUCUGUGAUACUAGGAUGAUACUAAAUCCCAAGAAAUGCGUGUUCGGAGUUACUUCGAGAAAGUUCUUGGGGUACCUCGUAUCACGACGGGGUAUAGAAGCCAAUCCUGACAAGGUGAAGGCAAUUCAAGAAAUGUCACCACCUCGAUGUACUCGAGAUGUGCAAAGAUUAACAGGGUGAUUGGCAGCCCUGAACCGAUUUUUGUCGCAGUCUGCUUCUAAAUCACUGCCCUUCUUCAAAAUAUUGGAGAAAGUUGAUCAGUUUCCCUGGACGGGAGAGUGCCAACAAGCUUUUGAACAAAUGAAAAAAUACCUGCACCACCCCCCAACUCUUACCUCGCCUCGACCAGGGGACAAGUUAUAUUUGUACUUGUUUGCCGCCGAUGAAGCGGUAAGUGCCGUGCUGAUACCGGAGAAAAGUGUCCAGAUGUCGAUCUAUUAUGUUAGUCGGGUCCUUCGAGGGCCCGAAAUCAGGUACACUCAGACAGAGAAGUUGGUGCUUGCCUUGAUUCAUGCAGCCCGAAAGUCGAAGCCUUAUCUUUUGGCUCACCACGUCUGCUUAAAGGACAGAUCAGCCCCUCAGGCAGAUCUUAUCAUGCCCCGAAAACUUCUAGAUGUCUUAUCAAAUGGGCCAUCGAAUUGGGAGAAUAUGAUCUAUCCUUCAAGUCUCGAACGGCCAUCAAAAUUGAGACUCUAGCUGACUUCUUAGCAGAGCUCACUUUCAACGAAGUGAAAAUGUCCACCUCGGGCAAUGUCGAGCCUCAGCAGUAGAUCUUGCAUGUAGACGACUCGUCUAAUAGUGAGGGUAGUGGAGCAGGCUUGCUCCUCGAAGACCCGUAAAGGGAUUUGUGUUUGUACGCUCUUCGAUUUGACUUCACCGCUUAUAAUAAUAAAGUUGAGUAUGAAGCGAUCAUAGCCGGCCUGCAGUUAGCUCACAAACUCGGUGCCCGACGUAUCCUGGUCAACAGUGACUCCCAACUCGUCGUGUGUCAGAUAUUUGGUGAGUACGAAACCAGAGAGGAUGUCAUGCAACGUUACCUCUCCCAGGUCCACCAAUUAACUACACACUUCGAGUCAUUUGAAAUCCAAAGGAUACAUCGGUCGCAGAACAAACCGAUCGACGCAUUGUCCCACCUCGUCUCUACUUCUUUCUCCUCCUUGAACAAGACGGCCCUUGUCGAAAUUCUCGUCGAGCCAGGUUAUUUAGAAGAGAUCGUGUGUCCCGUUCAUCCUGAGGACACUUGGAUGAGUCCACUAGUUUGGCUCCUCAGUCAAAGAGAGCUACCAGAGGACCGACCUGAGGCCAGAAAGUUUCAGCAUAAGUCAGCUUGGUACGCUUUCCAAGACAAUCUCUUGUACAAGAGAUCCUACCUCGACUCAUGGCUACAGUGUAUCACACCGGAAGAUGGGGAAAGAAUUCUUCAAGACAUACAUGAGGGGUUCUGUGGUGCUCACGUUGGCUAUCGGAUGUUGGUCAAAAAGGCCCUACUGUUUGGGUACUUCUGGCCCACUAUUUGAUGAGUCGCUCAACUCCUAGUUUUCGGUUGUCCUUCUUGCCAGCAUCAUGCCCCAGAACACCAUCAACUGACCAACCUGAUGAUCCCCAUCACUUCGCCAUGGCCAUUCGAGCAAUGGGGGACAGAUAUAAUCGGCCCAUUUCCUAGAGCCACUGGCAGUUUUGCCUAUUUGGUGGUGGCAGUGGAUUAUUUCACAAAAUGGGUCGAAGCCGAACCCCUAAGGAGCAUAACUGGUUUAGCUGUCGAGAAGUUCUUUUGAAAGAGUAUAGUUUGCCACUUUGGACUACCCCGAGUUGUUAUCUCGGAUAAUGGAAAGCAGUUUGCCGAUAACCCCUUCAAGGGGUGGUGCGAGAAUCUGGGGAUCAAACAAUAUUUCACCUCGGUGGGACAUCCCCAGGCCAAUGAGCAAGCUAAAAAUUUCAUUCGUAAGCUCCUCCAUGGCCUGAAAACCAGGUUGCAUCAAGCCGAAUCAUCGUGGGUGGAUAAGCUUCCUAGUGUGCUGUGGUCCUAUCGAACCAUCCCAAGGUCCGCUACACAAGAAAUCCUAUUUUUCCUGACUUAUGGGUCCGAAGCAGUGGUUCCCGCUGAAUUCAUCACUCCUAACCCUCGCAUAGCAGCCUUUGCCGCCGAGGUCAAUAAAGACGAGAGAAAAGUCGACCUCGACUUUGCCGAGGAGAAAAAAGAUAUCGCAGCAGCUAAAGUGGCAUUGUAUAAGAGUAUCCUGGCUAGCUACUAUAACGCGCGAGUUAGGCAUCUUCGGUUCAAUCCCAGAGAGUUAGUUUUGCGGAAGAAUUUGGUUAGCCGAACUGAACCUCAAGAAAACUUAGCUCCCAGGUAAGAAGAACUGUAUCACAUCAUUGAAUCUAGCCGAAAUGGUUACUGUAAACUAACUUACCGAAAUAGUUCUUUAGUGCCCUGAACUUGGCAUGCGGAGAAUCUCAAGUUGUACCACCCAUGAAAAGUAUGUCUAUUCAAGAACUAUUCCAUUAUUUGUUCUCAAAUUAUUUAUUGUUUCCUUAAUACUGUUCUUUCCUAAGCAAAAAAUAAGGGGACAAGGCAAGUACGAAAGAAGAAAACAGAGACAAGUGUAAAAAGAAGAAGUCAUUGGCAUUAAAAAUAAGGGAUUACAAAAAGCCGAGGUCAUUGCCUCGCCGCUUUAUUACAAAAUGUCAAAUGCAGGAAUCUUCUAUGCAUUUUCUGCCUUGGUGCCCCCGACAUCCUCAGUUUCACCAGCGCCGGUCGCUUCUCCUCCGACCUUAUCCCCCCGGCUCAUAUCCAUCUACAUCGUACUCAGAAAUUCACUGAUUAAAUUCUUCUCUAACCUCGGCCAGGUCUCUGUCGGCCUGGAUACCUUCAGCUACGCAGUCGCACAAUUCCUUGGCAUCUUCAUUAAAUUUGAGCUUGUUCUUGAGGGACUCCAACUGUUCGGCAGAAAGGAAGGGCGCCGCGUCGUUGGCUGCCGAAGUGUAUCCAAACAUGAAACUCGGCAGUGUUAACUCGCCGAGAUCACGAGUGAAGGCCUCGGACCUACGGAAGGCCUCCAGAGCCAAAGUGCCAGCCUUCUCUAUUGCCUCCUUGGCUGAUUGCUCUUCUUGGGCUCUUCUGUCUUUUUCUUCAUCGAGGGCCAUCCUCAAAGUGUUGUUUAUGGUUUCGGCUUGCUCUCGUUCGGCCACUGCCUUAUCACGUUCCUGUUUGGUGGCUUUCAGCUUUUCUUUUAGCUCGAAGAUCUUCUUCUAGAGUUCGGAGGAUGGCUGGUAGUGCUCGAGCAGAUUAGUAUAAAGCUAAGUCAUCUCGGAAAAGAAGCCUGAGGCGGAGGCCAUGCGACUGUGGCACUCUGCAUCAGUUCGGCAAGCGUGAGAUUCCUAACAUAGGUAUGGUCCCUAGGCAAGAUGGAGUGCACCAAGAGCUCGUGUUCGACCCAGGGAUCUUUGCAACGAUCGUUCACGUUAAAAUCCCACUCCGGGCACUACUGCCUAUCGAAGUGUCUCUUGUCCUCUCCGACUUCUUAAGGUGGCACAUGGUGGAGGUUCCAUAAAGACGAUCCCGAGACUGGAACCUCAGGAAGUAUUGUUACCCCUUGACCCGGGGGUGGAGAGGCUAUCAUGACGCCUCGGAUAGCCAUCCCCAUAGGAAUGACCGAUGUGUAUGAAGUUUCGAUCGGAACCAUUGGAGUAGCUCAACUUGUGGUGGUGGUGGUGGUCCUCUUUUUCGGUUGAGCAGACGUCUGGGCAGCAGCUUUCCGUUUUGUUGGCCUUUUGUUUACUACGGCGGAUUCCGAAGUAAUCAGGUCGGAUACCCUUGUCACUGCAUAAGAAAAAUGUAAGGUUACUUAGAAUUAAACAAAAGUAAAAACAAAGCAAUGAAUGGAAAAAUACAAGAUUUUUGAAGCCUAGUAGAGAAGAAGGGUGUGCGAUCCAGGCUGAUUAAAACUCAGCUGAUUCCGCCAUUAACGAGGACAGCCUUGAGAAACACCCAGCUGUUUAUUCUGAGGCCCGAUCCUAUCAAUUUCUGAAAGUUCUCUUCUUCCAGGUCCCCAGGAGAGGUGUCUUUUGCCGAGGUAGGGGGCCUCUACAAGAAUCUCCUCGGAAAGUCCUCGGCCGGGACAAAUACGAAAUUAUGUUUCCACUCCUUUAUUGAAGUAGAGGCAUCUACUACCAACUUCGAGACCCUGUUCCCGAAGUAGAACCACCUCUUUUCACUUCCGCUGUUCUUGAUAGUAUAACAACAGCGGAAGAGAUUGACCAUCGGGACUAUCUCUUGAUGUCGGCGCAGCAUCUCAAAACCGACCAGGACCUGGACUGCAUUGGGGAUGAGAUGAAUGAUCCUCUCCCCCUAAUAUAUGAGGUAGUCUCGGAAGAACUUAGAGGUCGGCAUUUUGAGCCCAGCCUCCAGUUGAUCCGUGUAUAUCGCCAUCCUAUCUUUCGAGGGCCGCUUUGCUGUUUAAUUCAGUCUUAGUGGACGGAUGCUGUAUUCACCCCGGAAAGGGUAUCUGAAGACCAUCUCGGCUGUCAGGGAUUCACCCAUGAUACUGUUGAACAUGGGGACUUGGCCAUAAUCGACAGCCGACAGAUCUAGAGGGGUGGCUAGUUCAAGCAUCCCUCGUCAUGUGGUACCUCUGUCCCGAGCUCGUCAUUGUAGAGCACUUCAGAUUCCUCUUGGCUCAGUGCUUGUGAAGUCCCGACCUCAUAGCACACUUCGGCAGCUUUUUCCCCGGGUUAGACGAGGUCCCUUCCCUAGGAUUGGACGAAGCUCCUUCCUCCUGAGUGGGAUCGUGAACCUCUACCUCGGCGAAAUUUGGCCUCACUGUCUCGUUGUGCGGGCGAGCUGUUCUAGCCAAAAUCAAAGUGAAGGGAAGAAAAGUGGUGAACUUACUCUUGAAGGAGAUCGGGAUUUCGGGGUUUGCCGAUGUGAGAAUACUACAAAGGUUUGCUCUGAGGUGAUUUGAGAUUUUUGCAGUAAAAAGUGAAAGAUGAAAUGGAUCCCAUAUUUAUAGACCAGUAAGGUGAAGUUGAACAGGCGACACGUUUGGGAUUCCCUAGGGAAACGUCAUCUCUUCUCAUUAAUGAGUUACUAUCAGUCUGACCGAUGGUCUCAUGUCCUUUCGGGAACCUAUCAUGAAAGCUGCCAACCGUCUCAUCAUUUCCUUCUUAUCUACACGCAUAUGACGUGUCAUUAUUGCAAAUUUGCAUUUUGGAACCAUUCGGAAGCCUCGGGAAGGAACGAGCUGUUUCCUUCUCCCGGAGACUUGGGGGCUAAGUGAGAAUGGUCAUUCCGGCUCGAUUUAACCGAGGUCAUACCCUCGCUUCGGAAUAAUAGACCCAUCUGUCACGACCACCUCGGCCUCACCUAGCAUCGCGACGACCGAGGUAUUCCUACCAUCCCGCAGUCACCUCGGCACAGUGUUAUGGUCAACCAUAGCCGGGGUUCUAGCAAAGAAACCGAAGACCGAACAGUAGACAUGAUCCCUGACACUGUAUCCUGUCCUGACUCUGUCUACUGCUCUGACACUGCCCAGAGUGGUCCCGUCAAGGUGAUACACUGUCUCAAUCAAAUGUCUAGGGAAAUGGAUCCCACUGUCCUUCCCUCCAAAUUGUCUGUUAUAAAUAGCAGAAUGUCCCGCUGAGAAAGGGGAUGAAUCUCUGGUAACUAAAGCUUACUCUCUUCCACAUAAUUCUUUUAUACCUCACUCCGAACUAACUUAAUCUUCGGAGAAAAAUCGGGGGACUUAGCCCCACUUCUAACCAUCUAAGCAGGUGAUUUUAGUGUCCUACCUCUUCGAGCAAAGGUAUACUCCAGCUUAUCCGAGGCAAUCCAUCGGUCCAAAAAUCACCUCUUCACCUUCCAAACACCCCGGCAGCCUUUGAGAAAAGUUUCCAGCCUAAGCCCGGCAGCUUAACAUUUUAAAAAAAUAUAUAUAUUCAAGCAGGUUGUUAGGCUAACAAUCUUAACAGCCUUUUAGAAAAAUUCCUAGCUGGCUGCUGAAAAAAAAUUUUUGCUUGCCUAUCAAGCUAAUUAGCACGGUAGGCAUAGUUCUAUAUCAUUUUCCUGUGAAAUCAAUAUUCAUGAUUUUUUUUCAACAAUAAACAAAGGAAUUAGUGGAUAUAACGCACUUAUAAAUAGUAGAAAUGCAUAUUAUUCUAUCCUCUUUUUCAACACUUGAUACAAAGGGAAAAAAAUCGUGGCACAACAAUUAUUAUUAUUUUUUGUUUUCAAUGCAAUUCUUGAUUUUUGAUCUUUCUCUCUCUCUCUUAGUGUUUUGAAAAUCAAAUUGGACAAGCCGGUUCGAUCAGUUGAACCGCGAACCAGCCAUAGUACCGGUCUGGUUCUAUACUAGAGUUGACUUUAUCAGAAAAUCGGUCAACCCCGUUAAAACCGGUGAACCGGCAAUUUCCAGUUUUCAACAUUCCCCUCUUUUUUUUUUUUUAAGUUUUGCAAAAUACAGCUACCAAGGUUCAAACUACCUUUGUGAUAUAAGACAAUGUAGUAACCAUUGUACCACCACAUUCUAUUAGCCUUUUUUGAUAACUUAUUUAUAUAGAACAAACAUCCAUCUUUCUUUUCUCCAUUUUUCUUACAAAAUCUCAUUCUCUCAUGACUCUUUCUUUUUAAUCUUCAACUCUAAUAUCGUUUUUCUUUGAAUUUGUCUGUUUGUCUCUAAAUCAUUCAAGACAUAUAAUAUUUAAACAUAUCAAUGUCCCUAACAUAAUAAUACAAAUUGUUGUACACUUAAGAAUACAAAUCCUGUUAAAUUUUAUCUCCAUAACUACAUUUUUUCAGAUAGAGAAAAACAUCCCUCUUAUUUUACAUGAUAAGGGGAAAAAAAAUUAUUAGUGAAAAUUAAACUAUAAAAAUAUUACCAAAGUUCAAUACAUUUCAGCUUAUACAAUUGAAGUUGAAAGGAAAACUGCCGGACUUAGUCAAGUUGAAAAAAAAAAAACCUACCUAGCAAGUUGUGGGGCUGACAGCCCGUUAGCCUUUUACAAAAGUUGCCAACGUAAGUCAGUAGCCCAACAUUGGCCGACAACCCGGCAGCAUUUAGAAAAAUUCCCAACUCUUGGCAGCCCAACAUUUUAAAAAAAAAUUUGCCUUGCCUAGCAGUCAUAGUUCUAUACCACUCUCGUAUCAGGUUAAUAUUCUCGAUUUUUUUCUGCAAUAAACAAAAGAAUUAGCUGAAUAUAAUGUUCUUAUAAAUAGUAGAAAUGCAUAUUAUUCUAUUCCCUCUUUCAAUACUUAAUAUAAAGGGAAAAAAUUGUGGCACAACAAUUUUUGUUGUUUUGAAUGCGAUUUUUGAUUUUUUAUUUGUCUCUCUCUCUCUCUCUCUCUCGAUAUAAUUAAGCUAAUAAAUCCUAAAUGUGUUUCAUUUUCUCUUUAAAUUACUAAAAUGUAUGUCUUCAAACUAAAAUAUUGCAUUUAAGAUAGAAAAAAAAUAUGAUUUUUAGCAUUUACUUCAACAUACUUUUGUACUUUGUAAUAUAUAAUUCAAAGCUGAUGAUAAGUUAUAAAUUUAAAAUACAAGCACCAGCAGAUUUAGAUAUAUAGUAAAACUUUUAUAAAUUAAUAAUUUUGGGACCAUGCAAAUUUUAUUAAUUUAAAGAGGUAUUAAUUAACCAAUAAAUUACUAAAUUUAUUAAUCUGUUGAAUGUACUUACGAUUCAAAGAAAAACUCAUUUAAUCAACUAAAAUUUUAUUUUAUUUUAUAAAAAUAUAAAUUAUUUUAUUAAUAAAAGGAGUUAAAAGUCUUAGGAUUAUAAAUCCAUAUCUAUUUGAUUUGUAAGUAUAAUUUAAUUCGAUAAAAAUUUGGAUGAUCUUCAAAUAUUAAGUUGGUCAACUUUUAACCCUCCAACUAUUAAGUACAUCCCUUUGCACCUUUAAACUUGUAAAAUGGUAUAUCCUUACCCUUUUGGCUAGAGAUAAUUUUAGAAACCUCUCUUGCAGUUUACAUUAAUAGCAUUUAGGAUCUCUAAAGUUUCAAAAUUAUCACUAACCUCCCAUAAAACUAUACCUUUGUAAUAAUCUCACUCUCGUAUUAUUAAAAAAUUCUUAAAAUAAUCUGUUACCGAGAGAGAUAUAUUUUUCUCCCAAUUCUACCCUUUUGUAUUGUUUUAUUAUCCCUUAGCAUGAUCGUGGGAUGACGGGAGAACCGCAAAGUUCUUUUCCAAUUACACAGUAGUACACAGUACAUUUGUGAGACAUCAAUUAGAACUAGGCUGGUCUCGUUUGUAUUUGGAGGUUGAUGCAACUGAUGAAAUAUUUUUUUUCCAUUUCAAUCUCCAUUUUAAAUAGUUAAGCGUAAAUUAUCUAAACUGACCAAUUACCUCCUCCAACUAGAAAAUACAAUUUAAUCAUGUGAUACAGAUGUUAAUCACUGCACAAGAUUAGUGUCCUUGAGGGCUCUCAAAAUAUCUACUGAUUUGUUGGCCUUUUGUAAAGAGCCAAUUGUGAUCACGAGACACUUGUCAAACCGCUAAUUAUUGUGCAUUCCACACCUACCUCCUUGAGAAAGAACAAACGAGACCAGCCUGGUUCGAAUUGACGUCUCACAAAUGUACUGUGUACUACUGUGUAAUUGGAAAAGAACUUAGCGGUUUUCCCAUCAUCCCAUGAUCAAGCUAAGGGAUAAUAUCAAAAACCAUCCUCAAGGUUUCUGAUAAUUACAUUUAAAUACCCUCAAAUAUAGAACAUUACACUGCUCUGCCAUUUUAGGUAUUAGGUAGAUGUGAUGCGACCGAAUGUACCAUCGGUAGCUUCCAAAUAACCAAGGGUGUUUUACGGGAGAUUAGUGAUAUUACAAAGGAUGAGAUUAUUACAAACGUGUAUAUAGUUUUGCCAAGGGUGUUUUUAUCAAAAACCAUGAAUUGUUUGUUCCUAAUCUGAAUUGUUUAACCUCUUGGCCUCACAGAUGUUUCUACCUAAAUCGUCUAGAAUAUUGGCGUGGCAUUUGUGCCAUUAACUUUCGGACUUUUUGUUGUAAAUACUGACUUCUCUAGUGGAUAUUAAUACAUUGAUUGUAUAUAUUUUUGAAAUGCAGGUGUGGAGCAAUGGUAGAGUGCAUUCCCCAUUUCAUAGCGUAACUGUGAAGGGAAAAGAAAAGGUAUUCUAUUGCACAAUUUUCCUAUUGCAAGAAAUUGGUAGAGACACCAACAGAGCGGGUUGAUGAUGAGGGUCGGAAAACUCAAAAUUCACUGGUGGCCUAUUGCGGCGUCUAAAACACCAGACGCAUCGAUUUUUAAAAUUCCGACCAUGCAGCCGGAAAGCAAUCCGGAACAAGAUGAAUGAUGCAAAAUCUUGAACAAAUGGAUUGAUUAACUUGUUUAGUUAAUUGAAGUCAUGUGCACCUUCUGUCCUUUAAGAAUUUCUUCUGUUUUUUUUCCCCUGAGAAGCGGUGCAUCAAGGCAUUUGCUUUCGGCAAAGCUCAGACGAGCGUUGUGCAUUUUCUAUUUAUUGAAUUUUGUUUGGACAGUGAAUUAUCCGUUAACACUGUUUUAAUGAGAUAUAUAUAAAAUAAAAAUAUAGUUAAAAAAUAUGUUACCGAUGCAAUUAAACAAAGUUUGGCAAAUAAUCUACCACCAAUCAAAAGUAUUUGGAGGUUGACGCGGCGGCUGAUGAGACUUUUUUUCGCAGUUCAAUCUCAGUUAUCUAGACUGACCCCUGACUUCCUCCAACUAGAAAUAAAACUGAAUCAUGAGAUACAGAUGUUAAUCGCUGAACAACAUUAGUGUCCUUCCAAAAGAAAAAAAAAUUGUGAGCUCUCAAAAUAUCUACUUAUUCUGUGGCCUUAAGUUAAAAAAGCCAAGUAUGACGAGACAAUUGUCAAACUGCUGAUUAAUGUACAUUGCAUCCCUAUCUCAUUGAGAAAGAAAAGAACGAGACCAGCCUGGUUCGAGUUGACGUCUCACAAAUUCGCUGUGGAAAGAACUUGGUAGUAGUCUCACAAAGAACUUACCAGUACAAUGUAAUUGAUGUACGCCAAACUCGUUUAAAAAGAGAGAGCGAGGCCAACCGACUCGAAUUCCCGUCUCACAAAUGGAAGAAGAACUUAGCAAUACUCCCACGAUUAUGCUAAGAGAUAAUAUCAAAAAGGGUUAAUUUCACAUACCACUCUUGAGGUUUUUGACAACUACGGAAAGCUCCUCUCAAGUUUUAAAAAGGGUAAAAAAUAAAAAAGUUUCCUGUGCUAAAUUUAAUACACAAAUAAGUCCCCUAUGGUUUAAAAAUAUACAACGCGAUAUUUCAUGCUUUGAACUAAUUUGUAACCCGGACGAAAAUCGAUAAAAUUAACGGGAACUGAUGAAAAGACCAAAAUGCCCUUGUAUAAUAACCAAAAGGCAAUUGAACAGAAUCAUUUGUUUCAUUCAAACCCUACGAAGAGAGAGAGAGAGAGAGAGAGAGAGAGAGAGGGAAAGCGAGAGCGAGAGAGAGCAACUAAAGCCGAACCAAACGGAAUCAAGUAAGAAGAGCGAAGGAAACGAAGAUUUCUUUCAUAAAAUCGAAGGCAAAUGGGUAUGUAUGUUAUACUUCGUUCAUGUUAUAAUUAAUUAAAAUUAGUUCAUGUAUGUUAUAAUUAUUUUAUGUUUUAGGGUUACCCAUCUCAGAUUUUUAGGGCUGAUGAUGUUAUUUACUUUAAUAAUAUGCAAUAUUUGGGUGUUAACCUUAGAAAAAUCCUGAUUUUGUGAGUUUUGGGACUGGUACUUUGGAUUUAAAGUCAAGAUUUUUGCUGAUUUGGGACUGCAACUUUGGAUUUAAAGCCGAGAUUUUUGUUGAUAUUUGGGUGUUGACUAGGAGUCAUGCAAAUAAUUUCUGAAAUUUCCAUUUCUGAUAGGAGAUUUUUGCUGAUUAGGGGUGUUGACUAGGACCUAUUUGUGUGUGUUUGUGUGUUUGCAUACGACUCAGUUACUUGUUAUAACUUAGAUAUUUAACAAAGAAUUGUAAGUAAAAUCAUUAAUUUUCUAUACCUGUCACUGUCUUAUCUGGUUUAGUGGUCCAGUAUGCUAUUACAAUUGGUUGUGUUUGUACUUUUCUAUUCAUUUGAUUUUAUGUAUAUUGACAGGUGUCGAACCUGUGCAAUAAUAAUUACUAAAAAGUCCUAAUUACCACCACAAUUAAUCAUAGAACAAAUCCAAGUAUUGGAGCAGGGACCCUAGGUGUGCAAUGGGUUACUUGAUUCACCCUGUUCUCGAAGAGUUUGCUUGAUCCGAUAUACCAGAGUUGUCUAUAAAAAUAUUAAUUUUGAGUACAAUGGCAAGUAGGGUCGAUUCCACAGGGAGCGGGUAGGAAAUUAUUUCUUUCCAAGUCAAUAGAAUAGAAGUAGGGGAUAUUCAAUGGAAUGAAAAUAAAAAUGAAAUAAAUAAAAUUCAAGAGCUAACUCAACAAGUACAAUUUACUAAAACUAGCAAUUAAUAAAAUUCUACCCAAAGGAUCAACUGCUCAGGCACGGUCCAAUUAAAUGAUCAUCGAUGCAAAGAUAUUUCAUCCAUUCAUCACUAGGUUGGUUAUAGUUAUCAACAAGCUCUGACAACCAGUUCUUCCUUACCUUUUCGACAGUCAAUGUACGACCAUUGACUGCCUCUCUAACCAGAUAACAACCUUAGGUACGACUGUAGGAAUUUAAUUACCCAAUUGCAUUAAAGCUAGAAGAACCCAGCCCUAACCAAUAAACACGCUAAGAGGGUUUAUUUAAACUAGAUCUUACGUUUCCCCAACAUAAAGCCAAUUAUGGUAGUUGUCACUAGGUAUCAACUAAACGAACAAUUACGGAUUCAAUUUAGUUAAUGUGACAGUAGGCUAUUAAAUUAAAUCAAAUACCCGGCCGUUGAUAUACAAUUAAUAAAAUACCCAUGAACAAUUAAUUCAGGAAACGCACGAAUAGCAACAAAUUGGAAGAAAUAAUGAAGAUUCGAUUAGAUCUCACAGAUUUUAUGGACCACGCCUUCGCGUCGACCUGUGGGUAGAGGAGAAAAUUAGCCGCUCCUCAUCGUAUCAAUCACACGUGGGUUAAUUGGUUCCAUCCGCACAAACAUCACAGAAUUUGGAACGAUUAAAUACCGAAGAGAGAAAAAGGAAAAAGUCAUCCUUGUCUAUGCGUUGAUGUUCGUACUAAAGCCCCCAAAGUUCAACACAAAACCCACGAGAGUUUUUUACAGAGCCAAAUCAAGAGUGAAAUAAAAAGUCCCAAGCGUAAAAGCCAAAAGGAAGGAAAAGUCUAUCCCCCUCUGACGGCUACGAAAAACUAAAAGCUAAUGUCUCUUGAGCAGGAAAGGAACUUUAAAAGAAAAGGACUCCUAGAGGAAAACUCCUCCUCAAUCCGAGUGUAGAUUCCCUUUUUGUAGUGCGCCGUCAGCCAAAAAGAAAAAGAAACGUCUGAUGCUUUUGAAAGGAACGUCUGGAGCAAAGUUUCCUCUUUUUGGGGCUUUAAUCCUAUGCUCCGGGCUCACGUGGACCCAAUUCACUAGUUGGCCCUUCCGGCUUUCGGUAACAUCUACCUUUUCUGGCGUGGGCACGCCCUGAAAUGAAGGGUCUUCUGGUAAUUUGCCUCAAGAGACUACUUUUAAUGCCAAUCACCUAUAAUUCGCACAAAUAUGAAAUAUGAGUAAAACCUCAAUACUUAGCACAGUAAGUAUCCAAAAUUAGGGCGAAAUAACAGUGCAAAAUGUGCCAAAUAACCGCUCUAUCAUAUAUCAAUGAUGGAGACGUAGUAGUCGAGAGACUAAAAAAUAUUUAUUAUAUUCCUUGAAAUAUUCAGCAGAAGAAGACAAGUCAGAGGAAAAAGUAGACAUACAUAUGUAUUUUGAUGGAAAAUUUAGAGAAUAUCCUGCCCUCCAUGGCUCCACUACACAAGAACCCGUAUGGCUAUGUUUAAAAAUAAACUUGAAGACCAGAUCUCCAUAGUUAGCCUUUGUAGGAUGUUUAAAAAAGUGGAUGAGAAUGCAACUAGAGUGACUUUCUGGUUUUGUGCUCCACAAGUAGACUUAGAUGGUGGCCUACAUCUAAUUAGGGACAAUGAUGAUGUGCAAUUGAUGAAUAAAACAAAUUGGGGUUUGGCAACAAGGAUAAUAUAUGCUUGCAGUAGGGAUGAUCCUUUUGAAGAGCCACUAGAACACGGUAGGGACAAUGUGUUGGAGCGAAAUUCGACAAUAGAUGCAUCAACAUCAAAUAAAUGUGCAGAUGGGGUACAUAACUCCAAAAUAGACAACAGGGAUGAUGGGGUAGAUAACAUAGAGACUUUAGAAAAAAAAAUGGGCUGAGUAAUUGCAAUCCAAAGAAGACAAAUACUGAUGAUGAUGAGCCUGAAUGACUGAAGGAGGGGUUGAAAACAAAAGAGGACGAGGACAUUUUUGCAACUAAAAAAGAUGUGGAUAAAUGCAACAAAUCAGAAAGCGGGUCCAUCUUACAUUCCACCCAUUUUAAGCCUUAUAAUGUGUUCUCUUUUCCUGCAAAGGUAGCUAUCAAGAGCCCUGCCAAAAGUGAAACUAAUAAGGAAAAAAGGUCCAGAAGUAAGAAGCAAUCUGUAGGGCCAGACAACAUUGGAGAAAUUUCACCUCAUAUCUCAUUUCAGUUUUUAUUUGAGACUCCAUCUCAAGCUGCUGACCAACACCCAUCUCAGAUCCCAUCACAAGCUGAAGCAAUGAACAAUAAAAAUGCUGAGGAAAAAUUAACAAAAGAAGGAGCACCACAUACACUGGAAGAGGAUUGGCAGGAACCUGUAGUUUCUGAUGAAGAGUUGCUGGACAAUCUAGGAUCUGAUUAUGAAGGCCAUGAAGAAUGCCUUGACUUUAACCCUGAAAUGCAGUUUCUAAAGCCAUAUUUUGAAUUGAAGGUUGGGCAGAAGUUUUUCAAUUUCAGAGUUUUUAGAUAUAUGUUGGUCAAAUGGUUGGUAAGCGAGGGAUAUGAGGCUAAAUAGGUAAAAAUUUACUCAAAAAAAAUUAUUACCAAGUGUGCAAAAGGCUAUUCUUGGAGGAUUUGUACAACACCAAUCCAAGGUGAAACUACUUUUCAAAUUAAAUCUCUGAAGGGUCAGCAUGUUUGUGCAAGAGAUUACAACAACAAGUAUGCAACAGCCAAAUAUUUGAGUAUGAAGUACCAUGACAAGAAAAGAGGUGACCCGAAGUGUGCCAUGUAUGGAUUUCAGAAUGAUAUUAGAAGAGAUAUAAUGAUUAACGUGUCCGUUGCCAAGAUACGCAGAUUAAAGAAUCUGGCAAAAGAUGAGAUGCUUGGCACAGAUAUGGAGCAAUAUCACCACCUUUGGAGUUAUGUAGCUACAAUCCAAGAGACAAAUCCUGGCAGCACUGUGAAGAUUAAGCUUGAUACAGCAGAAGAUGAUGCACAAGGGACAUUUGAAAGACUCUAUUACUAUCUUCAUGCUUGCAAACAGGGGUUCCUCGAUGGCUGUGGACCAAUAAUUGGUCUUGAUGGGUGUUUUUUGAAAUCUGCAUUUGGUGGUCAGUUGUUGUCAGCAAUUGGUAGAGAUGGCAAUGACAACAUGGUUCCAAUAGCAGUAGGAGUGGUAGAGGUAGAGAGGUAUGACUCAUGGAAGUGGUUCUUGGAACUAUUAAUGGCUGAUCUGGGACUUGGUGUGGAAAACAUACCCUGGACAUUCAUCUUAGAUCGACAAAAAGGACUGGUCCAUACAGUGAACGAGUUAUUUCCAAAUUCCGAACACAGGUUUUGCUUGAGGCAUAUGUACUAGAAUUUCAAGCAAAAGUCAAAGAAAAAGAGUUGAAAGACUUGUUCUGGGCAGCUGCAAGUGCUGGGAAUGAAAUGGACUGGAAAUUAGCAAUGAAUUCCCUUGAAAAAGCUUCAAAAGAUGCAGCUGAAUGGUUGCAAAAAAUGCCACCAGUUUUAUGGAGUAGGUCACAUUUUAGACAAAGUAGCAAAUGUGAUAUUCUUGUCAACAACCUUUGUGAGUCUUUCAAUAACUAUAUUUUAGAAGCCAGAGAGCUACCUAUCAUAGGGAUGCUUGAGUGGAUCCGGAGAAGGCUUAUGCAAAGGAUUCAAGUGAAGAGGUCUGGAAUGCAAAAAUUUCAAGGAAAAAUCUGUCCUAAUAUUGCAGAGAAGAUUGACAAGAAUCUGAAACUUAGUAGGCUGUGUAUUCCCACAUAGGAUGGCGAGAACAAAUAUGAAAUUGACUGUGGGCCUAGAAAAUCUGUUGUGGUAGAUUUGAGCGAAAAGAUUUGCACAUGUGGUUAUUUCCAGCUUACUGGUUAUCCUUGUGUUCAUGCAUGUGCUACAAUAGGAGCACGUAGAUUGCCUUUGCUUGAUUAUGUGCAUGCCUGCUACAGUAGAGAAAAUUACUUGAGAAUAUAUGAGCACACUAUCACACCUAUCCCAAGUGAUAAGUACUGGGUGAGAUGUGAAGAACAACCCCCAAAUCCUCUUGUAGUUCGAAGAUUGCCUGGCAAACCCAAAAAGAUCCGGUAGAAGGCAGCCAACGAGCCUAAAAAGGGUCAAGUCUCAAUCAAGAAGGGGCUUGUGGUACAUUGCAAGAGAUGUUUUCAGCCAAGACAUAAUUCAAGAACCCGCAAGAAUGCCAUUCAUCCCAACUCUAAAUUCUACAUGGUAACAUAAACCAGAUUUUUCAUCUUAUUUGCUGUCCCAAAUCAUAUAAGACUUGCACAUUACUACGAACUUGUUUUUCAUAGGCAUGAUGCUAAUGUAGCUGAAUCAAGUUCAGCAGUUCAUUCAUCAACUCCUUCACCAAUGGUGCCCCCGCAACCAGUAGCCCCAAAUCAAGAACAAGUUGCACCGGUUCAAAAAACAAGCUACAGGCCUGGGAAGCAGUAUACGUAGCCAACAAUUGCGAGCGUGGCAAAAAAUGUGCCUGCUAGACAAGCAAGUUCUCAGGUUGGAUAAGAUCUAAAAACAAAUGUGAUUUAAUGAAGCAUCUUUCAUUCGGAUAUUCAUAUUUUCCUCUUUAAUUGUAGCCCGUGAGUGGCACAGCUUCACCAGCAAAAGGACCCCUUCGGCCUAGAGUUGCUGAUAUUCUAUCCAACCUAAGAUCCAAGAAAGCAAGAAGAUGUUGACAGAAGUAGUUCAGUUAACAUAGCAACUUUAAAGUUGAUUUACUAGGAUCAGGACAUUUUGUUUGUUGAUUGCCUUUUGUGUAGUUUUUUAAGGUUACUGUUGGAGUUGCUGGCAAACAUUUCAAUAGUUUUUGAGGCAGCUUUUGUUUGGUGGGAUGAUUUUGUCUACUUUAUUUGGAAUUGUUAUCAACUGUUGGAAACUUUAAUGUACUUUGGUGGGAUGCUUUUGUCUACUUUAUUUGGAAUUCUUGUCAAGUGUUGGAAACUUUAAUGUACUUAUUGACUGUUUCAAUGGAGAAUUCUUGUCAAGUGUUGGAAAGCUUUUGUCUACUUUAUUAUGUGUACUUAUGCUCAUUAAGGGCUGCAAGUGUAUUUCUCAAUUGCAGAAGACGUUAUUAUGUGUACUUGUUGCUCACAACUGUUUUUAAUGCACAAAUAUGAUGAAGGGCUGCAAGUGUAUUUCAUAGUUGUGGAGUUUCAUUGUUUUUGGUAGGACAUUUUUCGAAAAAUCAGAAGAAUAAAGUGCACAUUUUCAUGAACAAAACAAACAUUUUCAUUCAUAACAAAAUCAUUGUCUUAUUUUAUAGACAUUAUCAUCAACAGAAGCAAAAGUGAAAAAAUAGACACUAUUAGACAAUAACUAACUAGUGCUUUCAAGUUCUUCACUUCAUCAUUCAAGUCCUUCACUUCACAAUUCGAGUUCAAGCGCGGGAAAUGUUCUUCAACCGUUGGCCUCCCAUAAAAGUUUUCUCUGUUGGCUUCAUCUCUAUAGAUGGGAUUACACCAUGACCAAAAUCUACAUUCAUCCCUUUCACACACAAAGCACAGCAUCCCUUUGGAUGGCUUUUCGGACUCAACAAUCUUUACCUUCGCCUUUCUUCGACAGUCACAAAGCUUAUACUGGUACCGUAGAUCCCUAGCUCCACUACCCCCUCGAGAGCUUGAGGAAGACAUGAGCAAAUUUUUUAGCCAGUCGUUUCCCUUCAUUAGUAGAUAAAUCCCAAUUUAGUUACCAACAUUCAUACUUUAAACCCUAAUAACAACAAUUUGUUAGCCAAAACCCAAAAUCAAAACUUUUUACCUUAGCCAAGAUUGUGUAGUAGCUGCUCGGUGGUUGACUUCAUCUCUGAAGAAGCUUUACCUUCUUCUUUAAUUGGGUGGCAAAUGUGAUUUCUCCUAAAGGCUAGCUCAAUUUCUCUCAAUCAAGUAGAAAAUCGAUUUCUCUACACAAGCAUCGCUGUUGGGAGUUUUAUUGGGAGCUAAGGGGUACAAUAGGAAUAUUUGCUCAAAUUAAGUAUAAAGAAUUUGUUUUUAGCUUCCAGUACAUCACUCCCGUUAAUUUUAGCCAUUUCUGUCCGGGUUACAAAUUAGUUCAAAACAUGAGGUGUCGCGUUGUAUAUUUUGAAACCAUAAGGGGCUUCUUUGUGUGUUAGGUUUAGCACAGGAGGCUUUUUGUUUUUUACCCUUUUAAAAAUUAUACAUACCUUUCCUAUUUUCACUAUUUAAAUAACAUUCUAGACUCAAAAAGACUAUACUUUUUCUCAAAAUUUCUAUAAUGCUCUUGAGUUAUAAUUUAUAACAAAAAUGUAAAGGAAAAAUAUGGUUUACAAUCUCUAUUUCAUUUAUCUAUACUUGCUAUCACUAUUACCUAUCCACCAAAAUCCAAACUAUAAUUAAAUAAACACUUAUUUUUGUUCUAAUUUUUUCUUUUACCUAAAAUUUUUUUAUGCAUACUAUUGCAUCGACUAUAAACGCUAUAUUCGUUACUCAAAAGCUUAUCUACAAUCUCAUAUCAAUAUCGGAUUUUACUUAAUACACAACAAUAUUCAUCAAUAUCCUUAAAUUUCAAUUUUAUGGUUACCACCUUUUUAAUACAAAAUAAUCUAAACCAUCACUAGUAAUAUCAAUAUCCAAUAUACUCCGUUGGCACAGAGUUCAAAAUCAUCAAAUUCUCUCUAUAGGAAUAACAUCAAUAAUUGUAAAUCAAAAAUAGGAACACGAUGUAAUUAUAAAUAUAUACCAAGAACACUUUUUUUCAUUGCAACCAUAAUAGUACAAUCUAUAUUUAGUUCUUAUUCCAUUUCCUAUCCUUAAUUUUUAUUUUUUUGACGGGUAUUUUACAUACGUACAAGUUAAAAAAAACCGAAUUACAUCCGUUCACUGCAAGUAUACAGGUCAACAAGUAGUUUAGGGUAUAUAUCGGGUCGAUCCCACAGAGAAGAGUGAACAAUUACCGGUAUUACUAAAGUUUAUCUAUUAUUUAGACUAUCAAUGAAUUAUAACAAAUUUAACCUACUGAAAUUAUACAAAAUAAGAAAUAAAAGCUCCUUAGAUUGUGGUAUCCCUAACUACUCAUGCAAAUGCUAUAUUUGGAUCAUUGAGUACUACAUCUAGGCUAGUUAUGGUGUAAUUUCCUUAUGCAUUUGAAUCCUACUUUCGUAGUGAAUCAAUUAUACUUAUAACUAAUCCAUACCUAUUCUCAUGGUUAUGAAAUUAGCUACAAGUUCAUUUCUUCAGUGAAAUUACAUGAAAUUAAUCACUAAAAAUCACAUAGGUGCACCUCUACUUUCGUGAGUGUACUCCCUAUGUUUAGCACUUCUUGAACUAGUGUUAAAUCUCAAUUUUCAUUGCAGAAACAACACCUUAGAUAAUCACAAUCAAUGGUACCAGAUUAAUCAUGAUUUAAAGAGUCAAAGUGCUAAAUAACUUGCUCAAAUCAUAGCAAUCAAAUAACCAAAUAACAAACACUAACAAUUAUAGAAAGUUCAACCAAACCCAAGGCAUAAACUUUAGAAACACAUAUUAAACACAAAAUCCAGAACUUGUUCAUUAACUAAACUUGGAAUCAAGUACAAAAGAUAAAGAUUUGGAAGGAAUACAACCCUUGUCACAUGAGCUUUCUUCCUUGCCUUCUUCAUCCUCCAUCUUCUUCUUUAUCUAGCUAAUAACAAGAAUGGAUGAACUAUCUUACUCUAUACUAAGCUAAACUAACACUAAGAGAAUGGAAAAGCUACAUUUUUGCAGACUCCAAGCUUCUCCCGUAUGUUCCUAGACCUCAAAUGUCUCUGCAUAUAAGCUGAUGAAAAGUCCUUCCCUUACCAGUCAAAAAUUUCUGCUAUGACUCUCCACUUUGAUUCUCCAAAUCUGGUGUUAAUCAAGUCAACAAACACAAAGUUCCAGCCUCUUUACUCUACCGUAUAUUUUUGACUUGAUAAUAAGCUAUUUUUCUUCCUUUGUUCAUCAGAAACAUGUGCAGCCUACGUUUUCUCUCCAACUCUAGCUGGAAAGUAGUGUGAAGAUGAGAAAAAUCGCUGAGCCAAUUGCAGAAAUUCGGCUGCCAUACGCGUUUUUACUUUUGACCUCACUUCAACUGCAUUUUUCUCCAUGAUGAAGGCCUAACUGGCUUUUGUGCAAAACACAAAGGUUGUAGCCCUUUGAGUUAGCUUUCCAAAUCUUCAUGAAUCAUCUAAUUUGGAGAUCCGUGGACAGAGAUAUGGUCGAAAUACCAAAGACUGGUCAAUUCUGGGUUUCAGCUUUCGACCAUCCAGAUAAGUUUCUGUGUUUCGACAUUUUGACCAAGACAACAGCUGAAUUGGACUUUGAUGUCUUCAUACCAAAUGUAGAUAUAUCUCUUAGCUUCAAAAUGGUACCAAGAUCACCUUGAUCCGAUCUGUGUAGCUCCAGAUAUAGUCAAAAUACGAAAAUGUAUCUGAGUUGUCAAAGCUGACUUUUUCUGGAUUCUUUUGUUCUCAAAUUGCAUUUCUCCUUUUACACUUCAUAUUUUAUUUUCACCACUUUAAUCCAUCUUCAAUCAUCCAAAUAUCUUUUCAAUGCACUUCAUUUGAUGAUUGAAUUAUUAAACCUACAAAAUAUGAAGUUUUUACCAUAAAAAUCAAUAGAAAUGCAAUGUUAGCCACUUUAACAUAAAAUGUAGAUUUUUACCAAAACCUUAGUUAUUCUAGUUAUAAAACUAAAUAAUCAAACCAAAAUUAACUAAUAAAACACACUAAAAAAUACGUAAAAUAUAUUCUUAUCAAAUACCCUCACACUUGAACCAUUGCUUGUCCUCAAGCAAUAAAAAAUACAAACCAACAAUGAUCCAAAAUUUGAAAAUAAACAUAUGUAGCAUUUCAACUUCAUUUCCUCAAAACAAAGUACAUAACCAUUAUGCAAUUAUUCAAUUAAGUUUAAGUACUCAUAAUAUCAAGUAAAGGAGAGCCAAUUAUACCAUAAUUAUAACAAGUUUAAUUCAAUUUCUCAUUCUUACUUAAUUUCAUACGCAAGUAACUCAUAUGGUCAAUAAUAUGCUUCCUAAACUCAUGAUCAUUUCUUAUUCAAAUUUAAAAAGGGAUUUAUUUAUAUAAUAUAGCUAAAUAUUACUUAAGUUGUGAAAGUAUCUUUUUACGCGAGGAUCGACAUUUUUAGAUGAAGAUCACCGGUUACUCAACACUUCACAUACUCAAGUUGCUUUGCAUACUCUUAAUUCAAGUACCGUUUUACGCGAAAGUCGACAUUUGUAGAUUAAGACUCUCGGUUACUAAGUACGAGAAUCAUUGGAGUAGAAUAAAUCUUAUUUUCUAUAUUUUUUCUUUCUUCUUUUUUUUAUAGCACAGAGAAUAAUAAAAAUAAUCAUGAGGAGAGUAUUGCACUUAUUGACCAUAUUUAUCACUUAACUUAUAAAAUCAAAUAAAGAAAAGAAAUUUCAUUAAAUAUGCAAAAAAAAAUAGGCAUAAUUUUUCCACUUUAAAUGAUAUAUUUUCCUACAAAUGCAAAAAUUAUAGUCACAUAAUAGUCAUUUCCAAGUUAAAUGAGAAAAGAAGUGCUUAGGCCACAUAUAUUUAUCUCAAAUGUAGAAGGAGUUUGAACUACUAAUGGUGUGGAACUUGUUACCCCUUGGAUAAAAUUGAAAAAAUUUGAAAAUUUUUGAGGUAAAUUCGCAAAUUUGGACAAGAUUUUGAAAAAUUUUUGAAUUUUAACACAAGUCCAAUAGUUGCAACUAAUAAGUCAGUCACAUACAAUGUAUAUAAUCUCAUUUUAACACAAGUCCAAUAUUUGCAACUAAUAAGUCAGUCACAUACAAUGUAUAUAAUCUCAAUUCUUCCCCCACACUUAACAUACACAUUGUCCACAAUGUGUAAAAAGGAAAAUCAAGAUGAAGAAAGUAAUACUCCCAUAUGAUGUGAUUGAAUAUGAAGCUUCAAGGUACGUUUGUUCGCCUGUCUUCAUCACUUCAUGAGUUCCAUUUGAUAACCAUUAGUGAUAUAAACCUAAAAAUGAAAAAUGAGAAACAAAAGUGAUAACAAAGUCUCAAAACAUCAAAACAGCGAUCCGUAACUUCAAGCCCUUGUUUUGGUGAUGUACCUAUAAAAAAUACAAAAUAAGCAACUCAAGGUACAAGAAAAUAUAUAAGGAAAAGAAGAAAAAUAGAAUCAAGGAAACUGCAUUUUUAAAAAAAAAAAAAAAGAAAAUAAGGUUUAUUCUACUCCAAUGAUUCUCGUACUUAGUAACCGGGAGUUUUCAUCUACAAAUGUCAACUUUCACGUAAAACGGUACGGGAGAAACUUGGAGUCUGCAAAAAUGUAGCUUUUCCAUUCUGUUAGUGUUAGUUUAGCUUAAUAUAGAUUAAGAUAGUUCAUCCAUUCUUGUUAUUAGCUAGAUAAAGAAGAAGAUGGAGGAUGAAGAAGGCAAGGAAGAAAGCUCAUGUGACAAGGGUUGUAUUCCUUCCAAAUCUUUAUCUUUUGUACUUGAUUCCAAGUUUAGUUAAAAAACAAGUUCUGGAUUUUGUGUUUAAUAUGUGUUUCUAAAGUUUAUGCCUUGAGUUUGGUUGAACUUUCUAUAAUUGUUAGUGUUUAUUAUUUGGUUAUUUGAUUGCUAUGAUUUGAGCAAGUUAUUUAGCACUUUGACUCUUUAAAUCAUGGUUAAUCUGGUACCAUUGAUUGUGAUUAUCUAAGGUGUUGUUUCUGCAAUGAAAAUUGAGAUUUAACACUAGUUCAAGAAGCGCUAAACAUAGGGAGUACACUCACGAAAGUAGAGGUGCACCUAUGUGAUUUUUAGUGAUUAAUUUCAUGUAAUUUCACUGAAGAAAUGAACUUGUAGCUAAUUUCAUAACCAUGAGAAUAGGUAUGUAAAUCCUAUAGGCAUAAUUUUUUCCACUUUAAAAGAUAUACUUUCCAAUAAAUACACAAAUUAUAAUCACAUAAUAGUCAUUUCCAAGUUAAAUCAGAAAAGAAGUUUACAAAUCACAUAUACUUAUCUUAAAUGUAGAAGGAAUUUGAACUAUUAAUGGUAAAGAACUUUGUUACCCCUUUGGAUGAAAUCGAAAUUUUUUUUUUUUAAAAAAUACAAUUUCCUUGAUUCUCUUUUUCUUCUUUUCCUCAUAUAUUUUCUUGUACCUUGAGUUGCUUAUUGUGUAAUUUUUAUAGGUACAUCACCAAAACAAGGGCUUGAAGUUACGGAUCGCCGUUUUGAUGUCUUGAGCCUUUGUUAUCACUUUUGUUUCUCAUUUUUCAUUUUUAGGUUUACAUCACUAAUGGUUAUCAAAUGGAACUCAUGAAGCGAUGAAGGCAGGCGAACAAAUGUACCUUGAAGCUUCAUAUUCACUCACAACAUAGGGGAGUAUUACUUUUUUUAUCUUGAUUUUCCUUUUUACACAUUGAGGACAAUGUGUAUAUUAAGUGUGAGGGGGGGAGAAUUGAGAUUAUAUACAUUGUAUGUGAUUGACUUAUUAGUUGCAAAUAUUGGACUUGUGUGAAAAUUCAAAAUUUUUCCAAAAUCUUGUCCAAAAUUGCAAACUUGCCCAAAAAAAAAAUUUUUUUUUUCGAUUUCAUCCAAAGGGGUAACAAAGUUCCUUACCAUUAGUAGUUCAAAUUCCUUCAACAUUUAAGAUAAAUAUAUGUGAUUUGUAAAUUUCUUUUCUCAUUUAACUUGGAAAUGACUCUUAUGUGAUUAUAAUUUGUGUAUUUAUUGGAAAGUAUAUCUUUUAAAGUGGAAAAAAUUUUGCCUAUUUUUUUUUGCAUAUUUAAUGAAAUUUCUUUUCUUUAUUUGAUUUUUUAAGUUAAGUGAUAAAUAUGGUCAAUAAGUGCAAUACUCUCCUCAUGAUUAUUUUUAUUAUUCUCUUGGCUAUAAAAAAAAAAGAAGAAAGAAAAAAAAAGAAAAUAAGAUUUAUUCUACUCCAAUGAUUCUCGUACUUAGUAACCGGGAGUCUUCAUCUACAAAUGUCGACUUUCGCGUAAAACGGUACUUGAAUUAAGAGUAUGCAAAGCAACUUGAGUAUGUGAAGUGUUGAAUAACCGGUGAUCUUCAUCUAAAAAUGUCGAUCCUCGCGUAAAAAGAUACUUUCACAAUUUAAGUAAUAUUUAGCUAUAUUAUAUAAAUACAUCCCUUUUUAAAUUUGAAUAAGAAAUGAUCAUGGGUUUAGGAAGCAUAUUAUUGACCAUAUGAGUUACUUGCGUAUGAAAUUAAGUAAGAAUGAGAAAUUGAAUUAAACUUGUUAUAAUUACGGUAUAAUUGGCUCUCCUUUACUUGAUAUUACGAGUACUUGAAUUUAAUUGAAUAAUUGCAUAAUGGUUAUUUACUUUGUUUUGAGGAAAUGAAGUUGAAAUGCUACAUAUGUUUAUUUUCAAAUUUUGGAUCAUUGUUGGUUUGUAUUUUUUAUUACUUGAGGACAAUCAAUGGUUCAAGUGUGGGGGUAUUUGAUAAGAAUAUAUUUUACGUAUUUUUUAGUGUGUUUUAUUAGUUAAUUUUGGUUUGAUUAUUUAGUUUUAUAACUAGAAUAACUAAGGUUUUGGUAAAAAUCUACAUUUUAUGUUAAAGUGGCUAACAUUGCAUUUCUAUUGAUUUUUAUGGUAAAAACUUCAUAUUUUGUAGGUUUAAUAAUUCAAUCAUCAAAUGAAGUGCAUUGAAAAGAUAUUUGGAUGAUUGAAGAUGGAUUAAAGUGGUGAAAAUAAAAUAUGAAGUGUAAAAGGAGAAAUGCAAUUUGAGAACAAAAGAAUCAAGAAAAAGUCAGCUUUGACAACUCAGAUACAUUUUCGUAUUUUGACUAUAUCUGGAGCUACACAGAUCGGAUCAAGGUGAUCUUGGUACCAUUUUGAAGCUAAGAGAUAUAUCUACAUUUGGUAUGAAGACAUCAAAGUCCAAUUCAGCUGUUGUCUUGGUCAAAAUGUCGAAACACAGAAACUUAUCUGGAUGGUCGAAAGCUGAAACCCAGAAUUGACCAGUCUUUGGUAUUUCGACCAUAUCUCUGUCCACCAAUCUCCAAAUUAGAUGAUUCAUGAAGAUUUGGAAAGCUAACGCAAAGGGCUACAACCUUUGUGUUUUGCACAAAAGCCAGUUAGGCCUUCAUCAUGGAGAAAAAUGCAGUUGAAGUGAGGUCAAAAGUAAAAACGCGUAUGGCAGCCGAAUUUCUGCAAUUGGCUCAGCGAUUUUUCUCAUCUUCACACUACUUUCCAGCUAGAGUUGGAGAGAAAACGUAGGCUGCACAUGUUUCUGAUGAACAAAGGAAGAAAAAUAGCUUAUUAUCAAGUCAAAAAUAUAUGGUAGAGUAAAGAGGCUGGAACUUUGUGUUUGUUGACUUGGUUAACACCAGAUUUGGAGAAUCAAAGUGGAGAGUCAUAGCAGAAAUUUUUGACUGGUAAGGGAAGGACUUUUCAUCAGCUUAUAUGCAGAGACAUUUGAGGUCUAGGAACAUACGGGAGAAGCUUGGAGUCCGCAAAAAUGUAGCUUUUCCAUUCUCUUAGUGUUAGUUUAGCUUAGUAUAGAGUAAGAUAGUUAAUCCAUUCUUGUUAUCAGCUAGAUAAAGAAGAAGAUGGAGGAUGAAGAAGGCAAGGAAGAAAGCUCAUGUGAAAAGGGUUGUAUUCCUUCCAAAUCUUUAUCUUUUGUACUUGAUUCCAAGUUUAGUUAAUAAACAAGUUCUGGAUUUUGUGUUUAAUAUGUGUUUCUAAAGUUUAUGCCUUGGGUUUGGUUGAACUUUCUAUAAUUGUUAGUGUUUAUUAUUUGGUUAUUUGAUUGCUAUGAUUUGAGCAAGUUAUUUUGUACUUUGACUCUUUAAAUCAUGAUUAAUCUGGUACCAUUGAUUGUGAUUAUCUAAGGUGUUGUUUUUGCAAUGAAAAUUGAGAUUUAACACUAGUUCAAGAAGUGCUAAACAUAGGGAGUGCACUCACAAAAGUAGAGGCCAACUUGUAGCGUUUUGACGGGUAUUUUACAUAUACGUACAAGUUAAAAAACCGAAUUACACCCGUUCACUGCAAGUAUACAGGUCAACCAGUAGUUUAGGGUAUAUAUCGGGUCGAUCCCACAGGGAAGAGUCAACAAUUACCGGUAUUACUAAAGUUUCUCUAUUAUUUAGACUAACAAUAAAUUAUAACAAAUUUAACCUACUGAAAUUAUACAAAAUAACAAAUAAAAACUCCUUAGGUUGUGGUAUCCCUAACUACUCAUGCAAGUGCUAUAUUUGGAUCAUUGAGUGAUAAGUGAAUAUUUAACGCAUAUUUUGUAUGAAUUUGGCAUUAAUUUUUGGUAUGUUCUGAGAAGAUUAAGCCAUAUUUGAACUCUUUUGGUGAUAAUUGCUUAAAUAUUGAUUAAGGUUUCAAAAAUUGAUAAAUGAGUGAAUUAAUGCGUUAAUCUGGUGAAUUUGUGAAGGUAAUUGAUGUAUGAAAUUUAUGCACAAGUUCAAAGGAAUAUAAGGGUCAUCCAGAGGACAAAGUACACAAGAAAUUGGGAGCAAAAAUGAAGAAAAAGAGAAGAAGUGAAAAACUGGAAAAUUGCUCAACACGGAUCCGAGCUCGGAUCCGUGUGUAUAAAAGGGAUCCGACCCCUCGUCUGUGCUUCUGGUGGAGAGCAUCCGAAGUCAGGACGAUCCGACCUCGGAUCCAUCAAGGGAAGACCUCGGAUCCUAUAAUCCGAGCUCGGAUCCAUGUGCACAAGAUGGAUCCGAACCCUCGUCUGUACUUCUGGUGGAGAGCAUCCGAGGUCAGGACGAUCCGACCUCGGAUCCAUUAUGAAGACCUCGGAUCCUGAAGAUCCGAGCUCGGAUUCAUUUUCACUCCUCGGAUCCGAGGCUCGGAUCUGUCUCUCUCCUCAGCAAAUGCAACAGCCGUUUUUCUUUACCUUUUUCACAACUUUCCAGCUAUUUUGAGGGACAGAAAUCGGUGGCACAUGCUUCUGCAACAAAAGAGAAGACCAAAUGAGUAUGGACAAAAGGAAAUAUCAUAUCUUUGAUUUCUUUUUACAAAAUCUGAGUGGAGGAAAUUAUGAAGUGGGAGAAAUGGAAUUUCUUCCACCUUUUAUGCAGAAAGCAGGGGAGAGGUCUGGAUGACCAUACGUAGCUAGUUUUCUUUCUUGUAUCUAGUUUUCUCUCUAGAUAGGAGUUCUUGGAGAAGGACUUAAAAAGUUUCACUUAUAAUCAUAUUGUGCAAGAACAUAGCAGGAAUUGGAGAGCUUCACCUUCAAUUGGCUAAGCUUUCUUUUAUCUUUCUUAUACUUGUACUUUAUGAGGUUUUGCAUGAAUAAACUUGUGAGUUUGAUUGUUAAAUCAUUCAUGAGUAGCUAAACUCCUUCAUCUAGGGAGUAGAUGAAACUUAUGGCUAAAUAGUAUAAAUUGAAUGUGAUUUACACUUGUUAUAUCUUGUAUUAACUUGUCUACUUGUGUAACUGUGAUUACUUGCUAUUGAUUGAUCACCAAUAGUUUGGUUAUAGUGGUUAUUGUUCAAUGAGAAUUGGUAAUAACAAUGGAAACACAUGAGUAGAGCGUGAGUUGUAUGUUCAUGAAAAUAGAGAUACACUUAGGUGGAUUACUUAGCAUUUCAUGAAAUAAAACAGAGUAGUAGUAGUAUUUCACCAUGAAAAUAGGGAAAUCUAUAUUGCUUUAGGCCAUUUCAUCAUGAAAAUGAGACUUGGAAACUUUGGAAAUGAAUCUCUGGUUAAGCAAGAAUAAUAGCAAGAAGUAAAUCCAUUCAUUUGUGUUGUUUAAGCCAUAAGUGGAAUCUACAUCCCUAGAAUCUUCCUUAAGUGAAAUUUCUCUAUUUGCAUUAAGCAUUUGUAAACUAGACUUGUAUAUCAGAUUUGUAGAUUACAGCAUUAUACUUUCUCUGCUCAAAUUAUUUGUAAGUCUAAAUAAUAGAGAGAACAAGGACUUAGUAAUUGUUUAAAUUGCUCCUCGUGGGAUCGACCCGAUACACAUCUUGUACUAUAAUUGCGACCUGUAUACUUGCAGUCCAACGGGUGUAAAAUCGGAAUUAAACUUGCAUUGAUCUAAAAGUCCCGUCAUUGAGUACUACAUCUAGGCUAGUUAUGGUGUAAUUUCCUUAUGCAUUUGAAUCCUACUUUCGUAGUGAAUCAAUUAUACUUAUAACUAAUCCAUACCUAUUCUCAUGGUUAUAAAAUUAGCUACAAGUUCAUUUCUUCAGUGAAAUUACAUGAAAUUAAUCACUAAAAAUCACGUAGGUGCACCUCUACUUUCGUGAGUGUACUCCCUAUGUUUAGCACUUCUUGAACUAGUGUUAAAUCUCAAUUUUCAUUGCAGAAACAACACCUUAGAUAAUCACAAUCAAUGGUACCAGAUUAAUCAUGAUUUAAAGAGUCAAAGUACAAAAUAACUUGCUCAAAUCAUAGCAAUCAAAUAACCAAAUAAUAAAUACUAACAAUUAUCGAAAGUUCAACCAAACCCAAGGCCUAAACUUUUGAAACACAUAUUAAACACAAAAUCCAGAACUUGUUUAUUAACUAAACUUGGAAUCAAGUACAAAAGAUAAAGAUUUGGAAGGAAUACAACCCUUGUCACAUGAGCUUUCUUCCUUGCCUUCUUCAUCCUCCAUCUUCUUCUUUAUCUAGCAGAUAACAAGAAUGGAUUAACUAUCUUACUCUAUACUAAGCUAAACUAACACUAAGAGAAUGGAAAAGCUACAUUUUUUUGGACUCCAAGCUUCUCCCGUAUGUUCCUAAACCUCAAAUGUCUCUGCAUAUAAGCUGAUGAAAAGUCCUUCCCUUACCAGUCAAAAAUUUCUGCUAUGACUCUCCACUUUGAUUCUCCAAAUAUGGUGUUAACCAAGUCAACAAACACAAAGUUCCAGCCUCUUUACUCUACCGUAUAUUUUUGACUUGAUAAUAAGCUAUUUUUCUUCCUUUGUUCAUCAGAAACAUGUGCAGCUGGAAAGUGGAGUGAAGAUGAGAAAAAUCGCUGAGCCAAUUGCAAAAAUUUGGCUGCCAUACGCAUUUUUACUUUUGACCUCACUUCAACUGCAUUUUUCUCCAUGAUGAAGGCCGAACUGGAUUUUGUGCAAAACACAAACGUUGUAGCCCUUUGAGUUAACUUUCCAAAGCUUCAAGAAUCAUCUAAUGUGGAGAUCAGUGGACAGAGAUAUGGUUGAAAUACAAAAGACUGGUCAAUUCUGGGUUUCAGCUUUCGACCAUCCAGAUAAGUUUCUGUGUUUCGACUUUUUGACCAAGACAACAGUUGAAUUGGACUUUGAUGUCUUCAUAUCAAAUGUAGAUAUAUCUCUUAGCUUCAAAAUGGUACCAAGAUCACCUUGAUCCGAUCUGUGUAGCUCCAGAUAUAGUCAAAAUACGAAAAUAUAUCUGAGUUGUCAAAGCUGACUUUUUCUUGAUUCUUUUGAUCUCAAAUUGCAUUUCUCCUUUUACACUUCAUAUUUUAUUUUCACCACUUUAAUCCAUCUUCAAUCAUCCAAAUAUCUUUUCAAUGCACUUCAUUUGAUGAUUGAAUUAUUAAACCAACAAAAUAUGAAGUUUUUACCAUAAAAAUCAAUAGAAAUGCAAUGUUAGCCACUUUAACAUAAAAUGUAGAUUUUUUCCAAAACCUUAGUUAUUCUAGUUAUAAAACUAAAUAAUCAAACCAAAAUUAACUAAUAAAACACACUAAAAAAUACGUAAAAUAUAUUUUUAUCAAAUACCCCCACACUUGAACCAUUGCUUGUCCUCAAGUAAUAAAAAAUACAAACCAACAAUGAUCCAAAUUUUGAAAAUAAACAUAUGUAGCAUUUCAACUUCAUUUCCUCAAAACAAAGUAAAUAACCAUUAUGCAAUUAUUCAAUUAAAUUCAAGUACUCAUAAUAUCAAGUAAAGGAGAGCCAAUUAUACCGUAAUUAUAACAAGUUUAAUUCAAUUUCUCAUUCUUACUUAAUUUCAUGCGCAAGUAACUCAUAUGGUCAAUAAUAUACUUCCUAAACUCAUGAUCAUUUCUUAUUCAAAUUUAAAAAGGGAUUUAUUUAUAUAAUAUAGCUAAAUAUUACUUAAAUUGUGAAAGUAUCUUUUUACGCGAGGAUCGACAUUUUUAGAUGAAGAUCACCGGUUAUUCAACACUUCACAUACUCAAGUUGUUUUGCAUACUCUUAAUUCAAGUAUCGUUUUACGCGAAAGUCGACAUUUGUAGAUUAAGACUCUCGGUUACUAAGUACAAGAAUCAUUGCAGUAGAAUAAAUCUUAUUUUCUUUUUUUUUUCUUUCUUCUUUUUUUUAUAGCAAAGAGAAUAAUAAAAAUAAUCAUGAGGAGAGUAUUGCACUUAUUGACCAUAUUUAUCACUUAACUUAUAAAAUCAAAUAAAGAAAAGAAAUUUCAUUAAAUAUGCAAAAAAAAAAUAGGCAUAAUUUUUUCCACUUUAAAUGAUAUAUUUUCCUACAAAUGCAAAAAUUAUAGUCACAUAAUAGUCAUUUCCAUGUUAAAUGAGAAAAGAAGUGCUUAAGCCACAUAUAUUUAUCUCAAAUGUAGAAGGAGUUUGAACUACUAAUGGUGUGGAACUAGUUAACCCUUGGAUAAAAUUGAAAAAAUUUGAAAAUUUUUGGGGUAAAUUCGCAAAUUUGGACAAGAUUUUGAAAAAAUUUUGAAUUUUAACACAAGUCCAAUAUUUGCAACUAAUAAGUCAGUCACAUACAAUGUAUAUAAUCUCAUUUUAACACAAGUCCAAUAUUUGCAACUAAUAAGUCAGUCACAUACAAUGUAUAUAAUCUCAAUUCUCCCCCCACACUUAACAUACACAUUGUCCAUAAUGUGUAAAAAGGAAAAUCAAGAUAAAGAAAGUAAUACUCCCAUAUGAUGUGAUUGAAUAUGAAGCUUCAAGGUACGUUUGUUCGCCUGUCUUCAUCGCUUCAUGAGUUCCAUUUGAUAACCAUUAGUGAUAUAAACCUAAAAAUGAAAAAAUGAGAAACAAAAGUGAUAACAAAGUCUCAAAACAUCAAAACAGCGAUCCGUAACUUCAAGCCCUUGUUUUGGUGAUGUACCUAUAAAAAAUACACAAUAAGCAACUCAAGGUACAAGAAAAUAUAUAAGGAAAAGAAGAAAAAUAGAAUCAAGGAAACUGCAUUUAAAAAAAAAAAGAAAAUAAGGUUUAUUCUACACCAAUGAUUCUCGUACUUAGUAACCGGGAGUCUUCAUCUACAAAUGUCAACUUUCGUGUAAAACGGUAUGGGAGAAGCUUGGAGUCUGCAAAAAUGUAGCUUUUCCAUUCUCUUAGUGUUAGUUUAGCUUAGUAUAGAGUAAGAUAGUUCAUCCAUUCUUGUUGUUAGCUAGAUAAAGAAGAAGAUGGAGGAUGAAGAAGGCAAGGAAGAAAGCUCAUGUGACAAGGGUUGUAUUCCUUCCAAAUCUUUAUCUUUUGUACUUGAUUCCAAGUUUAGUUAAUAAACAAGUUCUGGAUUUUGUGUUUAAUAUGUGUUUCUAAAGUUUAUGCCUUGGAUUUGGUUGAACUUUCUAUAAUUGUUAGUGUUUAUUAUUUGGUUAUUUAAUUGCUAUGAUUUGAGCAAGUUAUUUAGCACUUUGACUCUUUAAAUCAUGAUUAAUCUAGUACAAUUGAUUGUGAUUAUCUAAGGUGUUGUUUCUGCAUUGAAAAUUGAGAUUUAACACUAGUUCAAGAAGUGCUAAACAUAGGGAGUAUACUCACGAAAGUAGAGGUGCACCUAUGUGAUUUUUAGUGAUUAAUUUCAUGUAAUUUCACUGAAGAAAUGAACUUGUAGCUAAUUUCAUAACCAUGAGAAUAGGUAUGUAAAUCCUAUAGGCAUAAUUUUUUCCACUUUAAAAGAUAUACUUUCCAAUAAAUACACAAAUUAUAAUCACAUAAUAGUCAUUUCCAAGUUAAAUGAGAAAAGAAGUUUACAAAUCACAUAUAUUUAUCUUAAAUGUAGAAGGAAUUUGAACUACUAAUGGUAAGGAACUUUGUUACCCCUUUGGAUGAAAUCGAAAAUAUUUUUUUUUUAAAAAAAAUGCAGUUUCCUUGAUUCUCUUUUUCUUCUUUUCCUCGUAUAUUUUCUUGUUCCUUGAGUUGCUUAUUGUGUAAUUUUUAUAGGUACAUCACCAAAACAAGGGCUUGAAGUUACGGAUCGCCGUUUUGAUGUCUUGAGCCUUUGUUAUCACUUUUGUUUCUCAUUUUUCAUUUUUAGGUUUACAUCACUAAUGGUUAUCAAAUGGAACUCAUGAAGCGAUGAAAACAGGCGAACAAACAUAGCUUGAAGCUUCAUAUUCACUCACAACAUAUGGGAGUAUUACUUUUUUUAUCUUGAUUUUCCUUUUUACACAUUGAGGACAAUGUGUAUAUUAAGUGUGGGGGGAGGGAGAAUUGAGAUUAUAUACAUUAUAUGUGAUUGACUUAUUUGUUGCAAAUAUUGGACUUGUGUGAAAAUUCAAAAUUUUUCCAAAAUCUUGUCCAAAAUUGCAAACUUGCCGAAAAUUUUUUUUUUUUUUUUUUUCGAUUUCAUCCAAAGGGGUGACAAAGUUCCUUACCAUUAGUAGUUCAAAUUCCUUCUACAUUUAAGAUAAAUAUAUGUGAUUUGUAAACUUCUUUUCUCAUUUAACUUGGAAAUGACUAUUAUGUGAUUAUAAUUUGUGUAUUUAUUGGAAAGUAUAUCUUUUAAAGUGGAAAAAAUUAUGUCUAUUUUUUUUUUGCAUAUUUAAUGAAAUUUCUUUUUUUAUUUGAUUUUAUAAGUUAAGUGAUAAAUAUGGUCAAUAAGUGCAAUACUCUCCUCAUGAUUAUUUUUAUUAUUCUCUUGGCUAUUAAAAAAAAAGAAAAAAAGGAAAAAAGAAAAAAAAAGAAGAAAGAAAAAGAAAAAAAAAGAAAAUAAGAUUUAUUCUACUCCAAUGAUUCUCGUACUUAGUAACCGGGAGUCUUCAUCUACAAAUGUCGACUUUCGCGUAAAACGGUACUUGAAUUAAGAGUAUGCAAAGCAACUUGAGUAUGUGAAGUGUUGAAUAACCGGUGAUCUUCAUCUAAAAAUGUCGAUCCUCGCAUAAAAAGAUACUUUCACAACUUAAGUAAUAUUUAGCUAUAUUAUAUAAAUAAAUCCCUUUUUAAAUUUGAAUAAGAAAUGAUCAUGAGUUUAGGAAGCAUAUUAUUGACCAUAUGAGUUACUUGCGUAUGAAAUUAAGUAAGAAUGAGAAAUUGAAUUAAACUUGUUAUAAUUACGGUAUAAUUGGCUCUCAUUUACUUGAUAUUAUGAGUACUUGAACUUAAUUGAAUAAUUGCAUAAUGGUUAUUUACUUUGUUUUGAGGAAAUGAAGUUGAAAUGCUACAUAUGUUUAUUUUCAAAUUUUGGAUCAUUGUUGGUUUGUAUUUUUUAUUACUUGAGGACAAGCAAUGGUUCAAGUGUGGGAGUAUUUGAUAAGAAUAUAUUUUACGUAUUUUUUAGUGUGUUUUAUUAGUUAAUUUUGGUUUGAUUAUUUAGUUUUAUAACUAGAAUAACUAAGGUUUUGGUAAAAAUCUACAUUUUAUAUUAAAGUGGCUAACAUUGCAUUUCUAUUGAUUUUUAUGGUAAAAACUUCAUAUUUUGUAGGUUUAAUAAUUCAAUCAUCAAAUGAAGUGCAUUGAAAAGAUAUUUGGAUGAUUGAAGAUGGAUUAAAGUGGUGAAAAUAAAAUAUGAAAUGUAAAAGGAGAAAUGCAAUUUGAGAACAAAAGAAUCAAGAAAAAGUCAGAUUUGACAACUCAGAUACAUUUUCGUAUUUUGACUAUAUCUGGAGCUACACAGAUCGGAUCAAGGUGAUCUUGGUACCAUUUUGAAGCUAAGAGAUAUAUCUACAUUUGGUAUGAAGACAUCAAAGUCCAAUUCAGCUGUUUUAUGGGUCAAAAAGUCGAAACACAGAAACUUAUCUGGAUGGUUGAAAGCUGAAACCCAGAAUUGACCAGUCUUUGAUAUUUCGACCAUAUCUCUGUCCACCAAUCUCCAAAUUAGAUGAUUCUUGAAGCUUUGGAAAGCUAGCUCAAAGGGCUACAACGUUUGUGUUUUGGCCAAAAGGCAUUUUGGCCUUCAUCAUGGAGAAAAAUGCAGUUGAAAUGAGGUCAAAAGUAAAAACGCGUAUGGCAGCCGAAUUUCUGCAAUUGGCUCAGCGAUUUUUCUCAUCUUCACACUACUUUCCAGCUAGAGUUGGAGAGAAAACGUAGGCUGCACAUGUUUCUGAUGAACAAAGGAAGAAAAAUAGCUUAUUAUCAAGUCAAAAAUAUAUGGUAGAGUAAAGAGGCUGGAACUUUGUGUUUGUUGACUUGGUUAACACCAGAUUUGGAGAAUCAAAGUGGAGAGUCAUAGCAGAAAUUUUGACUGGUAAGGGAAGGACUUUUCAUCAGCUUAUAUGCAGAGACAUUUGAGGUCUAGGAACAUACGGGAGAAGCUUGGAGUCUGCAAAAAUGUAGCUUUUCCAUUCUCUUAGUGUUAGUUUAGCUUAGUACCUCUACUUUCGUGAGUGUACUCCCUAUGAUUUGAGCAAGUUAUUUAGCACUUUGACUCUUUAAAUCAUGAUUAAUCUGGUACCAUUGGUUGUGAUUAUCUAAGGUGUUGUUUCUGCAAUGAAAAUUGAGAUUUAACACUAGUUCAAGAAGUGCUAAACAUAGGGAGUACACUCACGAAAGUAGAGGUACUAAGCUAAACUAACACUAAGAGAAUGGAAAAGCUACAUUUUUGCAGACUCCAAGCUUCUCCCGUAUGUUCCUAGACCUCAAAUGUCUCUGCAUAUAAGCUGAUGAAAAGUCCUUCCCUUACCAGUCAAAAUUUCUGCUAUGACUCUCCACUUUGAUUCUCCAAAUCUGGUGUUAACCAAGUCAACAAACACAAAGUUCCAGCCUCUUUACUCUACCAUAUAUUUUUGACUUGAUAAUAAGCUAUUUUUCUUCCUUUGUUCAUCAGAAACAUGUGCAGCCUACGUUUUCUCUCCAACUCUAGCUGGAAAGUAGUGUGAAGAUGAGAAAAAUCGCUGAGCCAAUUGCAGAAAUUCGGCUGCCAUACGCGUUUUUACUUUUGACCUCAUUUCAACUGCAUUUUUCUCCAUGAUGAAGGCCAAAAUGCCUUUUGGCCAAAACACAAACGUUGUAGCCCUUUGAGCUAGCUUUCCAAAGCUUCAAGAAUCAUCUAAUUUGGAGAUUGGUGGACAGAGAUAUGGUCGAAAUAUCAAAGACUGGUCAAUUCUGGGUUUCAGCUUUCAACCAUCCAGAUAAGUUUCUGUGUUUCGACUUUUUGACCAAGAAAACAGCUGAAUUGGACUUUGAUGUCUUCAUACCAAAUGUAGAUAUAUCUCUUAGCUUCAAAAUGGUACCAAGAUCACCUUGAUCCGAACUAUGUAGCUCCAGAUAUAGUCAAAAUACGAAAAUGUAUCUGAGUUGUCAAAUCUGACUUUUUCUUGAUUCUUUUGUUCUCAAAUUGCAUUUCUCAUUUUACACUUCAUAUUUUAUUUUCACCACUUUAAUCCAUCUUCAAUCAUCUAAAUAUCUUUUCAAUGCACUUCAUUUGAUGAUUGAAUUAUUAAACCUACAAAAUAUGAAGUUUUUACCAUAAAAAUCAAUAGAAAUGCAAUGUUAGCCACUUUAACAUAAAAUGUAGAUUUUUACCAAAACCUUAGUUAUUCUAGUUAUAAAACUAAAUAAUCAAACCAAAAUUAACUAAUAAAACACACUAAAAAAUACGUAAAAUAUAUUCUUAUCAAUUUUAUCAUUUGAUAAUUUCAAUUUGCUAAUGCCUAUCAAAAAUUGGGAAAAAAAGGGCGUAGGGAAACUAUUUAAGAAUAAUGAAAAAUUGAAAAUUGCGAUUAUAUACCAAGAUAUGUAAGUAUUGGUGGUUUGGUGUGUAUGGUGAUUUUAUUAGUAGCGACAGUACACAUUUGAUUGAUAUAAUAAAUAAAUGAGUUUGAAAGGAAAAUAUGUGGAAGUGGAAAAGAAUAGAUAAUUAAAUGGAAAACCUGUAAUUUAAAUUAUUAGUUGAUAAUAGAUGAGAGAGUUUUAAUAUUUGAUAAAGUUUUUCAAUGAAUUGAAAUUUAAUAAAGGGCAUUGUUGUCUUUUUAUCACACCAAAGGAGGUUUCUGUAAUUAUGUAAACCUCAAGGGAGCCGAGUGAAAUUGUCAAAACCUCAGGAGAGGUUUCUGAAAUUAUCCCUAUCAAAUAGCUGCCUCAAAGUUUCUAAUAAUUACAUUUAAAUGCCCUCUAAUAUAGAAAAUUACAUUGCUCUCCCUUUUUAGGUAGAUGUGACCGAAUGUACCGUCGAUAAGGGUGUUUUUAUGGGAGAUUAGUGAUGUUACAAAGGGUUUAGUUAAUGUACCAUCGAAAAAGUAUGGUUUUAUGGGAACAAGAUGAAUGAUGCAAAAUCUUGAACAAAUGGAUUGAUUAACUUGUUUAGUUAAUUGAAGUCUUCUGCACCUCCAAUAACAAUUUCUUCUUUUUUUUUUUUCUUUUUUCCCUAAGGUGCAGUGCAUCAAGACAUUUGCUUUCAGCAAAACUCAGAAGAGCAUCAUGCAUGUUCUAUUUAUAUAUAUAAAAAAAAAGAAUUGUAUUUGGAUAGUUGAUUAUUUGGAAUAAUUUUUUGAAAAAAAUAUUGUAGUACUUUUUUAAUGUACUGUAUGUAAAAUAAAAGAUAAUUAAAAAAUAUGUUGAUGAAACAAACAAAUAAAUUUUGACAAAUAAUCUACUACGCAAACAAAAGUAUUUGGAGGUUGAUGCAACAGACGGGAUAUUUUUUUUUCCCAUUACAAUCUCAGUUGGGAAUAGUUCAGCAUAAAUUAUCCAAACUGACCAACUACUUCCUGCAAGAAGAAAAUGCGAUUUAAUCAUGUGAUACAGACGUUAAUCACUAAGCAAGAUUAGCAUGCUUGAGGGCCCUGAAAAUAUCUACCUGUUCAGUGGUCUUCUAUAAAAAGCCAACCGUGAUAAGAUAAUUAUCAAACUGCUAGUGCUGAUUCAUGUAUAUUUACCUUGUUGAAAAAGAAAGAAUUAGACCUACUUGGCUUGAAUUUACAUCUGACAAAUGUGUUACGUAAUUGGAAAAGAAAUUCACUAAUUUUCCUUUCAACUUCAAUUGUAUAAGUUGAAAUGUAUAGAACUUUAGUAAUAUUUUUAUAGUUUAUUUUUUCACUAAUAAAUUUUUUCCCUAAUCAUGUAAAAUAAGCGGGAUGUUUUUCUCUAUCUAAAAAUAUGUAAUUGUGGAGAUAAAAUUUAACAGGACUUGUAAAAUGAAAGUAAUUCUUCUGUUAAUAUCUACAUAUUUAUUAUAUAUCUUUCUAAGUAUAAUAAUUAGUAUCUAAAAGUACUUUAUUAAAUUAAUACACACCGGUUCAACUAGUGAUCCAAUUCCUCUGCUGGACUCCUUAUCAAGUCAAGUUUAAUAACUAUGCCUCCUCCAACUAGAAAAUACAACUUAAUCAUGAGAUACUCAUGUUCAUCACUGAAUAGGAUUAGUAUCCUUGUGAGCUCUCAAAAUAUCUACUUAUUUUGUGGCCUUAAGUAAAAAGCCAAUUGUGACGAGACAAUUGUCAAACUGCUCAUUAUUGUACUUUUUUUUUUAUACGAUAGAUUUGAUACUAUAAUUAUUUGUACUCUACGUUAAAAGGAGGGGAUCUAAAGAGAUCAAAGGAAACUCGUCGACCCUGAUGAGUGCAUAGGCACCCAUUAGCAAAAUAUUUCUAACAAAGUCUGAAUAUUAGAAUGCAAAUCAAGAAUUUGAUCCUUAACCUAUAUCCAAAUAAAACUUUCUUGACGGCCAACUACUCUGUUACUCUAGCAGCAGAGUAGUUGGUUUGUUGAUUAGUGUACAUUGCACGCCUUUGAUAUGUGUAAUAUUGCACAUCAACCUCAGCAGAAAACAACGAACAAGACCAGCCUGGUUCGAGUUGACUUUUAACAAAUGUACUGCGUGAUUGGAAAAGACUGGGCAGUAGUCCCACAUAGAACUUAUCAGCACUAUGUAAUUAAUGUACACCACUCGUUGAGAAAGAGAGACUGAACGUACUAUGUAAUUAGUACUAAUUAAUGUGCACUUCCCUUGUUGAAAUUUGAAAAAGAAAGAAGAAAGAAUGAGACCUCGCUCACUUGAAUUUACGUCUAUAAAUAUACUACGUAAUUGGAAAAGAACUUAGCCGGUUUGCCAUAUUAUUCUGAAUUGUUUAACCUCUUGGCUCUUCAAAUACCAGCAUUGGCUACCCCUUAUUGUUAAUUAUCAGGCUAAAUUGAGCUACGGGAAGUGCGUAUAAGGAAAGAGGCUGCCUAAAACCAUGGAAUGCGCUUCAAAUAUCAGGCUUCCGGUCAUAAAUUUAACGGAGGAAAUCCUAAGAUCCGGAAAAGAUUCUUGGACUGAAGCGCGAAACAUUGUCACACGGGCAUUUGAAGAGUAUGGCUGUUUCAUAGCUGUUCAUGAUAAGUAUCCUUCAGAGGUUAGAGAUUCCAUAUUCUCUGAGCUGCAAGAUUUGUUUAACCUCCCGUUGGAGAUUAAAGUCCGAAACACUUCUCAAACUCCCCUCAUUGGUUAUGCUCGGCCAAGACCCAACGUGGACCUCUACGAAAGCAUGAGCAUUGAAGAUGCAACAAAUCUUGAAGCAGUCGAGAAGUUUGCAAAUCAGAUGUGGCCCUCCAAAAAUAACCAUUUCUGGUAAACUUGUUUCCAUUAAUAUGUAAUUCUUCUUAUAGUUUAUUGCUACUAUGCAUUAUUCAUAUCCGAAAUGCUUACCUUUUCUUUUUUUUUUUUUGAAUAUGCCCUCCCAUGACUAGUGAACUGUUUCAUUGGUAUGCAAAUCAAGUCGCAGAAUUAGAUAAAAUGGUGAGCAAAUUGGUGUUUGAAAGCUAUGGUGUGGAGAAGUACCACGAAUCUCAUGUGGGAUCAGUGACUUAUACUGUUAGAUUGAUAAGGUACAGGGUACCCGAACAGAAUGAGAUGAAUGUCGGCGUUCCUCCUCAUACUGACAAGAACUUCAUAACCAUACUUCAACAGAAUGAAGCUGAUGGUUUAGAAGUUCAGUUGAAGAAUGGAAGCUGGAUUCCUAUUGAUUUUCCUCCUUCCUCCGUAGUAAUCAUGGCUGGAGAUGUAUUCUCGGUGAGAUAUUUUCUUUUUUGUCAUUAAAUGUGCAAGCCUGGAUCAUAUUAAACUUGAUUAGUUACAACAUUGCAAUCCUCUAAAAAUCCAUGUUUUAAAAUUCCAUUUUCCUUUUCAAAUCAUUUCCCUUUGUCAUGAAUAUACCGGGACAAUUGUUAUGUGUUUUCCCCUGGAACAAAAAUGAAAACAAAUAUGCAGAAGAAAGAUUAGACAAUAACAAUAUAUUAAUACUCAAGUGUGGAGGGUUGAGACACGGAUAUUUCUGUUUCUCUUUAAAGUGAUUCAAACCUCUAUAAAAGAAUCAAUUCUAAUGCAACAGGUUUUCUAACUUGUCAUUUUCAAGAUACACCAUUUCAGCCAUACUUACUAACACUCUCUUUAGACUACACAACUAGGAGAGUAUACCUUUAUAAAUGCCUUAUUAUUUUCUUGUCUAACUAUGAUAUAGAAAAUAAUGAAUUUAGACUCAAAAGACAUAAAUUGUUGUAGUAGAACUUUUCUAUCUCAACUAUGCAUACAUAUAUAUAUAUAUAUAUAGGUGAAGAAAAGUUAGAUAAACAUAACCUAUAUUCCUAAUAAAAUACUAAAUAAAUGCUGAAAAUUAUUGGCCAUUCAAAACACAUUCAAUUUUAUAUUGUAGGUUACAAAAAACUUAUUGUAAUUGAAAAAUGAUAAUUUCACAUUCUUUGGUCAAUACCCAUUCAAUCCAAAUUUGAAUUGUAAGUUACAAUACCUUGAAGUAAUUGAAAAGUCAUAAUUUCAUAUAAUAAAUCUCCAGGAAAAACCAUUCAAACACCUAUAAAUUUCAGAAAAUUUCACUAAUUUAUUUCCCUUGUAACAUGCACAUUUAAUUCAGAAUUUAAUUAUUUUAUUAAAAUACUACAACAUUAUGUAAAAGGCAAAAAACAAAGUUAAAAAACUUUGGUUCAAUUAGAAAACUUGAUUCAAUAAUGGCUUCGCCAUACAUCAUCUAAGUUGGAUGUGUUAUGGUCAAAUUAAAACGAAAAGGAAAAAGGCCUCACAGAUGUUACUACCUUAAUCAUCUAGAAUAUUGGCAUGGCAUUUGUGCCAUAACUUUCGAUAUUUUUGUUGUAAAUGCUGACUUGUAUACAUUUUUGUAUACAUUGAUUGUAUACAUUUUUGAAAUGCAGGCGUGGAGCAACGGUAGAGUGCAUUCCCCAUUUCAUAGAGUAACUAUGAACGGAAAAGAAAGGCAUUCGAUUGCACAGUUUGCCUAUUGCAAGAAAUUGGUAGAGACACCAACAGAGCUGGUUGAUGAUGAACACCCCUUAUUAUAUAAGCCAUUGGACAAUUUUGGUUAUCUCCGAUUCUUGAGCACAGAUGAUAAUUUUAAUACUCCAAAUCCACUGAAGGCCUAUUGUGGCGUCUAAAACACCAGACGCAUCGAUUUUUAUGGAUGAAAAGCUUUUUCUUCUUUUCAGUCGAUGUUUAUUCUUCUCCCCUAUUGUGCCCACUUUUUCUUGAAAAUGUUAGGGGAGUAGCUUUCUCCAGGAUUAAUCUAUGCAAUAGUUUAUUUCAGUGUGCUGUCUGUUUUGUACCUAGAAGAAAUAAAUAAGGGAAAAGAAAGAAAUUGGAGGGAUACAAAUAAAUAAAAUUUGGCAAGUAAUCUACUGUUCAAUCAAAAGGAUUUGGAGGUUGACGCAUCUGAUGAGAUAUUUUUUUCUUCCCAUUUCAAUCUCAGUUGGACUAAUUACUAAACUGACUAAUUACUUCCUCCAACUGAAAUCUAAAUCCACAUUCCACGCCCUCGACGGGAGCAAACGAGAUCGUAUUCUCAAUACGCUAAGCAUCGAGCUACGCUGCAAAUUCCGUCUAGUUCAAUUUCUUCACGGGCCUACACAAGUUUUUGCCGUAUGCUAUAAAUCCACAUCCUACACCCUUGAUGGGAGCAGAUGAGAUCGUAGUCUUCUCAAUACACUAAAAAUGCAUCGAGCUAGCGCUGCAAAAUCCGUCCAGUUCAAUUUCAUGGAUAACCCAAAGUUGCAAAAACUUCCUGUCAUCAAUUUCAUGGUAAAGGUUUUCAUGUGAAUUUAUACUACUUGAAAGAUCGAUAGUGUUAGUAAUUGAACCAAAUUAGCCUGCAUGUAUUAUGUAUUAAACGUGCAAAGUGUUUAAAGUAAAAUUUCACCUCAUGGAAAGUGUCUUUGUAAAUUUAAGAGUCUACUUGUCAUACGGUGGGAGCAAUUCUAACAUCAUUGUUAAGUUGCAAAUUGACUUUAUUUGGCUCACAACAUUUUUUACCUAUCAUUUGAGUAACUUAUUUAGAAGUAUUUGCUUAGAGAGAUUUUUUGGGUUAAUUAUUGCUCCAACUGAAAAAUAUUUUUAGCUCAUUGUGUAAAACAAGGUGAAUAUUUUUGGGUUGGGAGCAAAAUUAAAUAAAUUGAAGAAACAUUAAAAAUGCAAGGUGAAAAACCGUUCUUAUUAUAAUAAACAAAACAGUUGCACACCACAAGAAAGAGGGAAAAUAAAACAAGAUUAAGUAUGCGAUCGCAUGUGACGUGAACAUGUAUAUCAAUGACCUCAUUGUAGUAACGGCAAUUGUUCUCUAGUUGAAGAACUUUUAUAUUUGUUUUCUAAAAUAAUUUUGAUAUAGUUAUUCUUUUUGUCCUCUAUAUGUUUUAAUUAAUCGAUAUAUUUUGUCCUCUAGAAAGCGUCCUUAUUUUUUAAAACAAAAAUCAAGAUAAUCAAGCUUUUUUUUUUUUUGCAGGCAUGGAGCAACAGCAGAAUACAACCUUGUUUUCAUCGAGUUUUAACGAACGCGAAUGCAAAAUGAUUGUCAUUGGUGAUGUUCUCUUUCAAUAGUGGGGUCUUACACAUCCCUCAGGAGUUGAUUGAUGAUGAACAUCCACAGCGCUUUGAGUCAUUUGAUGGCCUGGGAUUGCUCGAUUUCUUUGUCGAAGAACUGCGAAUGGGCCUGCCAACCAUAGUUAUUAAACCCGGCCCGAGAAGAAAUCCGGUGAAAGAGGUGGAUCAACAGAUUACUGGUUUAAUCAGUGGGUGAGUGGUUCAACAGGUGAGUCACUAAAUAUACUUAAAUAUUAUGUCUUAUAAAUUUUUAUAUGAUUGAAAUUAUAAUAAACUGUGCCUUAGUAAAUGUUUAAUUAGUCUAAUUUAUUAUAGAAUCAUUAAUGCUUAUAAGAAUCAACAAAACUUAAUUUUGCCUUAUGGGAAUUUCAUUAUUUUUAACAAACUUUUGGUUUUAACUUAUGGAAAUAAACUAGAUAAUGUUAUUUUAUUAAAAUUUGCCUUAUGGAAUUUGGGAAAUAAAUAAAAUUUUAUUAAAAGAUUCCAAAUAAAUUUUAUUUUGAAGAAAUAAAAGAAGAAUAAAAGCGUAAUAUAUAAUAUAAGAAGGACCAAACUAAUAAGUGGAUUGUUGGUCUAGUGGUGAUUACACUAUAUUCUUAUACUUGAGGUCCCAAGUUCGAACCAUCAAUGCAACAUUUUCUAAAAAAAAUUUCGCAUAGUAACCCGGGUUCCUCAGAAAAAUCGACUGGUUCACUGGGUUGAUCGGUUCAUCAAAAUGAUCUAAUUAACGGGUUCAUCAAAAUGGGUUCAGCGAUUUGUCAAAAAGUCAAUGGUUCUACUGUCGAGACGAUCUAAUUAGCAACCCGGCCCGGUUCUAUGACCAGUUCACCGGGUUGAUCGGUUGAACCGUCGGGCCGGGCUGAGUUUAAUAACUAUGCUGCCAACUGAUUCUACCACCAAGAAAUAUUGUAGUCUUUGACUUUUGAAAUCUUUCUCAAAAUCUCACACACACACAUAUACACACACUAGUGAGAUGGCCUGUGCAAUGCGCAGGGGAUUAAUAUUUCCCAUGUUAACUGUGUUUUAUUGUAUGGAUUUAUUAGUAUAAAUCUCUAUUAUUAUCUAAUUUAUGUAGAUCAUUAGGGAAUUGUUGUUUUUGUUAAAGGUUAACAAUUAUGAAAUAUAUAGAAUGUAUGAGAGCGCUUAUAUAGAAUGCAUAAGAGCAAUGUUAUUUUCCAUUUGGAUUAAGAUAAUUAGAAAUUUAUACAGUAAAUGAUUCCCAAAAGAGUAUUAAUCAUCGUUGACACAAAAAAGAAGGGACCUGCAAGUCAAUUAAGCACUUAAACCAUAGAACUUGACAUUACUAAAAAUUAAUCACCACUAAUUAAGCACGUAACCAAACAAACCCAAAUUAAACGACGUGUCAAUUUGAUCAAAGCAAUCAACUUUCUGAUCCCAAUCUUUGACAGUUUAUUUUCACAUUCAAAUGACAAAAAAAAAACUCCAUUAUAAAAUAAGUGAAAUUAAAUUACUCUAAACUGAAAAAAAGCCAUUAUUAAUUAGCUGAAAAUUAAGAAAGUGACCAACCCUACUCAGCUACUCAUAUGCAUAAUAGGAAAAGUAAACUUUAUUUUGUUUACAUACAAAUAUUCUAGAAAUUUAAAAUAGAAAAUGAGGCAGUAUUACUGUAAAGGGAAAAAAGUCCCAAUGGCCCUCCAACUUUUGGCCGCGUAAAAUUUUAGCCUUUUAACAGUUAUAAGAAAAUUUUUGGCCCUCGAUCUAGUAGAAGUACAAAUUCUUGACCCUUCUGUCAAUUUCAGUAGUUAUGAGUGACGGAGAACAUCGUCAUGUGUGACGCACGAGAAAAUAACAAGGGCAUUCUUGUCCAAGCGAGAGUAUUAAUCGAGUAAAAAUUUACUUGCUUCUUCUCCUAUCCACCUUCAAUCCCUAGGGAUUUGGGAAAUGCUAUCCUUGCAUAAUUCGAUUUGGGACUUUUCAAUUCAAGAAUAGUACAAAACAGACAAAUUCCUAUCGGCACGAGAAAGAGAUCAUAGUAAUGGUUUUCUAUCCCACUGAGGUACCUUGUUCUAACAUAAAAGAACAAAAAUUCUUUGCCUAAAGCAAAAAGAAACAGCACAUUGAGGAUAGCUGAAGGAAAUUGAAACAAACUCUUGACAUGCAUAAUAGGAUUGCUCUUGAUAACCUGGGAUUGCUCGAUUUCUUUCUCGAAGAUGUUGGAAACUUUUCAAAAUUUGUAUGAUGUACAUACAUGUAAUUAAUGUAUAUUCAUUAAUUUUUGGUACAUGUAUAGUAUUGUGAAUGAUUCUAAAAUGUACAUUCAUUUAUGAAUGUAUUCAUGUAUAUGUGAAUUAUUGAAUGAAAGGAUAGAUUCAUGUUUGAUCUAAUGAUCAUGAGAUGCAUGAAUUAAAGUGCAUGAAUGUGUACACAAUACUUUGAAUCUAUUCAUACACAAUACUUUGAAUCUAUUCAUACAAGUGUUUAAUGAGGUCUUUUGUUUCCCAAACAAAUCUUCCUAUAUAAAGAGGUCAAGUAGAGAGUGGUUUGCUGCAGAAAAUCACUUUCCUACUAUCCUUACUCUCUCAAAAGCACUCCUUAGUUCACAAAGGGUUUGUCUUGCUUUGUGCAAGAGUUUAAGACAAACAAAACUUCAUCUUAUCCUAAAGGAUAUUUGUCCAAGGUUAUUGCACUUUAUAUCGGACAAAUAAAGCCUAAAGGAAAGUGAUUUCUAUCACGAUUUGAAGCCAAUUCUAGUCACAAUAUUUGCCAAUUCUUUGCUUUCUACCCAACAAUCUUUAGGCUUUAUUUGUACUCUACAAUGGCUGGUACCUUGAAAGAUUUGGCAUCCAAUAUUGUCAAGCUCGAGAGGUUUGAUGGAGGGAAUUUCAUUCGUUGGCAAAAACGUGUUCGUUUCCUUCUCACUGCACUCAAAGUGGUCUAUGUUUUGACCACACCAAAACCAUUGAUCAAUCCCGAUGAAGAAACUCUUGAAGACAUCCGAAACCGUCAGAAAUGGGAGAACGACGAUGAAAUAUGCCGUGGUCACAUCCUCAAUACCAUGAGUGACAACCUGUUCGAUGUCUACCAUUCAAUUGCUACCGCCAAGGAACUUUGGGAUCGAUUGGAGUCCAAGUAUAUGCAAGAAGAUGCUACAAGUAAGAAGUUUCUUGUCUCGUCUUUUAAUAAUUAUAAAAUGGUAGAUAAUAAGUCUGUUAUGGAGCAAUUUAGUGAGAUUGAAAGGCUUAUUAAUCACUUCACACAACACAAUCUACACAUGGAUGAAGCCAUUAUUGUUUGCUCUAUAAUAGAUAAGUUACCACCUUCUUGGAAAGAUUUCAAAAGAGAUCUCAAACAUAAGAAAGAGGAUAUCUCUCUUGAGAUUCUUGCUAAAUCUCUUCGAGUAGAAGAGGAAAUUCGCAUGCAAGAAAAGAAGGAUAGUCAAAUCCUUGAAGAGAAUAAAGAUUCUACUUCAAAAGUGCAUGUGAUUGAAGAGAGACAAACUGAAAAGUCUCAAGGAAGCAAGAAGGGCCAACAACCCAAGAAUCAAUCCAAGAAAAGAAAGAAGGGACAAUGCUUCUAUUGCAAGAAAGAGGGACACUACAAGUCCGAGUGCAAGAUUCUUCAAAACAAGAAGAAGAAGCAAGAGUCUUCCCAAAACACAAGCAAAAAUCUUGUAGCAAUGAUAUCUGAAAUCAAUAUGAUUGAAGAUGAUUUUGCUUGGUGGGUUGAUUCUGGAGCUACGCGACACGUGUGCAACAAUAGAACGUUCUUCAAGUCCAUGAAACCGGUGGAUGAAAGCACCGUUGUUUACAUGGGAAAUUCUGCUACAAUUCCGGUUCAAGGCAUUGGAGAAGUAGAAUUAAAAUUUACUUCCAAAAAUGUUGUAACCUUGACAAAUGUGUUUUAUGUACCGGAAGUUAGGAAGAACUUGGUGUCAGCUGGGCUGUUAAAUAAAUUUGGCUUUAGACUUGUGUUUGAGUCUGACAAAUUUAUUUUGUCUAAAGGUGGUAUGUUUGUAGGCAAGGGUUAUCUUUGCAAUGGGAUGUUUAAGUUGAAUGUACUUGCUAUUAGAAAUAAUAAGAGUGAUAUUAUUUCUGCGUAUUUGGUUGAGUCUUCUUUUGAAUUGUGGCAUAAUAGGAUUGGUCAUGUUAAUUACAAAAGAAUGCAUGAAAUGAUGAGACUUGAUUUGCUGCCAUAUUGUGAUAAGAUUGAAGGAAAAUGCAAUACAUGCAUGCUAACGAAAAUCACAAGAAAUUCGUUUCCUAAAGUUGAAAGAUCAUCUAAAAUCUUGGAUCUCAUUCAUAGUGAUGUAUGUGAUUUGCAUGGAACUCCUACUUUGGGUGGUAAAAAGUACUUUGUGACUUUUAUUGAUGAUUAUAGUAGAUACUGUCAUGUUUUCUUGUUACACUCAAAAGGUGAAGCUUUGCAAAAAUUUAAGGCAUACAAAUCAGAAGUUGAACUUCAUUGUGAAUCCUUUAUCAAAUGUCUAAGGACAGAUAGAGGUGGGGAAUAUUAUGAUAUUACCUAUUUUGAGUCUGUUAGGAUAAAACAUGAGGUGACUGCUCCUUACACACCACAACAAAAUGGUGUAGCCGAAAGGAAAAAUCGUGUAUUGACAGAAAUGGUUAAUGCACUUUUGUCAAAAUCUGAUUUAAGUCAAGGAUUUUGGGGUGAAGCCUUGUUAACGGCUUGUCAUAUCCUAAAUAGAGUUCCUAAUAAAAGGAGUUCUAUAACCCCUUAUGAAUUUUGGAAUAAAAGGAAGCCCAACCUAAACUAUUUGAAAGUUUGGGGUUGUAGAGCUGUUGUAAAACUCCCAGAAUCUCAAAAAAGGAAAUUGGGAGAAAGAGGUGUGAAGUGUAUAUUCUUAGGAUAUGCACAAAAUAGCAAAGCAUAUAGAUUCAUGGUAAUUGAAUCUAAUGAUUCAAUUUCGGUUAAUACCAUAAUUGAGUCUAGAGAUGCUAUUUUUGAAGAGAAUAGGUUCACCUCUAUAAAAGAUGUUAUUCCAAAAUCAAGUGAAUUGACAAAAGAUGGUGUAUAUGAAACCAUUGAAUUGAGAAGGAGCAAAAGAGCUAGAAAGUCAAAAGACUUCGGUUCGGACUUUUAUAUGUAUCUAGUUGAAGGAACUAGAGAUACAGUGAGCAACCAAAUCUCAUAUUGCUUCAAUAUUGGGGCUGAUCCCAAGACCUAUGAAGAAGCAAUGAACUCACAAGAUGCUCCCUUUUGGAAGGAAGCUAUUAAUGAUGAGAUGGACUCAAUCAUGGGUAAUAAAACCUGGAAAUUAGUAGACUUACCACCUGGUUCAAAACCAAUUGGUUGUAAGUGGAUCUUCAAGAAGAAAAUGAAGAUCGACGGAACUAUUGAUAAGUUCAAGGCCAGGUUGGUUGCCAAAGGGUUCACACAAAAGUAUGGUGUGGACUAUUUUGACACAUAUUCACCAGUAGCUAGAAUUGCUACAAUUAGAGUGCUACUUGCUAUAGCUUCUAUCCAAAAUCUAGUCAUUCACCAAAUGGAUGUUAAAACAGUAUUCUUGAAUGGUGAUUUGGAUGAAAAAGUAUAUAUGGAGCAACCCGAAGGGUUUGUGAUACCUGGUCAAGAGCAUAAGGUGUGUAAACUUGUCAAGUCUUUAUAUGGACUAAAACAAGCACCGAAACAAUGGCAUCAGAAAUUUGAUCAAGUUAUUCUUGCUAGUGGGUUCAAAAUAAAUGAAUCUGAUAAAUGUAUUUAUAGCAAGUUUGAUGAUGGCAAAGGUGUCAUAAUUUGUUUAUAUGUUGAUGACAUGUUGAUUUUUGGGACUGACUUGGAACAAGUUGAAGUCACAAAAACUUUGCUUUCAAGCAAAUUUGACAUGAAAGACAUGGGUGAGGCAGAUGUUAUUCUUGGUAUGAGAAUCUUCAAACAUGAUAACAAUAUAAUGUUGUCUCAAACACAUUAUAUUGAAAAGAUUCUUAACAAAUUCAAUCAAAGUGAUUGUAUUCCAGUCUCAACACCAUUGGAUCCCAAAAUAAAUUUUGUGAAAAAUGAGGGGGAUCCAAAAUCUCAAAUGGAAUAUGCCAAGAUUAUAGGGUGUUUAAUGUAUGCAAUGACUUGUACUAGACCUGAUAUUGCAUAUGCAGUUGGUAUAUUGAGCAGAUAUACAAGCAACCCUAGUAGGUUACAUUGGCAAGGUGUAACCAGAAUUUUAAAGUAUUUAAAGGCCACUAAGAACUAUGGUAUAUGUUAUACCGGUUAUCCUUCAGUUCUAGAAGGAUUUUCAGAUGCUAGUUGGAUCACCAAUAAAGAUGAUCACUCGUCGACAAGUGGUUGGAUCUUUAUGCUUGGUGGAGGUGCAAUUUCUUGGGGUUCUAAGAAACAGACUUGUAUCACCGAUUCAACAAUGGCAGCAGAGUUUGUAGCACUUGCUUCGGCCUGUAAAGAAGCUGAAUGGCUACGUAAUUUACUUUGUGAUAUACCAUUGUGGCCAACACCUUUGUCGCCUAUCUCAAUUCAUUGUGAUAGUGCAGCUACACUUGCUAAAGCUUAUAGUCAAGUGUAUAAUGGUAAAUCAAGACAUAUCGGUUUGAGACAUAGUUAUGUCAAAGAUUUGAUUACAAAUGGAGUCAUAUCAAUUGACUUUGUGAGAUCAAAUGAAAAUUUGAGUGAUCCUUUGACAAAAGGGUUAUCAAGAAAUUUGGUGUCAAAUACAUCAAGGGGGAUGGGUUUAAAGUCCAAAAUUCUUGAUCACUAAUGGUGGAACCUCAAUUCAACGCUAGAUACAACGUCUAGUCUUGAAUUCAAUGAGUGAAAGUACACCAUUCUAGUGGUUGGUGCACUAUGUGAAGUUUAGACAUCCCAAUGUUGAAUAGUGCAUGUUAUUCUCGCCAGUGCAAAUGUAAGGAUGAGUCAUUGGACUCUUAACGAAUCUUAAAAGUGCUAUCUAUGGUGGGGGCACUAAGAUGUCGCCUAUAUGAAUGUUGGUUUUCGGCAAACCACAAAGUUAAGGACUUUACUUUGUAAACAUUCAUGAAAGGAUAGUGAUACAAGGCCGUAAAAUGUAUCAUUGAAGAACUUAUGGUUGUGCGUUGCUCAGUGUGUGAUGUGUUUAUGAGGUUGGUCCAAUGUCCAAGUGGUUCAAAGCUUGUCUACCAUCUUGAAGGAUUGAUUUCAAAGAACCUUCACUAAGAUAGUGGUUCAAUCGAAAGACACCAUUAUUUAUGCAUAUGAGUGUCAGAUUACUUGGUGACCUUUUAGAAAUCCAUUUUCUAAUUUUGAAAAUGGCGGGGGAUUGUUGGAAACUUUUCAAAAUUUGUAUGAUGUACAUACAUGUAAUUAAUGUAUAUUCAUUAAUUUUUGGUACAUGUAUAGUAUUGUGAAUGAUUCUAAAAUGUACAUUCAUUUAUGAAUGUAUUCAUGUAUAUGUGAAUUAUUGAAUGAAAGGAUAGAUUCAUGUUUGAUCUAAUGAUCAUGAGAUGCAUGAAUUAAAGUGCAUGAAUGUGUACACAAUACUUUGAAUCUAUUCAUACACAAUACUUUGAAUCUAUUCAUACAAGUGUUUAAUGAGGUCUUUUGUUUCCCAAACAAAUCUUCCUAUAUAAAGAGGUCAAGUAGAGAGUGGUUUGCUGCAGAAAAUCACUUUCCUACUAUCCUUACUCUCUCAAAAGCACUCCUUAGUUCACAAAGGGUUUGUCUUGCUUUGUGCAAGAGUUUAAGACAAACAAAACUUCAUCUUAUCCUAAAGGAUAUUUGUCCAAGGUUAUUGCACUUUAUAUCGGACAAAUAAAGCCUAAAGGAAAGUGAUUUCUAUCACGAUUUGAAGCCAAUUCUAGUCACAAUAUUUGCCAAUUCUUUGCUUUCUACCCAACAAUAGAAAUGCGAAUGGGCCUGCCAACUGAUUCUACCACCAAGAAAUAUUGUGGUCUUUGACUUUUGAAAUCUUUCUCAAAAUCUCUCACACACACACACAUAUACACACACUAGUGAGUUGGCCGCAUAUCGAUCAAGCUGGCAAGCAUCAGCACUAGCUAGUCAUAGAGUCUCUGAAAUUCUCUCAAAGUGCUUAACUACAAAUCCAUUUCAGAAGGUGUUUGACUUUUAAAAGACAACAUAGAAGACUCUGACCAUUCGCUUCUCACAUAGCACUGAAAUGAUUUGCUUAAACAUCAUCCAAAAUUCCUUUCUUUUAAAACCUAUUUUCUUUUGAAAGCUAUAUCUGUUUGGAUUGCUAUUUUUAGAUUUUUUUUAUAAAAAAAAUAUAUUAUAGUGAUUUGAUGUAUGUGAAAUAAAAAAGUGAUUGAAAAUUUUAUUUACGAAAAAUAAAAAAUAUAAAAAUUGUCUGAUAGAAAUCCCAAUCCAAACAAGGCCACGAAAGAAAAGUACAAGUAGCAAAAUUUUUACCUAACAUCUAUUUAACUGUUCAAAUUAUCUGUAGCCAGUACGUCUAAAAAAAUGCAGCACAUUUACACAUGAUAUGAGCAAGCUAAGAUAUCAUUUCUAGUUUGCCAUUAUUGUUACAAGCUAACCAGAAAAAAUCUUUUGAAAGGAGAGUAGCUCAACCAAGUGUAGAUGCAACAAACUUAACAAGAGUACAAGCGAUAGGAUUGCUAUUCUUAAAGGAACAAAUUAUCCGGAUGGCCACUAAACUUAUACAAUCAUCGAGUUUUGAUCACUAAACUAUUAAAAGUCUGAUUUUGCCUACUGAAAUGUAUAAAGUUAAGAUUCAAAGUCAUUCUAUUAGAUUUAGUCGUUAAGUUCAAGAGGGAACGUUAUUCAAGGGACAAUUUAGGAAGUUCAUCAGCAAGAACAACUUCGGAGACAAAUCCAUUGUUCCCCCUACCAAGCUCAUUGAACUCCUUGAAACCAUUGGUGGCAUCCUUCAGUUCUGAAAGCCGAAACACUUGGGCAAUCCCAGGACAUUGGACCACACACGAAGGAGGAUUUGGAUCACCAUUGGACCACACCCAAUGGCUACUUUGUCAACCGAACCUGAACUUCCAAACGACACCGUUUUGGUGGCAAAUUCUCCCAUAGUACUAGAGUUAUCUCCCUACAACGCUUCAUACGUACACAGGUCAGCGUUGCAAUUUUGGUUUGUGCCCAGGGAAGUACUCUUGCGAUGCACAGGAUAAAGGACUAUAAGAUGAAGACUCAGAUGGGUCAAAGAUCAGGUCGGAUUGGUUAAAGCAUGCAUCGCAGGGCUGGCAUUGGAGCUAGUUGAUUGGCUACCCGUAUCUGAUACCAGGUAGAAUUCUUUCACGGGUUGGCCCACUCCGAUCCGAGGUAAGUACUUUCCCUCAGAAUCAGUCAGUGGAGUUUCCAGGUCCUCAGAUUUGGAUCACCAUUGGACCACAAAUCUUAAGAUCUUUUCGAACACACAAGUUGGUCAGAUCUGGCUCAUUGAGAAUGCUGGUGUUGAAGGCCAAUUUUCCUUCACCACAAGUAGCAAGGCUACAUAAUCCGGGACUGCAUAACUGCAAUGGAGGAUCAUAAUCUAAAGGUGAAGGACCAUUUACGAACCAACAAUCAAGUACUAGAUCAGCCUCCCUGAUGCCACAGGUAACAAAAUCUGUGGAAGCAAAGGCAAGAAAACCAGAACUCUUUGGAACCAAAGACGAAUUAAAGUUCCCCCAACUUUCAACUCCCUGAUCAUCUUCUCGAAUCCCACAAAAAUGUUUUUCUCCAGCUACCACCGAAACGAAGUGAAUCUAGUAGAAUGCCAAAAGAAUCAUUAUUACUCAACAAAUGUCUCCCUGAUUUGCCCCUUUCUUUUGUCUUGGGAAUCGCAUGGGCACUCAGAUCUGGCGUAUUUAAUGACUAAACCUAAUAGAAUGACCUUAGGUCUUAACUUUACAUAUUUCAAUAGUCAAAACCAAACUUUUAAUAGUUCAGUGACCAAAAUUCGACGAUUGCAAAAGUUUAGUGACCAUUUGAAUAAUUUGCUCUUCUUAAUAUCUGUUAGGUUUGGCCCCACGAAAUUGACGAAGGGAUUUUUGGCAACCCUAAAAGACAAAUAAUAAAGUAGAAAUAAGUAAAACAGGAACACAAGAAUUUACGUGGUUCGGUCAAAUUGACCUACGUCCACGGGCGAAAGAGGAGCAAUAUUUUACUAUGAAGAAAUGAAUACAAAAGAUGCCUUAGGAAAGUGUUCUUACGUCUAAAAUACCUAAUACUAAAAACACAAGAGAGCCCAAAAAUAUUUAACUAAACAAAAGGCUUAAUGACCCAAAAGUCCAAAUAGCCCACUAAUGCUCUCUUGGUUUUGGUGGACUUAACCCCAUCAUAGGCCCACUAUAUUUAUAGGCAAUUAAGGGAAAGGUUCCCUUAUACAAACGCCGAUGUGGGACAAAGCCACAUUAACAAAUCUCCACCUUGGCGUGCCCCCAACAUCAACAAUAGCAAAAUUGCUCCACCUUCUCCACAUAAACCCCAAUGGAUCUAAAUCACCAACAAUGAAUACCAACCCAAUUCAAGAGGUUUUGUGAACAUGUCAGUAGGAUUCUCCUUGGUACUAAUUUUCUGAACAAGGACUUUUCCCUCAGCAAUAGUAUCUCGAAUGAAAUGAAAUUUCACAUCAAUGUGCUUCGUCCUCUCAUGAUACAUCUGGUUUUUACUCAAAUGAAUGACACUUUGACUAUCACAGUAAAUAGUAGUAACACCUUGAUACAAACUAAGUUCGCCAAAUAGACUCUUCAAUCACAAGGCAUCUUUGAUUGCCACAGUCAUGGCCAUAUAUUUUGCCUUCGUAGUAGAUAAAGUUACGACGGGUUGUAAAAUAGCUUUCCAACUAACUGCACAACCGCCAAUGCAAAAUACGUAACUUGAAAGUGAUCUUCUCCUGUCACGACCCCCAGCAUAGUCAGAGUCUACAAAACCAACCAAAGUAUCAUUAUUUCUUCCAAACUCCAAACUACAAUUUGAAGUCCCUCGCAAGUAUCUGAAAAUCCACUUCACAGCCUGCCAAUGUGUUUUUCCGGGACACGACAUAUAUUUGCUAACCACACUGACUGCUUGUGCAAUAUCUGGAAGAGUACAAACCAUUGUGCAAUAUCUGAGAAUCCACUUCACAGCCUGCCAAUGUGUUUUUCCGAAAUACGACAUAUAUCUGCUAACCACACUGACUGCUUGUGCAAUAUCUGAACGGGUAUAAACCAUUGCAUACAUAAUGCUGCCAACUGCGUUGGAAUGAGGAAUCCAUGCCAUAUACUCUUCCUUUUCAACUGACUGUAGUGACUGAGCAGCAGAUAGUCGAACAUGACUAGUAAGAGGAGUAGUCACAGGUUUAGUAUCUUUCAUGCCAAACUUCUCCAAGACCUUUUCAAGAUAAUUUUCUUGAGUCAAGAAUAAUUUUCUAGCUCCUCGGUCUCUUUUGAUCUCCAUGCCAAGAAUUUUUUUAGCUGCUCUCAAAUGUUUCAUAUCAAAUUUACUACUUAACUGCAACUUCAAAGUGUGAAUUUCUGACAAAUUCUUGGCAGUAAUGAGCAUGUCAUCAACAUAAAUCAGCAAAUAAAUAAAAGAACCAUCAUCUAACUUCCGGAAGUAAACACAACUAUCAUACAUGCUCCUUGAUUAAUCAUGACUCAACAUAAAAGUGUCAAACCUCUUAUACCACUGUUUUAGAGACUGUUUCAAUCCAUAUAAGGGUUUCUUUAAUAAACAAACAUGGUUUUCUUUUCCUUCAACUUCAAAUCCCUGAGGUUGCUUAUAAAUUUUUUCUUCAAAUUCACCAUGUAAGAAAGUUGUCUUAACAUCAAGCUGCUCCAACUCCAAAUCAUAUAUGGCAACUAAAGCAAGCAAAACAUGAAUAGAGCUAUGCUUACAACAGGUGAAAAUACUUCAUUAAAAUCAACACCUUGUACCUGACUAUAGCCCUUUGCAACCAAACGUGCUUUGUACCUUGUAUUCUCAACCUCUGGAAUACCUUUUUUCUUCUUGAAAACCCAUUUGCAUCCAACAAUUUUCUUAUCUGGAGGCGGCUUCACAAGAACCCAAGUUCCAUUUUGAUGAAGAGACUCAAUUUCUUCAUUCAUCGCAACCAACCACUUAGUAGAAUUAUCACAAGCAAUCGCAUCUGAAUAAGUAGUAGGCUCAUCAACUACAUCAAUUUCUUCUGCGAUAGACAAAGCAUAUGCAACCAAGUUUGCAUAUCUUUGUGGUCGUUGAAUAUCCCUCCUUGGUCUAUCUAUGGCAAUGGAAUAUUCUUUUUCUUCUGAAUUAUUUUCAUCAGUAGAUUCAGAUGCAUCUAGUGGCACUUGUUGAAUAGAAGGACCAGAACUUCCAAUCUCAAGCUCUACCUGCUUCUGCAUAUUUUUAUCUGCUUGACAAGAACUAGACGACUCCUUCUUGGAAGAUAACAUAGAGAAUUCAUUAAAAUUAACAUAUCUACUGAUUAUAAAUUUUGAAAAUUUUGGAUUAGAACACCAUAAUUUGUAUCCUUUCACCCAAAAGCAUACCCAAGGAAAAUACACUUUUUAACUCGAGGUUCUAAUUUUCCAUCAUUUACAUGCAUGUAUGCUGGACACCCAAAAAUUUUAAAAUCAGAAUAAUCAGCAGGAAUACCUGACCAAACUUCCUCAGGAGUUUUGAAAUUAAGAGCAGCAGAAGGAGCACGGUUGACAAUAUAAUAGGCCAUAGAAAUUGCCUCAACCCAAAAAUCCUUUGCCAACCCUACGUUAGAGAUCAUGCACCUCGCUCUCUCCAAAAGUGUUCUGUUCAUACGUUCGGUUACACCAUUUUGCUAAGGCGUCAUCCUGAUAGUGUGAUGCCUAACAAUUCUUUCAUUCUUGCAAAAUUCAUCAAAUUCUCUUUCACAAAAUUUCAUGCCAUUAUCUGUUCUAAGCCGCUUGAUCUGUUUACCUGUCUGUUUCUCAAUCAAAACUUUCCAUUGCUUGAAAGUGAGGUAAACGUUAUUCUUAUGUUUAAGAAAAUAACCCAAACUUUUUUUGAAUAAUCAUCAAUGAAAGUCAACAUAUAUCUGGCACCACCCUUAGACGGAAUACGAGAUGGACCCCAUAAAUCUGAAUAAAUAUAAUCAAGAGUACCUUUCGUCUUAUGGAUUGCUUGAGAACUGAAGCUAACUCUUUUUUGCUUUCCAAAGAUACAAUAUUCACAGAAUUCCAGUGACCCAGUACUCUGACCGCAAAGAAGUCCCCUUUUGCUUAAUAUGCCCAGGCUUUUCUCGCUCAUCUGUCCCAAAUGCAUAUGCCACAAUUUGGUGAUGUCAGAAUCAGACAAAGAUGAUGAUGACGAAACUGCAACCGAGCCUGUGACAGUAGAUCCCUGCAAAACAUAUAAACUACCAACCCUGCAAGCUUUCAUUACAACGAGAACACCUUUAGAAACCUUCAUAACGCCAUUUUCAGCUAUAUAUUUGCACCCAAGAGUCUCUAAGGUGCCCAAAGAGAUGAGUUUCUUUUUCAAAUCAGGAACAUGUCUAACAUUAGUGAGCGUCCUCGCAAUACCAUCAUGCAUUUUAAUUCGAAUUGUACCCUUACCAACAACAUUACAAGCGGCAUUAUUACCCAUCAAAACAAUUCCACCAUUGUAAGAUUCAUAAGUGGAAAAUAAAUCCUUAUUGGGACACGUGUGAUAAGAGCACCACGAAUCUAAAAUCCAUUCAUUUUUAGACCUUGUCCUGUCAUCAGUUACAAAGAAAAUACUUCCUUCAUUCUCAUCAGCUGCAACACCAGCUUCGGCAGUCUCAAAAUUUGUCUCACCAGGUUUCCCCUUUUGUUUCAAUUUAUUUUUCAAUUUGAAACAAUCUGCCUUAAUGUGCCCCAUUUUAUAAUAAUAAUUGCACUCCACAUUUCUAUGUCUGGAUUUAGAUCUAGAUUAUCUACUUUUAUCAAAUUCUCUUCUCUCAGUUCUGCCCGUAACAACCAAACCUUCUACAUGGCCUCCACUAAAUUCCUCAGUAAUAUCCCUGUCUAUCUGCUCCUUAGAUUUUAAUGCAGAUUUAAUUUCCUAAUACGAAAUUGUUUCUUUUCCAUAAAUCAUAGUAUCGCGAAAAUGUUUAAAAGAUUGGGGAAGGGAACAUAAAAGUAACAAGGCCUUAUCCUCAUCAUCAAUUUUUGAAUCUAUAUUUCCCAAAUCCAUAAUAAUGGAAUCAAAUUUAUCAAGAUGUGAGAGUAUAGAUGUACCUUCAGUCAUGCGAAACAUAUACAAACUUUGUUUUAAAUAAAGCCGAUUCUCAACUGUCUUCUUCAUGUACAAGACUUUAAGUUUGUCUCACAUAGCCUUUGCCGAAGUCUCAGUGGCUACCUCCCGCAAAACCUCGUUAGAGAGAUUUAAGAGAAUACUGGAUCUUGCCUUUUUAUCCAUCUCAGUAAAAUUUGCUUCUAUCACACUCUCUGACUUUUUCUCAAUUCCGUGUAUCGCUAGAUCAACUCCGUCUUGAACCAAAAUGGCCUCCAUCUUAAGAUGUCACAUCUCGAAGUUGACAUUCCUGUCGAAUUUCUCGAUGACAGUCUUUGUUAUUGUCAUUGUUGCCACAAAAUCUAAAGCCUCCGAAGAAGCUCUGAUACCAGUUUGUUAGGUCUGGCCCCAAGAAAUUGACGAAAAGAUUUUUGGCAACCCCAAAAGACAAAUAACAAAACAGAAAUAAGUAAAACAGGAACACAAGAAUUUACGUGGUUCGGUCAAAUUGACCUACGUUCACAGGUGAAGGAGGAGCAAUAUUUUACUAUGAAAAAGAGAGUAUAAAAGAUGCCUUAAGAAAGUGUUCCUAGCCCUAAAACACCUAAUACUAAAAACACAAGAGAGUCCAAAAACAUUUAACUAAACAAAAGGCUUAAUGACCCAAAGGCCCAAAUAGCCCACUAAUGCUCUCUUGGUUUUGGUGCACUUAACACCAUCACAGGCCCACUGUAUUUAUAGGCAACUAAGGGAAAGGUUCCCUUAUACAAAAGCGAUGUGGGACAACGCCACAUUAACAAAAUCCUUGCCUUGUGUGCUUAAAACUACUAAUCAUUAUGCAUUCUAUUACCUUCAAAGGAAUUAAAUCAUAGAGUGGUAAUUCCGUUAACCAACCUAGCAAAUAUCUCCAUCCACAAGUUCACCAGAGGCGAUUCUUCGCUAGUAUUCUACAAGGGGCCCUGCUCCAUCUAUUUCUGCAGUUAAACCAAAAUAAUCCAAUAAACAACAAAAACUAAAACUUCAUGUCCAUUAAAAAUGCCACUAGAAGAAUUGCGAACCAUAAAUCACCAAUAAGGUAUCAACCUCCAUUAGCUACUCUUGCAGCAUCAGCAUGCAAACCUCUGGAGAACAGGUAAGAUGGAUGGUAACAUCUGCAAAUAUCUGCAUAUCGGUGUAGACUUUAGGUUGCCUUUCACUCGUAUUGACCCAAAAAUAGCGGGUUUGUUUGGAUUGUGAAUUAUUAGAGAUUUUUUUACUGUAGCACUUUUUGUGAUGUGAUGUAUGUGAAAUAAAAAGGUAAUUGGGAAGAUAAAAAGGUGUGUUGGAAAUUGUAAUGAUGAUGUAAGCAAAUAUAUUUUGACAAAUAAACAGCAAUCCAAACAAACCCGCUGUCUUUUUGGAAAUCCGAUAGAGACAGUAUCUGCUCUGUACCGAGAGACUGAUUUGAAUUGCUUGAUGGACCUAAGAACUGCUCUCAUCUCCAAAUCAGAACUCAAGUAAAGCAAAAAAGGGAUAGCUGCCAAUCCAGUUUUGCCAAGGAAAGAGUAAAAAACCCUGAAUUUCGCAUCAGAGCUGAAUCAAGUUGCUUUGAGAGAAAUGAUACGUUGCAAUCAGAAUAUUCCUAUUUUAAAGGAUCAUAAAAAGACAGACUUUUGACUGUAGCAUCUACUUUACUCAAUAAAAAAAUAGCAUUUCCCUACCAUGAAGUUUGAUAACAUUAAUCCAUCAAGUAACACUACCAUUGUGCAAAAACCAUCGACUUCAGUCAUUAACCAUUCAUAAUGGGCACAAAGAAAUCUCAGAUUCUUCAGACAAUAAAACAGAAAGAAUAUUGAAAGCAUCAACAAUCUCAUCGUUCCUAUUAACAUAUUACAUCUAAUAUCAAAUUAGAGGCUGAAAAAGACAAGAAUCACGUCUUUUGCAUACAAUCCUCCCUGGUCAAAAAGAUUGAAGAGAUUAAGAGAAAAGGUCAAGAAACACACCUGAAUAGAUAAAAUGAGCAAAACCCAGGUGUAAAAACCUAUGAAGUCAAAGACUGGAUUAUUGUUAGGUUUUUUUAAAAAAUAAUGCACCUUCUUGUAAAUUGGAUUUCAUCUAAAAAUUUUUCUAAGGCUUGUACAUAAAAUUAACAAAAUUGAUUAAGCAAACAGGCUGCAAGGCUUUGUCAAGUUUUUUUUUUUUUUAAGCACCUUGCAAACAGCCCAGCAGCCUUUGAGAAAAGUUUCCAGCCUAAGCCCAGUAGCUUAACAUUUAAAAAAAAAAAUAUUCAAGCAGGUUGUCAGGCUAACAAUCUUAGCAGCCUUUUAGAAAAAUUCCUAAUUGGCUGCUGAAAAAAAUUUUUGCCCUUCCUGUCGAGCUAAUUAGCACGGCAGGCAUUGUUCUGUAUCAUUUUCCUGUGAAAUCAAUAUUCAUGAUUUUUUUUUCAACAAUAAACAAAGGAAUUAGUGGAUAUAACGUACUUAUAAAUAGUAGAAAUGCAUAUUAUUCUAUCCACUUUUUCAACACUUGAUACAAAGGGAAAAAAAUCGUGGCACAACAAUUAUUAUUAUUAUUAUUUUCAAUGCAAUUCUUGAUUUUUGAUCUCUCUCUCUCUCUCUCUCUCUCUCUCUCUCAGUGUUUUGAAAAUCAGAUUGGACCAGCCGGUUCGAUCGAUUGAACCGCGAACCGGCCAUAGCACCGGUCCGAUUCUAUACUAAAGUUGACUUCAUUAGAAAACCGGUGAAAAUCAGUCAAACCCGUUAAAAUCGGUGAACCGGCAGUUUCCAGUUUUCAACAUUCCCCUCUUUUUUUUUUUAAGUUUUGCAAAAUAAAGCUACCAAGGUUCGAACUACCUUUGUGAUAGAAGACAAUGUAAUAACCAUUGUACCACCACAUUCUAUUAGCCUUUUUUGAUAACUUAUUUAUAUAGAAUAAACAUCCAUCUUUCUUUUCUCCAUUUUUCUUACAAAAUUCAUCCUCUCAUGACUCUUUCUUUUUAAUUUUCAACUCUAAUAUCAUUUUUCUUUGAAUUUGUCUAUUUGUUGCUAAAUCAUUCAAGACAUAUAAUAUUUAAACAUAUCAAUGUCCCUAACAUAAUAAUACAAAUGGUUGUACACUUAAGAAUACAAAUCCUGUUAAAUUUUAUCUCCAUAACUACAUUUUUUCAGAUAGAGAAAGACAUCCCUCUUAUUUUACAUGAUAAGGGGAAAAAAUAAAAAUUAUUAGUGAAAAAAUAAACUAUAAAAAUAUUACCAAAGUUCUAUACAUUUCAGCUUAUACAAUUGAAGUUGAAAGGAAAACUGCCGGACUUAGUCAAGUUGAAAAAAAAAAAAAACCUACCUAGCAAGUUGUGGGGCUGACAGCCCGUUAGCCUUUUACAAAAGUUCCCAACCCAAGUCGGCAGCCCAACAUUGGCUGUCAGCCCGGCAGCAUUUUAGAAAAAUUCCCAACUCCUGGCAGCCCAACAUUUAAAUAAAAAAAAAAAUUGCCUUGCCUAGCAGUCAUAGUUCUAUACCACUCUCGUAUCAGGUUAAUAUUCCCAAUUUUUUUCUGCAAUAAACAAAAGAAUUAGCUCAAUAUAACGUUCUUAUAAAUAGUAGAAAUGCAUAUUAUUCUAUUCCCUCUUUCAAUAUAUACUUAAUAUAAAGGGAAAAAAUUGUGGCACAACAAUUUUUUUUUUGUUUUGAACGCGAUUCUUGGUUUUUUACUUCUCUCUCACUCUCUCUCUCGAUAUAAUUAAGCUAAUAAAUCCUAAAUGUGUUUCAUUUUCUCUUUAAAUUAUUAAAAUGUAUGUCUUCAAACUAAAAUAUUGCAUUUAAGAUAGAAAAAAAAUAUGAUUUUUACCAUCUACUUCUACAUACUUUUGUACUUUGUAAUAUAUAAUUCAAAGCUGAUGAUAAGUUGUAAAUUUAAAUUACAAGCACCAGCGGAUUUAGAUAUACAGUAAAACUUUUAUAAAUUAAUAAUUUUGGGAUCAUGCAAAUUUUAUUAAUUUAAAGAGGUAUUAAUUAACCAAUAAAUUACUAAAUUUAUUAAUCUGUUGAAUGUGCUUACGAUUCAAAGAAACACUCAUUUAAUCAACUAAAAUUUUAUUUUAUUUUAUAAAAAUAUAAAUUAUUUUAUUAAUAAAAGGAGUUAAAAGUCUGAGGAUCAUAAAUCCAUAUCUGUUUGAUUUGUAAGUAUAAUUUAAUUGGAUAAAAAAUUUGGAUGAUCUUCAAAUAUUAAGUUGGUCAACUUUUAACCCUCCAACUAUUAAGUACAUCCCUUUGCACCCUCAAACUUGUAAAAUGGUAUAUCUCACCCUUUUGGCUACAGAUAAUUUUAGAAACCUUUCUUGCAGUUUACGUUAAUAGCAUUUAGGAUCUCUAAAGUUUCAAAAUUAUCACUAACCUCCCAUAAAACUAUACCUUUGUAAUAUCUCACUCUCGUAUUAUAAAAAAAUUCUUAAAAUAAUCUGUUACUGAGAGAGAUAUAUUUUUCUCCCAAUUCUACCCUUUUGUAUUGUUUUAUUAUCCCUUAGCAUGAUCGUAGGAUGAUGGGAGAAGCGCUAAGUUCUUUUCCAAUUACACAGUAGUACAGAGUACAUUUGUGAGACAUCAAUUCGAACUAGGUUGGUCUCGUUUAAAUACCCUCAAAUAUAGAACAUUACACUGCUCUGCCAUUUUAGGUAUUAGGUAGAUGUGAUGCGACCGAAUGUACCUUCGGUAGCUUCCAAAUGACCAAGGGCGUUUUAUUACAAACGUGUAUAUAGUUUUACCAUGGGUGUUUUUAUCAAAAACCAUGAAUUGUUUGUUCCUAAUCUGAAUUGUUUAACCUCUUGGCCUCACAGAUGUUACUACCUUAAUCAUCUAGAAUAUUGACAUGGCAUUUGUGCCAUAACUUUCGGUAUUUUUGUUGCAAAUGCUGACUUCUCUAGUGGAUACUAAUACAUUGAUUGUAUACAUUUUUGAAAUGCAGGCGUGGAGCAACGGUAGAGUGCAUUCCCCAUUUCAUAGAGUAACUAUGAAGGGAAGAGGAACUAGGUAUUCGAUUGCACAAUUUUCCUAUUGCAAAAAAUUGGUAAAGACACCAACAGAGCUGGUUGAUGAUGAACACCCCUUAUUAUAUAAGCCAUUCGACUGUUUUGGUUAUCUACGAUUCUUGAGCACAAAUGAGGAUUGGAAUAUUCCAAAUUCACUGAAGGUCUAUUGUGGCGUCUAAAACACCAGAUGCAUCGAAUUUUAAUGAUCAGAAGACUACAUGAUCUAUGGAUGAAAAGCUUUUUCUUCUUUUCAGUCGAUGUUUAUUCUUCUCCGCUAUUGUGCCCACUUUUUCUUGAAAAUGUUAGGGGAGUAGCUUUCUCCAGGAUUAAUCUAUGAAAUAGUUUAUUUUAAUGUGCUAUCUGUUUUGUACUUAGAAGCAAUAAAUAAGGGAAAAGUAAGAAAUUGGAAGGAUACAAAUAAAUAAAAUUUGGCAAAUAAUCUACUGUUCAAUCAAAAGGAUUUGGAGGUUGACGCAUCUAAUGAGAUAUUUUUUUCUUCCCAUUUCAAUCUUUACUGAUUUUUCAAAAGGAUUUGAUAUCUUUAUUGAUUUUUCUUAGCAUGGUGUUUUAGCCAUUGCGAUUGUUAAGAUUUUUCUCUAGGUUCGAUUGUGGUCGUGGCAUGAGUGAGGAGAAACUCUUAAAACAGUAGAAGAAAACACUGUAGAAUCGAGUUUUUUGAACAAAGAAGAGAAUUUCGAGGAUGAAAUUCUGUUAAGGGGAAGAGAGUGUGAGAAUCCAAAAAAUUAGGUUAUAUUUAUUUAUUUCUUUGAAUGCAUUUUCUUUACUUUAAAUAAUUGGCUUAAUGUCCUCGAUAUUUUUAUAAGUGUGUCAAGUUUUUAAAUCAUUUUGUUGGUAUAAGUUAGUACACGUUAAGUUUGAAGUGCAUUAUGGACGUGGGAACCGCUAAUGCGGUCAGUGAGGUAAAAUUUUGACUACUAGGUGAAGUUUUGCAUAAAGGGAUAUUGUUUUACAAGGUGUUAGGGGAUAAUUAGAGGUUAGCUAGAUAAAUUAGCUUUGGAAGACAAGAAGAUGAGAACAAAACCCUAAGACGCCAUUUGUCGCGAAACCGUUGGAUGUUGGACUUUGACCAACCUUUCUUAACUUUACUAAAAACCAAAAUUUGACCAAGAUGUCUUCAUUUUCUCCUUGUCUUGGCUGAAAAUUGUGAGAGGAAAAACAGGAGAGAGCGCUUCAUCUUCCACCUCAAUGCUUGCUUGAAUCUUGAGAUUUAGCCAUCAACUUUGCGAACCACUCCAUAAGAGUUGAUCACUAAGGAAGAUUAAAGGUGUUGGUAGAGUGAUUUUGGAGGAAGAAGCAUUAAGUUGCCAUCUUUCUUGAGGUUACAAGGAAACUUUGCUAAGAAAUCCCUUUUUGCUUCUAAUACUACCAUACUAGUGGUUUAGGGUUGCUAAAAUGGUAUUUUAUGAGAAAUUUCAUGAUUUGAAGUGGUGUUAUGAAAAAUUUCAGUUUUAUUGGUAAAUUUCUACCCUCAUAUGAUGCUUAAGUGUUGGCAAUGGUUUUGGUAACUUUGCUAUGUGAAAUAUCUAGUUUUUACAUGCUAAUUUGACUUGUCUAAAGAAAAUUUCAGCUUGUGAGUAGGAAUUUCAGCUUAGGGUUUCAUUUUCUAGCUUGAUUAGGUGAUGGUUAUAUGCUAUAUAUAUACUUGAUUUAGUGAGUUGUUGGCUUGAUAUGUACAUACUUGAGUUGAGGCUGUUUUGUGGUAAGAAUGAAGCCUUGAAUUGGCUGAAAAAAUUAGUAAACACAAGGGAGGUGCUACUGAAAAUUUGUCCACAGGAACCCUUGGGCAGACUUAGGAAAUCUUCUAUAUACUGUUGUAGAAAAGUCAGAAUUUAGUUCCGUUUGUUGCGUUUGAAACUAGAGUUAGAGUACUAUCAAUCGUGAAAAUUUCAGCCUUUUUCUCAAUUUCCAUGAAUAUGUAUGAAUUUUCAAAGUUGACUGAAAUUGCAUACAUGUUCUGUCUUUUACUGGAUGAAGUGGCAACUGGAGGCUCAAAUUUGACUGACUUAGGGACUGAAUCUUACAAAUGUGUCUUCUAAAAAAUUAAUCCUUUGAAUCUAUUUUCCGACGGUAUAAAGCUUAUCAAUUUUAGACUUACGAAGCUUAAGAUAUGAUUUUUCAAAUAGUGUUGUGCAAAGUUGAGAAAUUCUGUUCUCUUUGAACCGUUUUUACUUUCACUUCCCACUUUAAGUUUGGAGUUGGUCAAUCAUUUUUGGUAUGAUUUAUGAGUGGAAUUAAGGUUUAAGUGAAAGGAAAUGAAGUCUUAGAAACCUUAAUUUCUUCAUGUAUUUUGGCUUUGUAUUGCUAGCCUUGUAAUAUGGUAUAUAACCACAGGACUCGAAAGAAUUCAAGAGGACAAACCAGGGAUAAAAUGAAGGGUGGCAAUUGAUUGGUGAGUGUACCACUCGCAUGACUUGUUGCUCAACUAGUUUACUUGUACAUGCAAUUUGUGACUUGAAUAACUGUGACUUCUGUUUAUUCAAGACGAAAUGAGGGUGUACUUUAUCACACUCGUUUUUCUUGUCUGUUUGACUGGUUGCUGUAUAAAUUUGAAUCUGUUAACUGUACAUGAUUUGAUGUCGUUUGGAGGCUUGUAUCCAAUGACCUUGCGUGACAUCUAAGCUCAACCUCAUUGGUAGUUUAUCGAAUAGAGCCAGCAAGGGUUUGGUCGAAGUAGAUUGACGAACCAUGAGGCACUGAAACCCCUCUGAUAUUUGGUAUACUCAAGUAUUACCACCUCUGUUUCUGUUUGGUGUUUGGGUCCGGUAAGGGGUAUGUUUGGUGGAUGGAAUUUGAUGUAAAGUGGGGUCUACGGUCAUGGUUGCUUCUCUAAACGUUGGCGGAGAGUCAACGAGUUUGGAUCAAGUACUGCAACGGAAUUUGACCCUUGAGAGCCAUCUGUAUCCUUUCUAUUUGAAUUACUAUGUCUGACUAUGGUGUUUGUUCAUCUCCCUAUUUGGUGUUUAUAUUUAAUUGAGUAAAAGUGAAGUUCAAUGAUUUUUAACUAUUUGAACUUUUGGUACCUCAUUGGGCGAAAACUCAUACCCGUUACCUUUGUUUUCCUUACAAGGGACAAAUAUUGGAACCAUGAUUUUGGAGAAGAGUUGAGCUAGAUAUAGUUAUUUUGGAUAAGCUCCUCUGUAAUAGUAAACCCUAAUUGUAUUUUUAUCAAGUAUAACAUUUUGGCUUGUAAAGACUCCAAUGUUUAUAUAUUUAUGCAAGCGUAUGCUUAUGCAUAUUAGUUGAGAAUGCAUGUUUCUAUGGUUAUGUGAACUUUUCUUGUAUUCGUUGGAAAAUCAGGUGAGCGCGGAACUUGAGCAAGGAAAGAAAAGAAAUCUGGGGGGAAACAACUGUAGGGAAUCCGGCCAUAUUUCUGGCCAGAUCUUGGCCAGAUACUUGGCCGGAUUGUCAGGGGAAGAUGAGACAAUUUUUGUUUUGGUCACUGCCUUGAAUCCGGUCGGCAAUCCAGCCAAAUCUUGGCCGGAUUCUGACUUGGCCUUAGUUCUUUGCGCGUUUCGUUGGAGGGUUUAAUCGAAGUCCUAUUGCACCGUAUGGUUUGGUAAGCGUGUUUUCGGCUUAGUAGUCCUAGUCAGAGUUGGGCAGGCAGUUCGCUAACCCUUAGGGUACGCUCUAGGGGAAGGUGGGGUUGUCACACUCCCUCCAUCCCUCUUUCAUACUUUUCCCUCUUUUCUCCCACAAUCGCUUCUUCCUCUCAUCAAAUACUAUAUUCCAUUGUUAGCAGUCAUACCACUAUCAAUUUUUUACCAUCUCCAAAAUUUAUUUGUACUUUUUUUGUUUUUCUGUCUCUUUCUUACUAUAAAAAUUUUAGACUAUUUCUUUUUUUUUAAAAAAAAAUAGUUUUACUCUUUUCAAAUGUUAGCCAAUUGAAGUUACCAAAUUAACAAGGUGCGAACUAUAGAUUUCAUUGUCAAACUAGGAGAAGAUAAAAAAGGUGGCAGUGAUAUAGAAAAAUAAAAUAAAAUUGAGAUUUGGAAGAUAAAGAAGUGACUACUAUGUUUGUUAAGCAAAAAAAUCUAGUAAUAAUAAAAAAAUUCAUUGGUUCUCUCUUUUAUUUGCCUAUUGAUUGUGGUUUUGCUAUGAAGGUAGAUUUUGUCUCUAUUUCUAAUAGUACUAGAGUAAUAAUGAAUCAUGUUCUUAGGGACAUGAUGGCAUUUUUUGGUUCAGUAUUGGUAAUGGUAGCAGUGAGUUGCAUUAGUCAAGAAUUAGCAAGUAAUGAAUUUUGAGAUGAGUUGGAAUCGCUGGACUAUAUUUGAUUUAGUGAGUAUGCCACGUACAAAAAGUUAAAAAUUAAAACCUUAUUUUAUUUUGUCUUAUUCUCUAGAAAAAGGGUAUUUUAGGAUAUUUGUGAAAAAAUAUAAUCUAUUGGUUUAUAUUGUUACAUAACCUUAAAAGCAAGGGAGGUAGGUGUAAUUUUUAAAACUGAUGAGAGCUCUCUGUAAUUGUUGGAAACCUCAAGGGAGGUUUCUGAAAUUAUCCCAAAAGUUUAACACAUUUUCUUGGGAACAGUAGUAAUUCAAUGAGAUUCCUGUCAACCAUUGAUUUUGAAUUCUCGUAACAAAUUCAAGGUGCUGGCUAAUUUUGUAACUCCAACAAAAUAUUCAAGAAACCUUGAACUCUAAAUGAAACACAAUUAUAUGCAUUUCUACUGUUUUAUAAGUACGUUAUAUCCUAUGCUAUAAAUCCACAUCCUACACCCUUGAUGGGAGCAGAAGAGAUGGUAGUAUUCCCAAUACACUUAAGGCGUCGAGCUAGCUCUGCAAAAUCCGUCUAGUUCAAUUUCAUGGAUAACCCAAAGUUGCAAAAACUUCCUGUCAUCAACUUCGGCCAGGAGAAUUUGCAGUAUGGCACAAAAAGCUGGUCCUUGGCACGCAACGAAGUCCGCCACGCUCUUGAAGAAUGCGGUUGCUUUCUUGCUGUGUAUGAUGCAGUUUCUUUCAACUUGAGGGAUUCAGUAUUUUCUGCGCUAGAAAAACUGUUCGAUCUUCCCGUGGAAACAAAAAAGAAGAACACUUCUGAUAGGCUUUUCUUUGGUUAUCUUAGCGACCACCGUGACUCAGCUAUUCGUGAGAGCGUGGAAAUCGAAAAUGCAACCGACAUAGAAGAAGUCAAGAAAUUCUCUAAGCUCAAGUGGCCCCAAGGAAAUGAUGACAAUUUCAGGUACAACUUGAUUUAUUUAUCCUCAUCUUAUCAAUUCUUACUAGUAAAUCCAACAAUUAAUUAGCGCGCAAUGUAUUGAAAUGAUCCCAAGCGAAUUGCACCUUCAAUUUGUUUCCUUUUAUGAAUAAUUGUUAGUGGGAUCAUCCAUGAAUAUGCAAAUCUGAUAGCGAAGUUGGAACAGGUGGUGACUCGAAUGGUUUUCGAAAGCUAUGGGGUAGAGAAGCUGAAGUGUGAUUCUCACAUAGAUUCAAUCACGUACUUGCUUCUGCUCAACAGCUACGAGGCGCCUGGAGUAGACGAUGAAUAUCUUUUAACUUGAGGAUAUUUUGUAAUACAACAACUGCAGUGUGAAUUGUAGCUCUUCUUUUUUUUUCUGACAUUUUCUUACGGAAUUUUCGGCAAAUAAAUCUAACUCCCCAGAGUAACUCCAAAAGCCGGCAACUUUUGGAGUCCUGUGAGAGACUUAUAAACCUAAAUCCCAACCCCCCCAAUACCGAUGUGGGAUAGAAAACCCCACAGAGUGCCCCGCUACUAAGAGAUAAAGACCCCCCAAGCCUCUGAGAAUGAGUUUUCUUUCUGACAUUUUCUUAUGAAAGUAAGAAUUUUCGGCAAAUAAAUCUAACUCCCCACAGUAACUCCAAAAGCCGGCAACUUUUGGAGUCCUGUGAGGGACUUAUAAAACUAAACCCCAACCCCCCAAUACCGAUGUCACAGGGGUGAAUUGUAGCUUUACUGCAGUGUACUUGAUGAUGACAGCAAUGAAAGUUACAGAUUUACCAAAAAAUAAUAAUAAUAAUUUUUAAAGUCACGUUCUUUAAAAUUUUUGCUGCAUUUCCUUUUGUUUCUGUAGAAACUGGAACAUGGAGAAAAUUCUUAAAUUGUGAUGAAAAAAAAAGUUAUUCUACAAAGGGGGUAAUUUUUGAAGUUGGUUCCAGACUUGUGAUCUUCGCAUUUGUGAAAUGCGAGUUCAGAUAACUCGCAUUUCACAAAUGCGAGGUAAGUGUUUCCAGAAAAAAAGAAAAAGAAGAUCGCAUUCUCCAAAUGCAAGCUUCUUAAGCUCGCAUUCUGCGAAUGCGAGAUUAUGUACCUCGCAUUUCUUAAAUGCGAGGUACUCGAUCUGAAAACAAUCAGAUAAGCAAAUUGGCUACAAUAUGGACUCGAAAGGGGGGUGCUUGGAAACGUUAAAUAAAACAAGAUAAGCAUGUAUUUAAUAAACUUAUAUUCAAUUUAAUUAGGAAUUCUUGAUUAACAUUUUGGCAUGAUGCGUAAUAAUGUAUAGGGGGUUAGAGGGAAUAUUAACUUAAAAUAUUAACUAAAAAUAUGUAUACAAGACAAGCAUGUAUCACAUUUGCUUGUACUACUAAAAUAUUAACUAAAAUAUUUGUACCAUAGUCUUGUGCUACUAAUUCUAAUUUAUUUUUCCAGUUGCAGAGAAUGGACACUCGCUUGGCACGUAUAGAUGAUCAUUUAGGCAUUACUCCACCUCAGGGUGGAGCAGAUGAAGAUGACGAUUGAAGCUGCACCAUUAGGAUCACUAUAUUAUUUGUACAUGGAUUUGCUUGCAUUUUGUUUUUAAUCUGUGGAAUGUUGGAUGUUUAACUUGAUUUUACUUUUUCUGGUUUUUAAUUUACUAAAGACUUGUGCUUUUGCAGUGGUUUGUGAUUAUUGGCUAACAAGUUGCUUGGAUUAAAUGUUGUCUAUUUUGGGUUUUCUGAUAGGGAGUUUAGUCCACUUUUUAAUGGGAGAUUCUGUCAUAAAUUUUCCAAAAAAAAUUUAUAUAUAUUUAAUCAUAAUAAAUUACAAUGAACAAAUAAAAUGUUUUUCAAAUAUCCUAGUGAAAUAAAUAUAUGUGGUUUGGAAAUAUUUUUUCUCAUUUAAUUUGAAAAUGAUUAUUAUGUGAUUAUAAUUUUUGCAUUUAUAGGAAAGUAUAUCUUUUAAUCUAUAAGAUAAAUAAUCACAUAAUAAUCAUUUGAUUUUUUUUAAAACAAUCUCUUUAUUAAUCAACUGCAAUGAGGGAAAAAGAAACAAAAAGCAAACUGCUACCUAACAAGCUAACGAAACUCUACUCCUACGAAGGCUCGGAACGCCCAACCGAUCCAGAGUAAUAUCACCUCUCACCAGGCGAGGCAAGUCAGAGAACGAACCAUACGUUGAAUUAAUCCCAAAGUCCACCCCCACAUUGGCCAAUCUAUCCGCAGGCCUAUUCGCUUCUCGAAAACAAUGGGAAAUCUCCCUAAUAUACCGUCUAGCUUCCAUCAGCUCUUGUAAACCACUUUGCAACUGCCAUGGACACCUCACUGUACCCCUAACAAUCUGAACUAGCACCAAAGAAUCUGAUUCGAUGUGCAACUCACGAUACCCCCGAUCCAAGGCCAACCUAAUCCCAUGAAGAAGCGCCUUCAAUUUCGCCUGCAGACUCGUCAGCUCCCCAAAAAAACAUGAGAACCCUAACAGAAACCUUCCCGCACAGUCGCGAAUGACGCCUCCUCCUCCACUCUUGCCAGGAUUACCCCUAGAGCAUCCGUCAGAGUUUAGCUUCACCACCGACUGCACCGGACACUGCCAUCGAACAAUUUGCACAUGGUAACGCCGAGCCAAACCAGCUACAAACUCAAAAAAACUCGGCCACCCUCGACAAGAGGUUACAGAAUUUUUAAACCUAAUCCGAAACAGGUCUCGCAGAUCACAAAAAAUUCUAUCACAGACUAUAGUAACAGGCAAAAGCUGACCUUCGAACACAAAUUUAUUCCGCAUUUUCCACAAAUUCCAACAUAUCAAAGAAGGCAACAAACGAAAGAGAACCUGAAGAAAUGGGUUCCGAGUAGGCUUCAACCACCAGCUAAUCACCUUAUGUCGUAUCGUCGAGGAAACACCAAACCCUCCCACCACCACUUCAAAGUUAGCCCAGAUUCGCCGUGCAACCUCCCCAGUACAGAAAAUAUGGUCCAGAGACUCCUGGCAUGGGAAGGAGCAACAAAAACACCGAGACGGCCCGACAACCCCAAACUUGUGCAAAAUAUCCAUCACUGGCAGUUUGCCUCCCAGCAGACGCAGCAUAAAAAAUGAAACGUUACAUGGCAAAUCCUGACUCCAGAUCGAGGAAUACAGACAAGACCUGUUACCAACCCCUCGAGCAAUUUGGUAGGCCGACGAUAGGGAAAAAUUCCCUGAGGUACUGGGAGACCAGACCAUUCUGUCCGAGUGCGCCUCAGCGGGAGGUACAACACUCAAGAUCUGCCCCGCCAACCAGCUGGGCAAGACAGAGCGUAGCCUCUGCUCAUUCCACCGACCGUGCUCCACGAAUUCGGAAACUGCAUAUUCCUGGAAAGUAUCCACCUGGCGGCAUAACGGACCUUGUCCUAACCAAUCAUCAUGCCAAAAGCUUGCCGAACCGUUGGACAAGAUCCAGCGAAUAUGUUUCUCAGCAACCCCCUGAAUAGAUACCAAUCUCUUCCAAGUCCAAGAACUCCCCAGCAAGACUUCAGCAAAACAAGGGUGAGAGUUCGGGCAAUAUUUACAAUGCAAAAACUCAGCCCAUAAGGACUUCCGCAACCUAAACUGCCACCACAGUUUCAUUAAGAAAGCCUCGAAAACAUGCCUCAACGACCUCAACCCAGCAUCUCCCCUGUCAUAUGGCUGACACAACUGUUCCCAUUUGAUCCAGUGGAAACGCAGCCCCCCCUCAGAGGAGCCCCAAAGGAAAUUAGCAACGUCUUCUCCAGCAUCCCAAAAAUAGCUUUGGGAGGAGUCGAUGCCGCAAGAAUAUGAAGAGGCAUAGAAGAUAGCACACUCUUGAUCAGUACCAGCCUACCACCAUGCGACAAUAACCUCCCCUUCCACGAUAGCACCCUGCCCAGUAUGGAAUCACAAAUUGCCGAAAAAUAAACUUUCUUCCUCCGUCCGACAUAUAAGGGACAACCCAAGUAUAUAACUGGAAACUCCCUCGAGGAAAACCCCGUGAGUUCUCCAAGCAUACGUUUCCUCGCCCUAGGAAAGUUGCUAUGGGUCAAAAAACAACUCGUUUGAUGGUUCACCUGCUGACCUGAUACCAAAGAGUAAUCUUCCAAAGCUUUCAACACCAAACGAACUGACCUCUUCAGCCCGCUAGAAAAGAUAACGACAUCAUCGGCAUAAGCCAGAUGCGUAACCUUCGGGCAUCCUUGAGAUACACUAAACGGUGAGAAGAGCGGGGAGGAAAGCAACGAAUUUAACAGGCGAGAAAGAACCUCGGCACCGAUCACAAAAAGAGCUGGAGAAAUAGGGUCCCCCUGCCGUAGCCCACGACUAGAUUUAAAGAAACCUUGUGGGACACCAUUAAUCAAAACCGAAAACCAGACAUUCGAAAUCAGCCUCCAAAUCAUAUCAAUCCAUCUCUCUCCAAACCCAAACUUACGGAAAACCUGUAACAAAAAAGGCCAAGAGACUCUGUCGUAGGCCUUGGCCAUAUCCAACUUCAACACUACAUUGCCCCCUCGAUUAGAUUUCCGAAUAUCAGAUAUCAACUCCUGAGCCAACAAAAAAUUCUCAAAAAUCUGCCUUCCCUGAACAAACCCACUCUGUUGCGGAAAGAUAAUACUCGGCAGCACCUUUGACAAACGGUUGGCCAACAGUUUCGAAAUGACUUUAUUGACAAAGUUACAAAGGCUUAUCGGCCGAAAUUGACUAAAAUCUUGCGGGGAAGUUACCUUGGGAAGCAGCAUUAUCCACGUCGAAGAAACGCUUCUCGGCAACUCAUGACCACAAAAGAAACUAAUCACUGUUUCACACAAAUCAUUGCCCACCACCUCCCACACAAAUGUAAAAAAAGGUGCCUGUAAAUCCAUCUGGCCCACCCGCACUCUCCCCAUCCAUUUUAAACACCACCUCCCUUACCUCCUUGUGAGAUGGAAACCGCUCCAAAUCAGCAUUUUGAACAUCGGAAACAACCUUAGGAAUUACGUCCAAAAUACUCCAUGACCCGCUGGCAGUCUCCUCCGAAAGUAAGGAUUUGAAGAACUCAACCCCAAUAGCAGACCCCUGAGCUUCAUCUGAUAUCCACUCCCCCUGGUCAUUCUUAAUUCGGUGUAUGAUAGACUUUGCUCUUCUCUCCGCCACUAUCGAGUGGAAGUACUUAGAAUUUUUGUCCCCGUCCUUAAGCCAUUUGACCCGUGCCUUUUGCCUCCAAAACCCUUCCUUCGUUGCCAGAGAAUUCCUCAUUAUAGCACGAGCCUCCUGGAGAGCCAACCAAUGCGACUGAGAAGGCUCAUUUCCAAACGCAUCCUCUGCAGCUGCUACCUCGCCCUCCGCCCUCUUCACCGCGUCAAAAAUGUUACCAAACUCCACACGAGACCAAACUUGAAGGUCCCGUUUAACAUUUCGCAAUUUAGCAGAUAAACGUUGCAAAGGACGCCCAGAACAAGGGGCUGCCCAACUCCUCCUAAUGACAUCCAAAAACCCAGGCUUCGUCGUCCAAACAUUCAAGAACCGAAAAGGUUUAGGCUUGUUAUCCAGCCUCGUCGACGAUGACAUUAAAAGGGGGGCGUGAUCCGAAGGCUCCCUCCCUAGAUGUUGAACCCCCCUGAAAGAACGGCCGUUUGAUUGACAAGCAUUCUGUCCAGGUGUUUCCAAAUGCAAGCCAUACCCCCCCUAUUAUUACACCAAGUGAAAGGGGACCCCGAAAAACCAACAUCCGAAACACCCGCCAUCGACAUGAAAGUUCUAGGCUCCACUCCUUCAUCUACUCGAAAAGGCAAGUCGCCCCUCUUUUCCUCCGCGCUAACAGUGACAUUGAAAUCACCCGCCAACAUCCAAGGGUGCUCCGCCAGAUUUUCCGCUAACAAAGUUGACCAAAGCAAAGAUUGCUCUUGCUCAUUACACUUUGCGUGGAUAAAAGAAAAAUAAAUUGGACCUGAUAGAAGCUGAGAAGUGAUUUUAAGCGACAAAUGCUGAGAGGAUUCUCCCACAAAGGCACAAUCAAAAGAGUUUUUAAAGAACACCCAAAUAGACCUCUGGCUAUUCACCAUCCAACUAUCCAUCCUGAGCCGUGCUCCAAACACAUGAAUGUCACAUGGUAACGCCUUAGGCUCACAAAUAGCCACUAAAGGAAUUGAGAACUCAUCAAUUAACCGUUUUAACCUAUGAAAAAUUUACAAAUUUAUUUAAUAAUAAAAUUAGGUGUUUUCAACCGUAUGAUUAUCAAAUCUUUUAAUCUAUAAGAAAUAUAACUUUUUGGUUAUUUAUAUAAAAAUAAUUACUAGUACAUAAAAUUUUGUACUGAGACCUCACAUUUGUUAACUUCUAACUCUUGUGAGUUUUAAAAUAAAAAGGAUUUAUUCCUCUAUGAUAAAUGUCAAUGCAAAAACAAAAAUGAUUGUGUGCUCCUAAUUUAAAAAAAUUUUGAAUAUAAUUUUUUAGGAAUUUGUUUUUAUCGGAUGUGAGAUACAAUAAAGCCGAAAGCAUACUAGUUCGGUUAAGAUUUAUUGCCCCAAAUUAUUAUCAAGUAUUGAUGGCAAUAUUAUGGGAUCUUUUUUUUUUCCAAUUUUGAUGAAUUUACAGCCUUAGGUAGUAAAAUUUGUAGAGAUUUUCAUUGCAAAUUGUAAAUCAUUUUAUAAUUUGCAGUGAAAUCAUAAAGCAAGGGAAGGCCUGCAUUGGAACUGAAGCAAAAAGAAAAAUCAUGGCAAAAUCUAGAUUCAUGUUCUUGAAAAUAAUUUGAAGAUGGUAAAUAGUGAAUUUUGGCUCCAGUUUCAUCACUGGCAUGAUGAAACACGCACGGCUUCUAACUUAUGUCAAUUGUUUGAGCAGCCUUUUUAUGUAAAAUUGCAGCUUGAUCACGCUCACUGGACCCACUUGGGAUCCUCGGUGACAUGUUUUCUAUGCCAACCCAAUGCCACCUAUAAUAUUGUGCCAAGUGUCCUGUUAUUAUUUACACUUGUGUUAAACCAAACUAAGUUGAAUUAUUAAAAAAUUAAAGUGUAAAUAAUAAUGGGACACUUGGCGCAAUACUAUAGGUGGCAUUGAAUUGGCAUAGAAAAACAUGUCACCGAGGAUUUCAAGUGCACUGGACCAGGGGCUUCUUUCGUCACAAUGCUCGCUAAAUGCGAGCUGAGUUGCCUAGCCGAGAACCUCGCUUUGUUAAAUGCGAGGUAUAUGACCUCGCAUUUGACAAAUGCGAGGUCUGUUUUUCUUUUUCUUUUUUUUUUAUUUGGAUGCUAGGAAAAUUCAGGGAGACCUCGCAUUCAGCAAAUGCGAGCUCAAGAGCUCGCAUUUGCUGAAUGCGAAGACCCCUGAAGGGAAUCCCAUACAAAAAAUGCUCCCUUUGUAGAAUUUUUUUAAAAAUCAUCGUAAUUUUAGAAAUUUCUCCUGGAACAUGGGCUGCUGGGACAUUUGUACCAAUGGUACGUAAGCUUAGAGUAGAAUUGAACAGGAGAGGCUCCAUCUCCUUAAAUACUGGUACAAGGCGAAAGCUCAGUUACCAGGGCGAAUCCACAAUUCAGUGAACAUAGAGUAGAAUAGAAUCUGUAAUUAGUAGGCCGGUGGGAUCUUUUGAAGUGUAGUAGUAAUAUGGAUUCUUUGGCAGAAACAACCAAGAACCAAGUUGUACUAAAAGAAGAAGAAGAAGAGGAGGAGGAGCACUUCUCGUACGCCAUGCAGCUAGUUACCUCCGCAGGGCUGCCCAUGAUGUUGCUUGCUGCCAUCCGGCUCAAUGUGUUCGAGAUCAUCGCCAGAGCUGGUCCCGGUGCUCAACUGUCGCCUUCAGAAAUUGCGGCUAACGUGUCUUCAGAAAACCCAAAUGCCGCUGCUAUGCUGGAUCGGAUGUUGCGGCUCCUGGCAAGCUACUCUGUGCUCACCUGCUCCGUUGCCACCGACGUGGAUGGUGAUCAUGCUAUCCAAACGCCAACAAGAGUGUAUGGAUUGGCGCCGGUGGGCCAAGUUCUUUGUACAGAACAAAACAAAGGGAGGAGGUUCACUAAGCUCCUGCUGGCCUUGCUUCAAGAUAAGGUCUUCAUUGACGGUGAGAUUUUCACUUUUCUUUUAUCCUGUUUAAUAAAAACAAAAACUCCUAUAGUUGAGAUUACUCCUUUGUGGAUGCAUAGUGCCUGGUCCAAAAGCGAUUCACUACCCUAAGAAACUCCAUUGAGCCCUCUUUCUUUUAUUUUAAUUUUUAGAAAUGAAUAGAAAUGAACUUGUGGCAGGAAUUAUUACAGUCAUGAUUGGCCAAGAAAAAAAAAUGCACGGCUGAAAUUAUGACUUGGGAAUCAUUUUCAACAUUAUGUGUGGAUCCCACCAAAAUAUAUACUGAACUUACACCGUGUUUAAAAUGAUUAACAUUGUAAUCAAAUUCAUUUACAUCUUGUUGAAAUACACAUAACCGGUAAGGAACUGUUCCAGCCCCUAGUCCAUUAAAUAUUAUCAGUGUCUGGAAUAAAAAAAAAACAAAUCACUCCUUUGCUUCUAACUAUGCCUUAACCUACAAGUUGUAAUUCUACGAUGCACGUAGCCAUUUUGUUAGUGAUGGUCUUAAUUCCUCUGCAAAAGGAUUACUUUUAGUGAUUUUCUUCUAAAAUCGCCAAAACAGGAUCACUGGAUUUUGAUAGAACAACACAAGAUAGUGGACUUAAACGACUCAAAUCUCUACUUUGGAUGUAACACAUAAUUCCUUUGUGAAAUAUCAAAUCCAUAGACAAUUACACUUAAAGUAGCACUGACUACUCAAGCCAACAUUAAAGUAGCACUGAAUAAAUUUUGUUCAUAGUUUUCGUUGUGAGUACACGUGUGAACUCUAUGGAUGCUUUUCUUCCUUGCAUGUAUUUAAGAACAAUUCGGCUUGUAAAAAGGCCUCCAUAAAAUAUGCUUUUGGACCCAAAAUUUAGGUACCAAUUAGAAGAUGCAGUUCGCGAAGGGGGAGAUCCGUUUCACAGGGCGCAUGGUACACAUGCAUUUGAAUUUCUUGGAAGCGACCCCAGAUUCAAUGAGGUAUUCAACAAGACAAUGAUCCACCACACAGCUAUCGUCAUAAACAGAAUGCUUGAACGGUACAAAGGUUUUGAGCACCUCAAAACUUUGGUAGAUGUUGGUGGUGGUCUUGGAAUGAACCUCAAUAUAAUCACAACUAAAUACCCUAGCCUCAAGGGUAAUAAUUUUGAUUUGCCACAUGUUAUACAACAUGCACCAGCCUAUCCUGGUAUAAUUUUUGCUCUUCUCCAUUUGUUGCUCAGUUAUGUUUGCUCUUUUGCUUCAUUACCCUUUAAUUAACCAAUUCAAGAUAGCAUGUGAGAACAAAUAAAGAAACAGAUGCAGGCACUUCAAAAUAAUCUCAGUUAAAUUGCAAAACGAAUGAGUUAGUUUUGGGGAAGAAAGACACUUACCAUCAUGAGUUCUAUAAUUUUUUUUUUUGGAAUUAAAGAAGUUUCAAUAUGUUGUACGACACACUGUUAUACUUUAUUAUUUUUUUUGUCAAACAUCAUAAAUUCACUUCAUUUCAUGAACUUGAUAUUACAAGAUUGGAUACAUCAGAAUUUCUCCGUUUGUAAUCCUUUUGUGCACUCUCAUGGAGCCACAUGGGAAAACACUCUUCCCAUUCAACAUUUUUAGUUAGCUUUACCGCAAAUUUUGCUAAGCUAUGUGCACAGCUGUUUCCCGCUCUAUGAACAAAAGAGAAAGUACAUUGUUCAAACAAACAUCUCAUAUUUGCAAUGUCUUCAAGGACAGUAGCUAUCCUGGUAUGCUGGUCCUUUUCCUUGUUGAUCAUGUCCACUACCUCCUUGCAGUCAGACUGGAAUUCUACUUCCUUCCAGUUUGCAUCGUAAGUGACGUGCGCAGGGUAUACAUAUCAAUUUAACCUCAUUCUAAUCAAGUUUUACAUUUAUAAAUUCCUAAACACCCCACACGCGAUUUAUCGCAAGUAUACGAAUCGUGAGCGAGUAUAGGGUAUUAAGGGUCGAUCCCACAAGGAAGAUUGCAAUUACCGGUACUACUAAACCUUCUCUAUUAUUUAGGCUAUCAAUGAAUUAUAACAAAUUUUACCUACUCAAAUUAUACAAAAUAACAAAUAAAAGCUCCUUAGGUUGUGGUAUCCCUAACUACUCAUGCAAGUGCUACAUUUGGAUCAUUGAAUACUACAUUUAGGCUAGUUAUGGUGUAAUUUCCUUAAACAUGUGAAACCUACUUUCGUAGUGAAUCAACUAUACUCAUAACUAAUCCAUACCUAUUUUCAUGGUUAUGAAAUUAGCUACAAGUUCAUUUCUUCAAUGAAAUUACAUGAAAUGAAUCACUAAAAACCACAUAAGUGCACCUCUACUUUCGUGAGUGUACUCCCUAUGUUUAACACUUCUUGAACUAGUGUUAAAUCUCAAUUUUCAUUGCAGAAACAACACCUUAGAUAAUCACAAUUAAUGGUACCAGAUUAAUCAUGAUUUCAAGAGCCAAAGUGCUAAAUAACUUGCUCAAAUACUAGCAAUCAAAUAGCCAAAUAAUAAACACUAACAAUCAUAGAAAGUUCAACCAAACCCAAGGCUUAAACUUUAGAUACACAUAUUAAACACAAAAUCUAGCACUUGUAUAUUAACUAAACUUGGAAUCAAGUACAAAAGAUAAAGAGUUUGGAAGGAAUGUAACCCUUGUCACAUGAGUUCAUCUCCUUGCCUUCUUCAUCCUCCAUCUUCAUCUUUGCCUAGCUAAUAAACAAGAAUGGAUAACACUCUACUCUAUACUAACCUACUGCUACUACUCAGAAAAUGCAAGAGCUACAUCUCUGCACUCCAAGUUUUCUCCCGUAUGUCUCCUAUUUUUUUCUGCUAUGAACUCCAAUCUCCUUUUGCUCUAUCUCCUCUCUCCAUUUUGCAAUGAAUUUGGCUAUUUAAUGAUGAAAGGUGGUCAAGAAAUGAAGCUUUACACUUUCUCCUUACAGCUGGUAAUGUCUCUCACAUGUCUAGCAUCACAUGUGAGUUGGUGGAGGUGAAAUUGAGUUUUACGCGUAUAAAGCAGCCUUUUCUGACCAGUGAUCCGAGCUGCUACAGUGCCUCGGAUCCACUAACCCAGAAACAGCCGAGGGUUCGGAUGAAUAGUGGAUCCGAGUGUGGAUCACUUGCUCUGUUUUUGGCCCAACUUCAACCGAUCUUUUCUUGAUGUUAGAGGCUGAACCAGCUCAUGUGUAAAACACGAAAGUUGUAGCCUUUUGAGUUAUCUUUCCAAUGCAUCAAGAAUCACCUCAUUUGGAUCUGUGUAGGCUGAGAUAUGACUGAAAUACCCUUGCCUGCUCCAUGCCUUGUUCCAGUUUCGAUCAAUAGCAAUUGACUCUGUAUUUCGGCUUUUUUGACCUGGAAAACCUUCAAACUGGAUUCGGAUAUCUUCACCAAAGUUGUAGAUCUAUCUCUUGUCUUCAAAUGGGUUCAAGAAUCAUCCCAAUCCGAUCAUUGUGGCUUAAGUUAUAGCCGAAAUACGAAAAUGUAUCAAAACUGUCAAAAUACACAAAAUCCAAGUAAAAAGUGAUAAAAACCUCAUUUAAUUGAACAAAAGUAUUUUAUACCAAUUAUAGCCAAAAUGAAUUAUUUUCUUCCAAUAAUAUACCCAAAGUGACUAAAAAUAAUAUAAAAUAUCAUACAAUUAUUACGUAAAUUAGUCACUUAUCAGUAAGCCAUUUGCAUUCCCAUCCGAAUUGCUGCUGCUUCCUCCACUUGUGGCUCGCUAACUUUUAGUUCAGCUCUUGCCCAAGCUUUCAUCAGUUUUCCUUCUUCAUUCCUAGCCACAGCACUUAUGCCUGUUCUCUUCAUGUUUUGUGAGAAUGCAGCAUCAGAAUUUAUCUUUAUCUGUCCUCUUGAGGGUGGCUUCCAUGCCUCGCUGCUAUUUGAGCUUGUUGUUUGUUGAAUGAACUUUCCAUCUAAACUUUUUUGGGCUUCUCUAUACUCAUUCCAUUCUACCAUAGCUUUUUGUACUGACUUCCUUGGAUCUGCAUCUUUUUCAUCAAAAGCUUUCCUGUUCCUCGUCUUCCAUAUUUGCCAGAGGAUAUUUACAGUUAGCGCUAUAUGUUCCUUACCUUGUUCCCUCUUUUUUGUGCCUAAUAUCCCUUCCCACCAUCUUACAAAAUUGCUUCUCAUAUCCUUCAAACCAUCCCAUUGUAUUGGUGCUAGCUUCCAGGUGGUUUCAGUAGUGUUGCAAAAAAACAGCAUAUGUUCAAUUGUUUCCACCCCUUCCCCACAACUUCUACACAUUGGACUGCCUUUACCUGUUCUCCUGCUUAUUUGUUCAUUUACUGGUAGGCUAUGAUGUAAACACCUCCAGAUGAAAUGUUUUAGUUUGUGUUUCAUCUGUAAGGACCACACCCCUUUCCAGAUUUUUGAGCUCUGUUGGGCAUAGCUCGUUCCCCCUCUAUCCUCUUGCAUCCUUUCCUUGUGCUGUUGCUGACUUGUACUCAUUGCUACAUCAUAGGCUGACUUCACAGUGAACACGCCUGAAUUGGUGUAUCUCCAAUAUAGUAUAUCUUGGCAGCCUGUUAUACUUAGUGGUAUAGCCUUUAUCUUCUGGAUAUCCUCUUCUAUAAACCAACGAUUCAGAGUUCUUUGAUUCCAUUUUCCAUCUGUUAUCAGUUCAUCUACUUUCCUUAUGGUGCACUGUGGAUCUCUCCGAGUUUUUAUCCUGCCAUCAUCACUCCCUGGUACCCAAAUAUCCUGCCAAAUAUCGAUUGUUUUUCCAUUCCCUACUCUCUUCCCUAUCCCUUCUGUCAAUAGUUUCCUGCUUCCCAUUAUGCUUUUCCAGAUCCAAGAAGCUGCUCGAGGUGGAUCCUUGUUCCAGUUCUGUGGUUGUGCUAGAUACUUAGCCUUCAUCACCUUACUCACCAGCAAAUUUGGACUGGUGAGUAUUCUCCAUAGUUGCUUGGCUAAGAGAGCUUCAUUGAAUUUUUCCAAGUCUCUAAAACCCAAUCCCCCUCUACCUUUCACCUGAGACAUUUUUUUCCAGCUAGUCCAAUGUAUUUUCCUCUCUUUCUCUCCCCCAUUCCACCAGAACCUAGCUAUCAUCUGACUUAUAUCCUUACACAGCACUUUGGGAAGUUUGAAGCAUGACAUGGUACAUGUGGGAAGAGCCAUUACCACUGAUUUGAUAAGAGUCUCCCUUCCUGCUGGGCUUAACAGGUUUCUCUUCCAUCCUUGUAGCUUGUCUUUUACCUUUUGUUUGAUAUAGCCAAAAACCUCACUACAAGAAAAUUGUUCAUCAGUGACAACACAAAGUCAUCACAGAACAUACAAAUAUCGUCACAAAUACCUUUCAUUGACGACUUUUUGAUCGUCACAAAGUCGUCACUAAAUCCCCGUCGGUAAAAGUAAACAGUGACGACCUAAAAUGUCGUCACUAAAUAGUUGUCAUUAGUGACGACCUUAAGUAGAGCAUUUUUGACAAAAGGUCAAUUCGUCAAUAAAACACUUCCGGAUUGUCGUCACUAAUGACAACUAUUUAGUGACGACAUUGUCGUCACUAAAUAGUUGUCAUUAGUGACGACAAUCCGGAAGUGUUUUAUUGACGAAUUGACCUUUUGUCAAAAAUGCUCUACUUAAGGUCGUCACUAAAAAGCACCGAAAGCCAUUGUAUAUAACUAUUUUACUGACAACAAUUGUCGUCACAAAUGUAGCUUAGAUUUAGUGACAGUCUCUGUUGUGACAAAGAGUUUUUAUUUUCUAUUUUGUGACAACUUUUUUUUGUCAUUAGAUAAUUUCUCAUUAGUGACAGCCUCCAAAGGUUGUCACUGAGCUUUGUUUUGAAGAGUUGAAAUUAACCAUUAUGGAUAUAGCAUUGUCAUAGCAAUUUCAACAAAUUAUAGUAGAACAUUCAAUUUGACAAAAGGCAAAAUUCAUGUAGAAUGAAGCUACAAAUUCAUAUAUAUGGCCAUAAACAUUUGUGAAUUCAUCAAAAUAGAAGUUAACCAGAAAUGUUGUGUCCCAAAACCCACAUAAUCAAUUCAAGCACUAAUGGCCAAUAUGCAUCCUUCCCAAAAAAUAGAGUACUAGCUUUCUAAACUAAAGCAAAGAUUGCACCACCAAUGUCGGACUUCAACCAUCUCUAUCAUCAUAUCCAACAAUCUCCUCGUGAUCAAUAUCAAACUGGACUGCAUUGAGAAUAAAAUAUUAUAUGCAUUAGAAUAGACUUUAGUAAAAAAAAUAUGCUAUUACAACCUUACACAAGUUAUCUAAGUACAAGAAACAGUUAAAAAGUUGUGUAUUAUCUAAGUACAAGAAGUUAACAAGAAGUUUAGAUUAUAAGGACUAGAAACUGACAAUGAAUUGAGUUUCAUAUCCUCUACAUGCCAUUUUAAAUUAUUCACAAGCAUUAUAUUGUGAUAUUGGAUAUCUUCUUUAUUAAAAAACUUGUUCAAAUCACAUUAUGAGAACAUCUAACUUUUUGAUUAUCAAAGUAAUUGACUUCGAGGCCUGGAACAGCAAGUACUUUUGUCAGUGGACAAGGUUAGAUCAUAUUGGGUGAGUUUGCAUUGCUCCAUAGUUGAAGUGAUUUUACUUGAGUUCUGUCCACAAACUCUUUGGUUGUCACAAUGAAGUAAUCUCAAUUAGCCAAUACGGCAUAAAUAUCCACUUGUGAAAAUACAUAAGGAGUUCCUCAAAAAAUAGGUAAUUUUGGAAAUUUACUGAUUGUUGCUAAGUGUGGUUCCUAGCACAGAUCCACAGAUGUACUCUUAGUGCUAGCUAUGGUCCAUCCCAAAUUCGAUAAUCAGAAGCAACUCCAAUCUAUUACUUACUCACACAACCAUCUAACAAUCACAGGACUUCUGAUAGUCAUAAAAUAACUGAUGUUCUACUUCAUGUACUGGUCAUAUCACUUAUACCAAUAUCACCAAAUCCUUUAAGCAAACAAGAAAACAAAAACAGAUAACCAGCAUGAUAGCUGUUUUGAAGACAAAUUUAUAGUAACAAGGUCGGAAUUUGUUUACCUACUUGGAUGAAACAUCGUAUUCAUCUUCCCAACCAGUACAGGCCUUCUCUGAUGAAGAAAUCUUCCGAGACUUAUCCUUUAACUCUCUCUACGUGGCAUCUCCUUGGAAGAUGAAAGAACCAAUGAGGGAGCAAGAAGAGAGAAGAGAUUUGCAGCAGAUAAUGAGAAAUGUAUAUUGAUCUAGAAGGUUGCCAAAGAGAAAAUCAUUAUUGUCAAAUGACCAGGAUAAAUGUUUCUUGGUAUACCACUAGGAACAUGAUAAAAAAGAUACAAAGAUAAAUGUUCACAAGUAAAUCUUGGAAGCCCUUGGUAAGUGUCUUGGCAAGUCACAUAAUCAUACCUGACCUAAAAAAUAUCAUUUCAUUUUACUGGUCACAAACCCAUAGCAAGUUGAGAGGCCAAAAUGCCACACCUCAAUAUCGUAGCUCAGUGAAUCACACUUGCUUACGAUAUAUACUGCCCAAUAUGUAAUAGAAAGAGACCUCCCCAACAAGUGAAAAAAAGUAAUCAGACAUCAAGAAAAUUGAUUGCGAGUAAGUAUUUGGGGUCUGGAGAUUACAAAAAGGAGCUUACACAGUCAUUCAAACGUUACUUACACUCAUGAUAGCAACAGACUGGCUGUAUAUUUCAUGGCUAGAAACAGUAGCUAGUUUCAAGUACGAAUUGGUACAAAUGACCGUGAUAUCAUGGACCAAAAGGUUUAAAUUAAAAAAAUCUUAAAGGUAGUUAUGAGAAUUAGAACAAGUCGUGUAGGUGCAACUAAAGACAAAGGACUUGAUAAAUAGACAAAUAAAAAGAGAUGGCCAAAAAGGUUCUUUCUGGAAAGAUUACUGUAACUUUUUACAAUUAGCUGCAAUUUCAAAUUGGAAUGGUGAACUCCCUGCUACAUCUGCCUACUCUGCCUAUAAGCUGACAUUGACAUGAAUACUGAGCAAGUGAAAGAGAAACUGGACUUGGUUAUGAAAAUAAUAGGACCUAACGAUAAAGAGAUCAUAGCGAUGGCAAUUACUGCUAAAGCCAACCUAAAUCCCAACUUUACAAAAUAAAGAAAACCAAAGAAUUCAAUUCGCCAAGGAUUCGAGCAAGGAUAUUGAGACUGAGGUACAUAUCCUUUCAGAAUGCCCAAAAGCCUAAUGGUCGGACAAAUUUGUUAGCUCAGGAAGCUGCAAAUGAACAAGAUAUGCUCAAUUUACAAGAAUGGGUAAGUGUGAAUAUGAAGGAAAAGCUAGAGAUUAGGUCGGUGCUAUCUGUUUCCUUUCUUUUAAUUCUGGUAGCAAUUAACUGGGAAUGCUUUUGAAUACUCAUUUGCUUGGAUAGUUGGACCAUCAAACGUCAAAGCAGUAAUCCAUUCAUUAUAUUUCUCCUAACCAUUACUAGCAGGGGAAACUAGACUGCUAAAGCGUACACACAAAUAUGAUGAACUAGUAAAAUUCGUAUCAACAAACUAGAUUGCUCAACUAAUACCGGUAACUAGUGUUCAAAUUCAUAUGUCUAAAUAAUUCUAGCAAAAGGAAUUACCCUUGCUUGCACUGAUGAGGAAGAACCCAUCUGGAGUAAUUGGGCUGUAAAACAAAUCCACAACUGGACGAGAAUGACCAUGGCAAACAAGGGGAACAUCACCCUUUUCUUAUCCAUUACUUAACCGAUCCAGCGAAAAAGAAAAAAAAUGAAAGAAAAUUAUAACUUUUGGGAUCAGCAAUCAUAAAAGUACAAUUGGAAGUAGCAGACACAUGGGAUGAGAAAAAGUAAACUGCAAGUUUUCAUUUAAAACAACCGUUUAUAUCCAACUCCACAAAAGGAUGAAAAGCAACAAUCUUUCUUACUUUUACCAAAAAACCAAAUCAAGACUGAAGCGUUCACCUCUUAAAAAUAACUCAGAUUUCAGAUUUUAUGAAAAGCCAAAAUGGAUCAGCUCGUUCAUUAUUCUUAGCUAUAAGAAAUAGCACUUCCAAAGAGACCUGACGAAUUUGACCAAAUUUUGCUAGAACCCAAAUCAAGAUUCACAGCAUUCUAGCCAAAAAUCACUAACAAAGAAUCAAUUCAUGAAAAUCCAACAAAUCUAUAAGAGCAGAACAGAAGGGAUUCAAAACUUGUUGAUGCUUAAAUCAGAGACUAACAAGAUUGAACCUAAAAACUAAAUCUGACGAAACAGAGAAGGUGCAACUAGCCGUACCCACAAAAAAUAUAUACCAUGCAUUGCAAAAUCAGACACAUAAUAUUGAAAUUACCUCAAACUAUACCUUCAAUCCCUAACUUCUCAUUUUUCCCAAGCUUCAAGCUCUAAACUCCAGCUUUCACCCAAAUUUUCAAGCCCUAAUUUUUUAUUUCUUGCCACCAAGCCAGUGUAACAGCUGAAUUAGGUAUGUUGGUGGUGCGAACUUGAUAAAGUUGCCUAAAUUGAUGACAAUGGCAAACUUCAGUUCAUGAUGGAUUUGGUAGUGCGAGCUUGAAAGAGAGGAGUUCAUCUUCGGGGAAGUGAGAAGGACAAAGAGAAAGGGAAAAAGUGUCUGAAAUUUUGGCUAAGUGUUUUGGACAUAGAGUGCAUACUAGUGAAGCAAACGAUGUCGUUUCCUCAAAAUUCCUUUGUCCGCCAUGCCUCUUGAAUUUUUUAGUUUGCCGCUCUUUGUUUUGUACGUAUAAAUAACACACAUUCUUCCUAUAUAGAUGCAAGAAAAUCACACUUUGUUUGUCCUUACUCCUACCUCUCUCUUUUUUCUUUUUCUCAUCUUUAUGUAAUUAAGUUUUUUUAUUAUUUUUUUUACUCUCAAGUUGUAUUAAAAUAAUAGAAUAUGACAAUUUAGUGUGUUUGGGCAAAAUUUUUUUAACAUUUUUAACUAAUAUAGGACUUUUCUAAUUUAUUAUACAAUAAAAUAAUUUACAAACUAAAAAUGUUGUUAGAAAUAUGUUUAUGAUUUGAAAAAAAUAAACAUUCUUUUAUCAAAAUCUUUUUGGUACUCAUUUUAUGGUGUUAUCAAUUAUGUAUGACUUGUAAUCUAACAAACCAGAGAACCAAAUUAGUUGAUCGAACAAUCAAAAUAGUUUAUAUUCAGUUUUAUUGUUAAAUUCUACCAUUGACUACCUCUAUUUUUAGAUUAUCAUAAUUAUUUAUUUUCCACCAUGUUGCCAUCAAGAUAAAUAGGAAAUGUAUGAUUUUUUUUUAUAUUUAUAACAAAUUAUUGUUAAAUUGUUACAUUACUGCAAGUGAUAAAUGUACUUUUGUUCUUUUUCAAACAUUUAUUUUAAUGUUUAAUUUUGUUUAAAACUAUUGUACUAGUAUAGAUUUGCAAGACAAAACUUAAGUUCUCAAUAGUUAAAAAAUUCAUUACAGAGAAAACACAAAGUAGUAGUUGCAAAAUGUGUAUAAAUUACAGAUAUUUUAAUGUGUAUAAAUUACAGUUUAUUUUAAUGUUUAAUUUUGUUUGAAACUAUUUUACUAGUAUAGAUUUGCAAGACAUAGAUUUAUGGGUAAUUUCUUUUUUUUUUCCUUUCACAUAUUUAAUUUAUGUUAAAUACAAAACCUACCAGUUUCCCUUUCAUAAAAAUAUUAGUGCAACACUUUUUGAAUUUUACUUACAAACAUUUAUGUAUUUAACAUAAAUUAAAUGAUUCAGAGUGAAAUGCCCAUAAAGAGCAGAAUAUUUGUUCAUGUAAUGGAGGAAACCCACAAAGAGUUGGUACUUUAUGGGCCAUUUCUUUUUUUAAAAAAAUUUAAUUUAUGUUGAAAAGAUAACCUGCCAGUUUUCGUUUUGUAAGAAAUUAGUGUAACACUUUUUGAAUUUUACUUACAAACAUUUAUAAAUUUAUCAUAAAUUAUAUGUUUGAGAGUAAAAUGCCCAUAAAAAGUUGGUACUUUGAAUAGAUAAUGCUCAUUUGCCCAUAAACUACACUCCCUGAAGGCUAUUUUGUUAAUUACUUUGUAGUACUUUGUUAUUCCUUUGCUAAUACUACUUGGCAUGUAGUACAAAGGAUAAAUCUGGCAUAAAUUUCUUAUUCCAUUGAUAAAAGACCUGCCUGCCUUUAUAACUAUUGUAAUGAAAGAUAUAUCUUUAGAGUUUAUAAUAAAUUAUUACUUAAGUUUGAGAAAAUUAUAAAAUAUUUAUGCAUAGUUUAUCAAGAUACCAUUCGCAAUUUCCUAAUAAAAAAAUAGGGGCUAAAUUGUAAAAGCUAGGGUGCCAUAAUAGAAAUAAUAAAAUUGGUGUAUUACAUAUGGGGGUUAAAUAGCAAAAGUUAGAGUGCCAUAAUAGAAUUAAUGAAAUUGGUGAAUUACAUAUGGGGCUAAAUUACAAAAGUUAGGGAGUAAUAAUAGAAUUAAAGAAAUCGGUGUACUACAUAUGGGGCUAAAUUGUAAAAGUUAAGGUAUCAUAAUGGAAUUAAUGGAAUUUUUACAACAUUUGGGGCUAAAUCGCAAAAGUUAGGGUGGCACAGUAGAAUUAAUGAAAGUGACUUAGAAAUAAGUACUUUAAACAGUGACGAUUAAUUCUUGUCACUAAAUCCGAAUCGGUAGAGUGACAGUGACAAUAUUAGAAGUUGUCACUAUAUAGAUCAUUUUAGUGACAACGUUUUUCAAGGUCUCCUUGUCGUCACUAAGCAACCACGUUUUGUGACGACUUUUGUCGUCACUAGAAAAUGUUGUCACUAAUGACCAUAUUUCUUGCAGUGUAGUUUGUGACGAAAAUAACGGGUUGUCACUAAACAUUUAGUUGCUUUGAUGCAAUUGGGACAACUUUAGGUGUCGCGACUAAAGAAGCUCCUUUUGUGACGACUUAUUGUCAUCACUACAAAAUAUUGUCACUAAUAACUUUUUUUUUAGUGAUCAGUGACAAUAACAAAAAGUCGUCCGUAAAUAGGCCAAGCAAUAGUGAUGAUGUUCUUAAUGUCGUCACUAUUGUGUGUUCUAAACACUCCCGCGCUCUUGCUAAAUCUUGGCGCGAAUUUACUAGUGAUGACUUAGAAAAGUCGUCACAAAUGAGUUGGCUCCCAUUAGAGGUUUGUGACGAGUUAGAAAGUCGUCAAUAAAGGAUCCACUUUUGUGACAACUUUUUUUCGUCACAGAGAAAAGUUGUCACUGAUGACCAAUUUUCUUGUAGUGCCUGUUGUUUUGAUCUGCCUAUCAUCAUAGGGAGUCCUAAGUAUUUCCCACUUGCAGCUUCCUUCAUAUUUCCAAGCCCCGGACAUAUGGUCUUCCUCAAAUCUUUGUUUGUGUUUGCACUAAAGAACACAGCAGAAUUUUCAUAGUUGAUGACUUGUCCUGAAGCUCGUUCAUAUAUAGCAAACAUCCCUUUCAUUUGUUCAGCUUCCUGGAUACUAGCUUUACAGCAGAAUAGAGAGUCAUCAGCAAACAGUAAAUGAGACAGCAUUGGACAUUCCUUCCCUACUUUGACACCUGUUAGAGCUUUACUGUUUAGUCUCUGGUUCAUCAGGUUGGACAGCCCCUCAGCACAAAUAAGGAAUAAAUAAGGGGAAAGGGGAUCUCCUUGUCUAAUACCCCUGGAUGGUUUAACAUAUCCCACCUUUUGGCCAUUUACAUUAAAAGAGUAAGCAGCAGUUGUAACACAGUUGAGGAUCCAUUUUACCCAUAUGGGACAGAAUCCCAUUUUCAUCAUCAUCCUUCCUAGGAAAAGCCAUUCUACUCACGACACACUGUUAUACUGAAUCACAGGCUUCCACAAACUAUUGCUUGAAAAGAAGAAUUGUUUAUUCCAUAAUCCACUGCAUUAGAAUAGGAUUUUUUUUUUAAUCUGUAAUCCAUUACCUUCUACCCUUAAUAAAAAUUUGCAGGAGUUGAACAUGUUGGAGGAGACAUGUUUGAAAGUGUUCCACUGGGGGAUGCCAUUCUUAUGAAGGUAAGUUCAACUUUGAAGGAAAUCUUAUUAGAAGUCAGUCAGUCACAACAAAUGCUAUCUUUGAACAAUAUUCUGCAGAUCUUUUCAAUCUAAUUAUGUACAGUCCUUCUCUUUUGAACCAUAUUAUGCAGAUCUUCAGAGUCUAAUAAGUUACCCAACUUCUUAUUUGAGUUGCAUUUAUUUUUACCACUUUAAUCAAUGAACAUUUAGUUGUUAGGCAACAGACGCUUUAACUUUAAAGGUUACUUACACACAUGGUUCAAAGACUCGGUCGAGUCGUUACCGUCUCGGUCCCUCCUGAUACGAUAUCGGGACGAUACGAUUUUGAAAUACUUGACUCAUCGAGACGUCACCGCAAAGGGUUAAAACAGCCGAGUCAUCACUCCGAAUCAUCCCGAGUCAACUUGAAUUUUCAUUAUUUUUACUAAUUUUUUAAUUAUCUUUGUUUAUCAAAUUUUUUACAAUUUUUAGAAUAUUAAAUAUUUCAAAAAUGCGGAUCUCGCCGAGACCGCGACUGAUAUGUCGAGACCGAUGUGGAACUGUCCGGGCCGCGACCGCGACUUUGAACCACGCAUACAAAUUAUAUAACACUCUCUCUAACUUUAGCUAUACCAUAUGGAAUUUUAAAUAAUCAGGAAAGUAUCUACAGAUCAGGUGAAUACUUAUAGAUUAAGGGAUAGGAUAAUGACACAUUAGAAAUAUUAGUAGUUGAGAGUGAUCUAUAACUCUCAAGAUCAUAAAGUCUGUCAUCGUCUUAUGAUGCUUUGUAAAAGGAGUGCCUUUUGUCUGGAAUACUCACAGACAACAUCCAUCAAUACUUUUGUAAUGGAUACUUCAUGAUUGGGAUGAUGAUCAUGGCUUGAAGUUGCUGAAAAAUUGUUACAAGACUUUACCAGACAAUGGAAAGGUAAUAGCUGUUGACGCAAUUCUUCCUGUGAUUCCUGAUUAUAGUGCACGCGACAAAGCUACUUGCCAAACAGAUCUUAUAGUGGUGACUAAAGAAGGAAUUGAGAGAUAUGAAACAGAGUUUCUUGCCCUGGCUACUGCUGCUGGAUUUAAAGGCAUAAGUGUGAAAUGUUUCGUAUGUAACUUGUGGGUCAUGGAGUUCUAUAGUUCAUGGGGCAUUGUACUUUAAAACCUUAAAUGUUGUAUGUUGAGUGAUUGUUAAUGUCAUGGUGAUCAUCUGCAAUCUACAGCGAGGAAAAAAAACUGCAAUAGUGACCUCGUAAGAAUAAAUUUAAAUAUUGUUUUGUUUCCGAAGAUGAUAAUUAUGAUGGAGUUAAGGCAAGUAUGAUUUAGGUGUGGUUGGGUAUUGUUAUUUUACUUCAUCCAUGCCUUAGCAUACUCCAAAAGACAUGAAAAAAAGUUUUCUAAUACAACACAUUUACGUAAAAGUGCACUAUCCUACCUAUUAAA